This 103292-nucleotide long non-coding RNA is filed under the name Citrus maxima (pomelo). RNAcentral describes it as "long non-coding RNA (CMAX_LNC004138)". Lineage: Eukaryota; Viridiplantae; Streptophyta; Magnoliopsida; Sapindales; Rutaceae. The record is from RNAcentral.
UUGUCAUUAAUUUCAUCAUCAUCAUUAUUAUUAAAUUUUUUUAUUUAUUUUUCUUUUAGAAUAACAUGGUACACAUAAAUAGCUAGACAAAGAGAAUCUCUUGUAUAUAUCAAGAGAUCUUACAAGUUAAACUGAACCAAACUGAGACCAUCAUACAAUUGAUGGGUAAUAACUGUACCCAUACUUUUAUUUUCUUAAACAUAACAUAAGAGACUAAUACUGCAUAUUCUUAACCGGUGUGAUCAAUGUUUCUUCCAUAUUGUGGGACCACAAGAAGAUCAAUAUUUCCAUUAAUUUCAUCAUCAGCAAUAAGUGACCAACGUGGCGGUGCAAUCCCCUCCGACCAAUCGUUAUAACCUGAAAAAUUCAUGUUAUAAAAUUUAAUCACAAAUACACCUAUUAAAAUAAGAAUUAUAAAUGACAUUUAUUUGAAAAUGCAUGGCCUAUGUAUAAACCUGCGCAAGGAGUUCCCAUAAUCUUCAAAUCAGGAAGGCAAAAGAUUUCUGCUGGCUUCGACUGAACCGUAUUCAAAACUCAAUAGGUAAGUAGUUGUGCUUGAGCGAGUUCUUAUUUCUGGUUUGAUCUGAUAUAUAUAGAUCAAGUAGCCGGAACUACGGUGCCAACGUGGCAAAGUAACAAGUUGUGCAUGGUAAAGAUAAUGGAUCAAUGGUUCUAAUUUAAUCGUACAAUAAGUAGGGAAGGUCAACAGCUCUAUAUGGUUAAGUUAGUGCAUGUGCGAUACAUGGUUCAAAAAAUAAAUAAUUUUAAAUACGAAGGACGAGCAAAUUAAGUAAUAAAUGCCAUUACCAAAUAAUAGUGUGUGGUAUACUAUAGAUAAUGGAUCAACGAUUCAGAUUUCAUCAUACAAUAAGUAGGUAAGAUUAACGGUUAGUGUUAAAUCAUUGCAUGUGCGAAACAUGGUCCACAAAAUAAAUAGUAGUAAACAAGAAAGACGAAUAAAGUAAUCAAAUACCAUGUCAUCAGAUAAAAAGAAAAAAAGAAAGGUAUACAUACCAUUACCAAACAAUUGCUUGGUAAAGAUAACAGAUUUACCGCUGAAGUCUGAUAAUUGUAAGAUUAACGGCUAUAUAUGGUUCAACUGCAUGUGUAAAUAAAGUAUGAAUCAACCAAAACGGUUGUGGCUCAGUUGGCAACGCAGGCUGGGUAAGUGGGAAGAGCUCUCGGGUUCGAUCCUCACUAAACACACCAUUUGGGAGGGGUAAAGAGCCUUAACUGUGACUACACCCCGAAUCCGAAUUAGUCGGGGCUCAAUGCGGUCGCCGGAAAUCGGGUGGUUUAAAAAAAAAAAAAAGUAUGAAUCAAUGGGUCCAGGAAAUAAAUAAGAAGACCACAAGCAUAGUGGUCUAAAAAAUAAAUAAGAAGCGAACUGACGAUACAUAUAGGUCAAGUAGAUCAAGUAGCCGACACUACGGUGCCAACGUAUCAAAUAAACAAGUCGUGCAUGGUAAAGAUAAUGGAUCAACGGUUCUAAUUUAAUCGUACAAUAAGUAGGUAAGAUUAAGGGCUCUAUAUUGUUAAAUUAUUGCACGUGCGAAAUAUGGUCCAAAAAAUAAAUAGUUGUAAAUAAGAAAGACGAACAAAUUAAGUAAUUAGUACCACUACCGAACACAGUGCAUUGGAAGGACUGGCUUUCUUCCUUUUUAUGAGAGCAAAGAACGAAAUUUUGUAAUAGUUUUACUUAACAGCUGAAAGUUAAUUUCAUUUUUAUAUCUUUCUUUUCCUUCUUUAUUUCUUAUAUUUUUCUGUUAUUAUUAUAAUUUUUCUUUUAUGUCAGUACGAGAGGCGUGUAAUGUUUUUGGUUUACUAAACCCUUAAUUCUCUUUCUGUUCAACAUCAAAUCUAACUAUCCUUGUAAAGCUUUAAAAUAGUCGAUUAUAGUUAAUUAUUUGAAAAAUAAUAACUAAAGUAAAUAAGUAUUUUAUUUUUUUUUGGUGUAUUAAACUAUCUGGUAUCUAAAGACUAUAUUGGACCCCGACUAAUUUAGAUUCGAGACAGGCAAGACCAUUGAGGCGCCAAAGCUCUCCCAACAAGUAUUUAACACAACUGUACUCCCAAGUCUCGAACUGAGGACUUUGGUUAAGUUAAAAUAACUCUAUGCCAACUGAUUUACGCGCUUGUUAGAAGUAAAUAAGCAUUUUAGUUAUCACAAUUAAACUCUUCUUUAGCAUUUAAUAGAAGUAGUUCUAUGAGCAUGGGUUUCGAGAGAGCAUGGUGGUGCGAAAAUGUUCGUGCGUUUACAGUCCCUAUGUUUUUAGUCAUAAUUUAUUUAGAUAUAGACAAAGACCCCUAAUGUUUAAAAAAUAGACACACAAAUGGCCCUUUUGAUUAUUUCACUCUUUGGUUCUAUUUAUCCAACGAAAAUUAAUUUCAAUCUAUUGUUCUAUAAUAAAUAUAAAUAUAGUAUUUAAAUCAGUGUAAUAAAUAAAUACAUUUUACAAUACAUAAACGUUAUUUGAGUUCUUUGCAAGAAUUAGCUAACCACUAUGCGGAGUUUGUUUAAGAAAAAUAUUGAAGAAGAGACAGCAUAAUUAAGCAUAUAGUAGAUAUAUAGCUAGACAAAGUUAAUCGACGUUAACAAACUGAUACACAAUACUUUUUUUUAUUUAUUUUCUUAAACCUCGUUCACAAACAUGAUAUGUUUUUACUUUCAAUGGUACAACAAUUUCUUGGAAUUCUACAAAACAGACUCUCGUUGCAACAUCCUCCAACCAUUCUGAAAUUCUUGCACUACAUGAAACAAGUCGAGAAUGCAUAUGGUUGCGAUCUGUAAUCCAUCAUAUUCAAAGUAUCUGUAGAAUAUCUUCAAGUUUAGAUAUCCCAACAGUGAUAUAUGAAGAUAAUGUUGCAUGUAUAGCUCAACUCAGAGGAGGAUACAUCAAAGAGGACAGAAUAAAACAUAUUUCGCCGAAAUUCUUCUACACUCAUGAGCUCCAUCAGAACAAGAAGAUUGAUAUCAAACAGAUACGCUCCACGGAAAAUUUAGUUGAUAUGUUUACAAAAGCUCUACCUACAUCUACAUUUGAAAAAAUCAUAUAUGGCAUCGGCAUGCGUCGUUUUAACAAACUGAUAAAUUAAUGCAUGUUGCCUUUAGGAAGAGCACUCAACAAGAGGAGCGUGAUCUUACAAGAGAAGAAUCAUAGUAAUAUUGGACACAUAUGUACCAUACUCUUUUUUCUUUUUGACCAAGUUUUCCCACUGGGUUUUUACUGGCAAAGGUUUUUAAUGAGGCAGUAUCCAAUGUCAUCAGGGGGAGCACAUCUAAUAAAUAAUUGGUGAAUUCAAGGGGGAGUGUUGUAAAUCAUGGUGGAUUCCACCAAAAUAAUGCCCUCCCACCAAAAUAAUGCUCUCACAUUAUCAUCUUAUUGCUCUUCCCAUUAUCCUUUUUUAUAAUUAAUAAUUAUUAAUAACUCCACCUUGUAAUGCCUAUAUAAACCCUUUCUUUGUUCAUGAAUGAAGACAAUUUCAAUUCCUCCCUCAAGGCAUUUUACUUGUUUUCUUCAAUCUUUAUUUGAGUAUUCCUUACUUACAUAUUCCCAAUUAAAUAAUUACUUACAUACAAUCCCUUUAAAUUAUAACAUCCAUUAUCUCCAAAUUUAUAAUAAAAACUUUAUUUUUAGUGGAAAAGAACAAUAUAUUUAAAUUGGUCUCGGAGAAUGGUUGGUGAAUGAGGCCAAAUUAAAUUUGCGCGAAAAAUCCAAAAGCAUGUGAGACUUGCUCAAUUAUUGUAUUAUGUGUCCUACGCUAUAAUUAAAGCAAAUGAAAUCCGUGACAAUAUAUAUGUAAUCAAGUACUCUACAACCUUAAAAAUCUAAAAUUUAAACUUUUGUUAAUAAAAGUAAAAUAAUUUAUUUAGUCUCUAAAAACUCAACUCAAAAUACGAUCUAACAAUACCAAAAUUUUUGGAAAGCUCUUUAAAAACGAAAUAAAUAUUUUUAAGCAUUAGAUAAGCUAUAUCAAACAUGCAUUUAUUACAUGUAUAGAUGGAUUAUAAUUUAAUAUCAACUCCCAUAAUUAUUAGGGUUAAAUCUUCUCUUAUACUAGGAACAUUACCCACCCCUUGGUGACUUGGAACUCAUAUCCUAAAUGUUGAGGGCAUGCGUUCUCACCUAUACCCUUAGAGGGAAGUCACCAUAAAUAUCUGUUUGCGGAAGAGCAAUAUUCACCAUACAAAGCCUCUAGUUGGAUAAGCCCUGUCCUUUUUAAGUUUUUCGUUUUUUUGAUUACCCACACACACACACAAAUCAUAAUUGAAGCGCCAUAGAUAUAAUUAGAAGAACUUGCAACGAGAAGCUGCUGGCAUCUCCCAAACAAGCUUGAAAAAUUAGUCAGUCAGUAAGAGUUGAAAAAAGAAAAAAAGAAAAAAAGCAUGGCAAAUAACAAUGUGAUGGGAUUGGGAGGUAGUGUCUUAGCAGCGAUCUUAGUUAUGAUGAUACUCUUCUUCACCGCGGAUCAAUCUUGUGCGGCAGGCAACGGCACCAACAUUACUAAUUUCCAUAUUGAUCCUGAUGUGUUGUUUUCUAAUGAUGAUCCGGAAAUAGAAUUGGCUGCUGCUCCGCCUGCAAAAAAGGCAGUGGAUCCCUCCAGUCAACCAUUCGGUUGCGGAAGAGGUCGAAACUAUCGCUCUUGUACCCCUCCUUCCAAUGGCUCCAAAAAGGGUGAACAUUGCAAACAAUAUAAAAUGAAAUCUUAACCAUUCAAUUUUUUUUCUAGAAAUUAAUUUUAUAAUUAGAUUAUUGAAAGCUAAAGAAAAAUUAGGAGGGGGAAAACUAGUUGGGAAUCCAAAUCCUAUUCUUAUUAAUUAAUUAUAAGCUCUAUUUUUUUGAAUCAAGUCCAAAAUUUUCCUUGUUUUUUUUUUUCUUUUUAAAUACGCAAAACUAAAAAACAGGGCAUGCACUCUGUUUAUAUAUCUAUGAAAUCGUUGUUCAUUAGGCAAAUUUAUUCGUCUAAGUUCAGAGAAUUUCAUGAUUUGUCACUGACUGCACCCAAUAAAAAGAAAAAGAAUCAAAAGGACAUCUUUUAUGUGUAAAUACACAUCAAAUCUCUUUUAUUAAUCAAAUUUUUUUUGACUAUUAAUAAAAUAGGCUACAUAGCAUAUUCUAUUUUUUCUCCCUCAGUUAAAAUACUAAUAUAUUACCAAAUUAAGAAAGUUGGAUCUCCAGUGGUCGUCCGUGCAAUCUUUGGCUUGGCGGCACUGGAUUUUAUCAGUGCUGCUUUGUUAAAAUUUCCCGUGAAGGACGUAUAAAUUGCUGCCAUGGUGAUCUUUGCAAAGGAAGUGACCAUUGCUGUGUUGGGUAUAAAGUGCAAGGGAUAUGAAUGUGAACGGAGAUCGUUUUCAUUUUUGUUUAUCGUUUUUGCUUUUUCAAGGUUGGUAAAUGGAGAGUAAAGAAACAGCAGAUCACCAAGGAGGAUUCACUAACAUUGGCGAAUUUAGGCUUAGGCAAUUAAGUUGUAUUAAAUAUUGAAUAUAGAAAAUUUUGUUGGGCAUCGGUCGGACGAAUGAAAAAUCAUUUGUUCUUGAACAUCUUUUCGUAGUUUCAAAUAGAAGUGAGAGAGCGUUGACGCUAAAAGGACCGGCAGACUUAAACAUUUUUCCAUGAGAAUUACGUGUUAUGUGGAACUAAUUUUAAUUUACUUCCGUCAUCUUCUUGUUACAGUGUUAGCUCUUUGUUCAUGAAUCGAUUAAUAAGUGCAUUUUUUUCACUCAAAAGUUUUCAUCUUAUUAGCUUGGAUCAUCUUUUUCCUUUUCUUUUUUCUCCUUGUCGUCUUCUAUCUAUUACCUACUCUCUCACCUCUAGGAUGAGCAAUAAUACUAUCUGAAAAUUCAUUCAUUUUGUUGGUGUUUGAUUUCCGACAAGCGGAUUUCUCACCCCACAACUUUUUUGGGCCUGAUGGGUCCAUCUCAUUGGGUGGCCCAAGCUCAAGUUUCACUAAUUUGAAAAUUUAAAUAAUUAAAGAAAAUUAGUGGGGCUAAGUGACAUUAGUCAAUAGAAAUCAUUAGAUAAAGAAGAGCAAAAGUAAGGGACUGGUAGGGAUAGCAACAGGCACCGUUUAUAAUAGGUUUGUUAUUACCAAAUUCAUAUUCAUAUAAAAUUUAAAUUAUCAAACCGAACCUGUAAUUUAUUGCAGGUUCUAAUUUUUUUUAAAAAAUCCACUUACUGCGAGUUUUGACAAUUAUCAAACCUACAAUGGUAUCUAGUGAAUUUUUUUUUGUAGGUUUUCACAUUUAAAUUUUAAAAUCACAAAUAUUCGAUAUGAAAAUUUAUAAUAAUAACUUAAAAUUCUAUAUAAUAUACUCAAUUCUAAAUUUAACCAAUAUAAAUGAAAAAUUAAAACUUCAACAUCAAUCCAACACAAAUUCUCAAUUUUAAGUAUGAAACACACAAAUCAAUUAAAAAAAACCACAAAUCAGUAUCUAAAUAUAACAAUUAUCAUUUUAUAUUAUCAUUCUACACAUGCUGCUAGAGAAGUUCUUCAUUUAAUUCACCACCAUUAGCACCCAUCCAACAUGAUUCCUAUAAUAAUGAUUAAAAUUAAUAUUUUCUAAAGAAUAAUAUGUUUUAGAUACUAAUAUGAAAAACAAAAUUGUUAUAAUGAAAUAAUCUAUUCAUCGAAUUGAAGAAUAAUAGCUCAUUCAAAAUUAUAAUAAGUAGAAUUUAAAUAUGUAUAUAAUAAUUCAUGCAUUAAGUUAAAGACAAUUCAAUCAAAAUUACAAUAAGUAUAAUUUUAGAUUUAAAUAUGUUUCUAUUAAAAUUAAAUUAAAAAAUAAUUAAAAAAGUUGAGGGUUGGUGAAUAUCCAUACGGGUAUUUGUCGGAUAUUUGACUAAUGCCAAACCCACCCACAACCUAGUGCGGGUUUCAAUUUAUAAUACCAAACCGGCCCGCAACUCACAAAAUUACCCACAACAGGUGGGUUUUGGCGGGCAAGUUUAGGCGGAUUUGUGGGUACCAUUGCCAUCCCUAGCGGCAACCCUAGUUAGAAAACUAAAAAGGAAGAGAGGGGGAGAGAGAGAAAAGAGACAAUGGGGUGAGCUUGGACUGGGGGUAAGGGUUUCAAUUUUUGAUUGGACAAUCGGAAGAUGAUUUUAACUCUGUUUUCUCCCAAAUUUGAAAGGUAAGUUUCUGGCAUCACCUUCUAUAAUCUUACUGGUUUUGAUUUUUAUUUUAUCCUCUCGUUAGUUAUUAUUUGAGAUACCCACUUGUUAGAGAGACAGUUAAUAGGCUGUUAUGUUAACCAAGAUUAUUGAGAUUCUUGAUGUCAUUAAUCUCUAGUGUUAUUUAGAUAAGAAUUUUAUGCUGUAAUCUCAUCAAUAUAGUGAAAUAUUAUAUCAGACUGCAAUCCUAUGGUUUUUCCCGCUUUGAGUUUUCCACGUAAAAAUUUAUGUUUCUUAUGAUUGAUUUAUUACUUCAAAUUUUGUUGCUUUAUUUUUUUUACUUAUUUAUUUUUCAUACACACCUUAUUUUAAUCACACACAAAAGUAAAAAGUUUAUUUCUGAUUAAUUUGCAAUUAUUUGUGUGUUUCUCUUUCCGCCGAAUGAAAAAUGAUAUGGUAUUGACUACCCUAUCUAACUGGUUGUGUUUUAAGAAAUCGCAUUUGCUCAUGAUUGGACUUAACAAAACAAUAUGCAGGGCGCUUGUAUUAACCCUGCUGUGUUUUUUCACAGUAUCCGUUUCUAUUCUUUAUAAGCUUUUAUGUCAAAUUACACAUGCAAAAUACAUAAUAAGAAUCUUUUUUUCCCAUAUGUAUGCAUUUUGGAGCAGACCCGUUAGAGUCCAUCUCUAAAAUCGAAAUGGGGUGUGGAAAGUGUAUACAAGUAUUUGCCCAUAGCACAGCUACAGAAACGGCGCAGCCACAUUCUAUCAUUUUUGUACCCCCUUCUCAAACUGUUUGAUAAUAAUUUUUUUAUAUCACUCUUUAUUUCACCAUACUCUAUUUUAAUUAAUUCGAUUUAUUUCUCAAAUUACUUCUAUUAAAACUAUUUUAUCUCUAUUGUCUCUUACUUGCUUUUCUUAACAUAUUUGAACACUAGUGGUGUGUUUAUUUACUAACAAUUAAAGUGAGAAUUUUUUAAUCAGAAUCAAUGACGCGUUUACUUACAAAAUUUAAGGCUUAAAAUCGGAAUCGAAAUAGUAUCGAACCCACAAAUUUGAGAAUCACUACCAUAAUUCUAAUUCCCAAGCGAGGAGUUUGGAAUCAGAAUUUGAUUUCUAUAAAUACCCUUUUUACUCAUUAAAUUUUCAUAAUCUAUAAAUUGCUCCCAGUUCUAUUAUUUUUUCUUUUUGGUUCCCAUGAUUUAUCAAAAAACUCAAAAUUUUAAAUUAUUUACAAAUAGGCCCUUUAUUGUUUAUAAUAAUAAUAAUAAAUAAUAAUAAUAAGAAGAAGAAGAAGAAUUGCUUGGUAAAGAUAUCAAAUUUUCAUAAUCACAAGAUUAACGGCUGUAAAUGGUUCAACUGCGUGUGUAAAUAAACGCAUGUGGGAGUAUGAAUCAAUGGGUCCACGAACUAAACAAGAAGACCACAAGCACAGUAAGUCCCAUGAAUUUCUUUAUAAAAAUAAAAUACUGUGUCCCGUUAUACAUAUUACUAAUUUUUCUUUUAUCUCUUCAUUUUAAACAGCUUUCUCGUUUUAGUUAUCACAAUUAAACUCUUCUUUAGCACUUAAUAGAAGUACUUCUAUGAGUAUGGAUUUAGAGAGAGAGUGCGGCGGUAUUAACAGGUGGCAUAUUGUAAUAGGCUAAGAGCAAUAUCUGUAUAAAUAUUCUGAGUUCAUUCAUUAACUAAUAAGAUUCUUCUAGAUCCAUAAUCAAUUUUUUCUCUCGUUUUCUCUUUAACCAAACAAGUCCUUCAAAUCUAAUAUCGUACAAUAAGUUGGCAGGUUUAAGUGCCAUGACUAAAUUACUGCAUGUGCGAAGAGCGGCCCGAAAAGUAAAUAACUGUAGAUAAUAAGAAGACGAACUGACGAUCAAAGCAAUAAUACCAACCAGGCAAUAAUGCAUGCUGAGGAUAAGAUAACAUGUCUACGGCUGAAGUUUGAUUGUGAGAUUAUGGGCUAUAUAUAUACAGUGGCGGACCCAGAAACUAAAAUGAGGGAGGGCUUAGUUCAAAAAAUUUUAUUUAAUUUAAAUUUUUUUAAUAUUCACUCGAAUAUAUUUUAAGUCUUAUAAACUUAAAUUUUAUUACUUUUUUUUAAUUCUAAAUAAUAAUAGUAAUAAAUUAUUAUUUUUAAAUGCGUGAAAAUAUCAUUUUUUGAAGUAGUAUUUUAAAUGCGUGAAAAUAUUAUUUUUCGAAGUAGUUUCCACAAAAUAUUUAAAAAAAGAAAAUAAUGUGGCUAAUGGGAUUUGAACUAAGGUUUCAAAAUCAUUAAAUAACACUCUUAUCAUUGAAUCACAAAUCUUUUAAUAUAUAAACAAUGUGUCCAAAUGUUUUUAUCUAACUUUUUUAGAAGGGUCUUGGAGUACAUUUAAAAAAAAAAUUAAUGGUCCGGGGGGGCUGAAGCCCCUCCUGGGCCUUAAUUGGGUCCGCCCAUAAUAUAUAUAUAUUUCAAUUGAUGGGUCCACGAAAUCAAUAAUUGUUCAUAAUAAGUUAAGCAAAGUAAAUAUUCUUUCCGUGUCAUCUGGUAAAAUGUGUUCCCAUGGACAAAACUAAUGACUGAGAGUAAUUUGGUAGUAAUUAUGGGGGGAUAAGGAUAAUUACACUCGGUGGUUAAAACAUAAUCACAUAGAUGGCCCUUUUCACUGUUUUACUCUGACUCUAUUUAUCCAACAAAGAAUAGUACAUUUCAAUCCAAUAUUUUAUAACAAAUAAAAGUAUAAUAUUUAAAUCAAUGCCACAAAAAAAAAAAGCAUUUUAAGUUAAAUUUAAUAUAAAUAAUCUGUUAAACAUAUUUAUGCAAAUUCCUAUCCUAUUAGAGAUUCGUGAUACCCAAAAGCAAAAAAAAUAUAUUGAAAAAAGGGUUGGGGAUAUUUACACUCUAAUAUAUAUUUUAGACUUUUAUACUACUAAAAUACUAUUUAGGACAUUAAUAUAUUUUAAGAAAGCACUCCUAAAACUCACUAUUAUAGAAGAAUUAAAUCUCAAUUUUUUUUGCCAUUAUCAUUUAACUUAGGGCCCGUUUCAAAAGUGAUUUUAAAAAGUUAAAGCUAAUUUUGAUGUUUGAACAUUUAAUCGAUUCUCUUCACAGCUGAUUAUUUUUAUAGUACAGAUAAUAAUAAUUAUUUUAAAAACUAUAACAUUAAUGAAGUGGGCCUUAAUCCAUUGUAAAAAACAAAAUACUUAGUUCUACAUGAUCAAGUCAUCAAGAGGCUGCACACUCUUUACUUCAAUGUGACAAAAUAAUGAAAAAAAAAACCUGAAUAAAUGAAGUUUGAUAGGGGAAGAUCAAAUUUCAAUACGAUUAACAAAUUGCAACAUUUAUAUAGAGGGACAUCAAAUGCAAAGUUAAGUUGAGUCAAUCGAUUAUAGCAUUCUUGGGCAUUAUAUAUGAGUUAUGACAUAGAGAAUGAUGAGAUGAGAUAUUUUUUUGGGUGUAAAAUGAAAUCAAUAAUUAUUCGUGCGAGUUUAAUAAAAGACUAGUUUUGUGUUGGAAAGAGUGUGCGAGUAAAAAUUAUUUUUAAAAUUUUUUCAAUGAGUGUGCAGAGUAAUAAAGUAUUCAAAAUAAAUUUUAAAUAACAAAUAUUCCACCCUUAAAAAGCUAAGGUUAUGUAUGUGGUGCUUUACACGUUCAUUACACAUUUUAGUGAGAUCAUUCAAUCUUCAAUGAAAUCAUACUUGUUAAUCACUGUCAUGAUUGGUUAAUUCAAAAUUGAAUAUAUUUAUGGAAAGAUUUUAUUACUUUUACAAUUACACAAAUGAUGUGGUGGACAUCCUCCAUUUUGCCCACCAUACAGCCAGUGGAAUAUGAGCCUCCCUUCUUUAGUGCCGCCUAUAACGAUGAAAGCUUACAAUCGAUGGACGAAAUAUCCUUAUCAAACGGAUGUAAGAUAUUUUGUUUGGUUAAAUUAAAAUAUGGUGAUGAGUUAAUACUUACAAGAAUGAUUGAGGAAUCAAACCCGACAAAAGAUUAAUAAAAAUAUAUCCAAAACGAUGUCAUUUUGAUUAUGUUUUUGUCAGACUUUAGUUUAAAUGUCAGCACUCCAGUACUUAAUUAAUAUUUUUGUUUCAAAAAUUUAAUUAAUCUCUAUUUCUUUUUAAUUUUAUUUUAUGGUGAUCAUUUAUAGAUAUAAAAAUAGGCGUUAUAUUUGUGAAGAGAAAAAUGGCAAUAUUAAUAUCAGUACAUCUACGAAAAAGAAAACAAUUAGCAGGGUGAUUAACUAGUUAAGCUCCUUGUUAUCUUACAACAGAAAAUUAAUCAUCAUAUGGUGUUAUUUUUUCUUUUUAAUUAAUAGCUUAUUAUUUGUGGAUUAAUAUAAUAUUAUUGUGUUUUAUUUUCAGGAAAAUGAGAAGCUCUCAUGGCUGUGCUCUUCGGCUCUUUCCUCUGGGCCCUCUUCUGGGCUCGCGCGAGGUGGAGGCCCGUCAUUCUAUACAAAUGACCGAUUCUUAAAUAAAAAGAAAUAAAUGUUUUAGUUCAGCUUUUAACCUUUUUUACUGCUUGUCAAACUUAUUAGGGCCUCCUUUUUUAGAUAGAAUUAAUUUCUCCUUCUUUUUCUGAAGUUUGUCAUUUUUUUUUGGUUGUUGAAUGUAAAUAAACAUACACUUAUUAUUAAAAAACAAACAACUUUAUUUUUGAAGCAGUGCUAUGGAGUAAUAUGAAAUAUUUAACUUGUUUCAUUAUUUUGGUGAUGAGUGUAGGGUCCAUCUCACUUCGGUGGACUAAAAAGCCCAAAGUCCAAAAUAAUUUACUUGAUGUGUAAUUGUUGUAAAAUUUUAGACUUUGAUGAAAUUAAUCAUAAAAUAUAUGAAGGAAAUAAUUGAAGAAUUGCGAGAGCUGCAAACAUUUCACAAAUUGGGAAGACACUGCGAGAGAGAAAAAUGUAUUUUUUGGGUUCAAUCUUUAAUUAAACGAUCAGAAGGUGAUUUUAACUCCGAUUUCUUCCAAAUUUGGAGGGUAAGUUCUUGAAAUUGCCCUCUACAUUUCUAUUAGUGUUGAUUUGUAUUUUAUUCUCUCGGUAAUUGUUAUUUGAGAUAGAGAUAUUAUCAUUUUACUACCAAAGUUUUACUGACAUAUCACGUCAGUACCAAGGUUUUCCGAAAAGUGCAUUUUACUACCAAAAUUUUGCGUCGUUAUCAAUUCACUACCGUUCCGUUAACAACGUUAAAAAUGUACUGAUGUCAUAAGGGCAUCAAAGACAUUUCCAGUUGUAAGAGUAAAAUUGUCUGUUAAUUUGAUAGAUAAAUUAUCAUUUUACUACUAAGUUUUAGGGGAAUUAUCAUUUUACUAUCAAAUUUUUAAGGGAAUUACCAUUUUACUACCAAACUUUUGGGGGUAAAAUUGACUUUUAACUCAAUUUCCGUUAAAUAUUAACUUUUUCUUAACGGAAUGGUAGUGAAUUGAUAACGGCGCAAAACUUUGGUAGUAAAAUACACUUUUCGGCAAACCUUGGUACUGACAUGAUAUGUCAGUAAAACUUUGGUAGUAAAAUGAUAAUUUCCCUUUGAGAUACUCAAUUAUUGGAGAAAUAGAUUUUAGAUCUAUUAUUGUAAGACAAGAUUGUUGAGAAUCUUGAUGUUGUUAGUCUCGAGUGUUAUCUGGAGAAAAAUUCAUGCUGUAAUCCUAUUAAUAUAGUGGAAGUUUAUAUUGGACUACGGUCCCGUGGUUUUUUCUGAUUUAGGUUUUCCACAUAAAAAUCGGUGUCUCUUGUGGUUGAUUUAUUGCUUUGGAUUUAUUGGUUUAUUUUUCUACUUUAUUUGUUUGUGGUGCACAUCCUAUUUUAAUCACAUAAAAAGGGCAAAAGUUUUGUUUCUGCUUAAUUUACAGCUGCUCUUGUAAGUCACUUUCCCAAUAGAGUGGUAUCAAAGUGAGGUUGUGCUGUUUUUAUUACUUGUGUGGUUGAGAUGGAGUAGUCUUCGGUGUUCAUGAUUAAAUUAAAGUCAUGGAAUUAUAGUAUUUGGAAGUCUAGAAUGGAAGAUCUGCUCUACAUGAAAGACUUACAUGAACCUAUUAAAGGCGACGAAGCUAAACCCGCUGAUUUAAAUGAUAAGAAAUGGACUCAAUUGAACCAGAAGACCAUAGGUACUAUUAGGUCAUGGAUUGAUCAGAGUGUGUACCAUCAUGUCGUGAAGAAAUCCAAGACUGAUGUUCUUUGGAGAAAACUAGAAACAAUUUAUGAGCAACCGACAGCACAAAAUAGAGUCAAUCUGAUGAAAAGACUUGUUAACUUGAAAUAUAAGGAGGACCGCAGUAUAACUGAAUGCACUAGUGAGUUUCAGGGUUUGGUUAAUCAGUUGACUACUAUGAAGAUAAUUCUAGAUGAUGAGUUAUAAGCACUGUUGUUGCUUAGUUAUUUGCCUGAUAAUUGGGAGACAUUAGUGGUGUCAGUCAAUAAUUUAGAGCCGAAGGGCAAAUUAACCUUGGAUAUGACUACAGAUAAACUGUGGAAUGAAGAAUCUCGAAGAAAGAAUGCUGAAGUAGUUCCCUUUGAGUUAGCUGCACUUGUUUCAGAAAACCAAGAAAGAUGAGAAGAAGUUAAAGUAGAAAUUUUCGUCAACAGAAUAACAAUAACCUAGAGGGAGAUCUAAGUCCCAGAGGAGAAGUAUCAAGUGCUUUCAUUGUCGGAAAAUGGGCCAUGUAAAAAUAAAGUGUAGAUUGUGGAAAAGAGAACAGGCAAAAGAAAAAGGCGAUGGUUAGAAAAAUGACAAAGAGAAUACUGCAGUUGUAGUUGAUGGUGAUAUGAGUAUUGUUUAUAAUGAUAGUUCUAUAAAUCUCACUUGCCAUACAAGUGAUUGGGUAAUUGAUUCGGGUGCUUCAUUUCAUGUUAUUGCACAUCGUGAUUACUUCAAAUCCUAUGUUAAUGGUGGUUAUGGUCAUGUUCAGAUGGGAAAUGAUGGAGCAUCCAAGAUUGUGGGCAUUAAAGAUAUUUGCUUAAAAACCAAUGUUGGCUGUAAGCUACUUCUUAAAGAUGUCAGACAUAUACUAGAUAUUCGCCUUAAUUUGAUCUUUACAGGAAAACUUGAUGAUGAUAAUUAUAUUAACCAAUUUGGUGAAGCAAAAUAGAAGCUCAACCAAGGCUGUCUAGUGUUGGCUAAAGGAAAGAAAAUGAACACUUUGUAUGUAAUAGAAGCCAAGAUCAAGAAAGAAGAUGUGAACGUGGCUGUGAAAAAAUCUAACAUUAAGAUAUGACAUAAAAGGCUUGGUCACAUUAGUGCGAAAGGGUUAGAAACUCUUGCCAGAAAAGAAUUUCUACCAAGUUUUGCAGAUACAUUCUUCAAUACUUGUGUUUAUUGUUUAGCUGGAAAGACACACAAAGUAACUUUUAAAAGUUUUUCUCCAUCUAGAAAGUCACAAAUUCUUGAUUUGAUUCAUACUGAUGUUUGUAUAAUGCAAAAUAGAUUAGUAGGAGGUACACUUUACUUUGUGACUUUUAUUGAUGAAUGUCUUAGAAAAGUGUGGGCUUUUGCUUUGAAAUCUAAAGAUCAAGUGCUUGAUAUAUUUAAGUUCUUCCAUACUUAUGUUGAGAGAGGGACAAGAAGAAAAUUAAAAUAUGUCAAAGUAGAUAAUUGUGGUAACUACAGAGGACCAUUUAAGUAGUAUUGCAGAUCCCAUGAAAUUAAAUUUGAGAAUAUUGUACCAAAAACCCAUUAGCAAAAUGGUGUUGCAAAAAUGAUGAAUAUAACAAUUGAAGAAAAUAUUAGGUGUAUGCUUUCUAAUGUCAAACUUUCUAAAUCAUUAUGGGCAAAGGCUAUACGUACUGUAGUUGAUUUGAUUAACCUUUCUCCUUCAGCUCCAUUAGAUAGUGAUAUACCUGAAAGAGUUUGGAUUGGGAAAUAUGCUUCUUAUAAACAUUUGAGAGUGUUUGGGUACAAAGCAUAUGUUCACAUCCCUAAAAAUGAGAGAUCGAAGCUUGAUAAUAAAUCCAAGGAAUACAUUUUUUUAGGCUAUUAACAUGAAGAAUUUGGGUACAGAUUAUGAGAUUCAGUAGCAAGAAAAUUGAUCAGAAGUAGAGAUGUUUUGUUCCUUAAAAAUCAUAUAGUUGGUGAUAUAGAGAAUAAUGAUGAGUCUCAAUCAUCUCCCGAGAUUCUUAUUAUUCUAACUUCAGUUUCUCCACUUGUUGUUCAUGAUGAUCAUGAGGGAGUUGGAAAGGAUAAUAAUGAUGGUUUAGCAGAACCAAUUGAGCAAGCACCUCCAGAACCACCAGCACUACCAGUUGAGUGAUAAUUGAGAAGAUCCACUAGAGAACGACGACUUUUCACUCAAUAUCCUCUAAAUGAAUAUGUGAUGCUUACAAAUGGAGGGAAACCAGAAUGUUUUGAAGAAUUCAUGUCUCACCAGCAUAAAAAUGAGUGGAUGAAAGCUAUGCAAGAGGAGAUGAAAUCCUUGAGUGAGAACCACACUUAUAACUUAGUAAAGCUUCCUAAAGGAAAGAGGGAACUGAAGAACAAAUGGGUUUAUAAGUUGAAUAUUGAAAAUAACUCACAACAACGGAUAAGACUAGAUUCGUUAUGAAGGGUUUCGGUCAAAAGAAAUGUGUUGAUUUUGAAGAAAUAUUUUCUCCUGUAGUGAAUAUGUCUUCUAUCCAAAUUGUUCUGGGAUUAGCAGCUUGCUUGGAUUUAGAGAUUGAACAACUUGAUGUAAAUACAACUUUCUUGCACGGUGACUUAGAGGAGAAAAUAUACAUGGAGCAACAUGAAAGGUUCAAUGUCAAAGGCAAAAAAGAAAUUGUGUGCAAAUUGAAGAAAAACUUGUAUGGAUUGAAACAGGCACCAAGAUGGUGGUAUAAGAAGUUUGAUUCUUUUAUGGAGAAUCAUGAUUUCAAUAAGAUUAUGUCUUACCAUUGUGUUUUUGUGAAGAAGUUUGGUGAUAAUGAUUUUAUUAUUCUUUUGCUUUAUGUGGAUGACAUAUUGAUUGUUGGCAAAGAUGCUAGUAAGAUUGACAAUCUGAAGAGAGAGCUCAGCAAGUCUUUUGCAAUGAAGGACUUAGGAUCAACGAAACAAAUUCUCAGCAUGAACAUUUCCUGUGACAGAAAAAUAAAGAAGUUAUGGUUAUCUCAGGAAGCAUAUGUUGAAAAAGUUCUUGAAAGAUUUAACAUGGAUAAGUCAAAAUCUAUUUGUUCUCCACUUACAGGCCAUUUCAAGCUUAGUUCCGAACAUUGUCCUACAAGUGAGAAAGAGAAGCAAGAGAUGAGAAAAGUUCCUUAUGCUUUAGCAAUUGGUAGUUUGAUGUACGCCAUGGUUAUUACAAGACCAGAUAUUACUCAUGCAGUUGGUGUAGUCAGCCGAUUUCUCUUCAAUCCCAAUAAAGAACACUAGACAACAAUAAAAUGGAUUCUAAGAUAUCUAUUAGGCACUUCCAAAGCAUGUUUAUGUUUUGGUGGUGAUAAACCUGUGUUACAUGUGUACACAGAUGCAGAUAUGACAGGAGAUGUUGAUUCUAGAAAAUCUCUAUCAAGAUAUUUGCUCACUUUUACAGGGGGAACAGUCUCAUGGCAAUCUAGACUUCAGCAGUGUGUUGCUUUAUCUACCACAAAAGCAAAGUAUAUUGCAGUCACCGAAAGCUGCAAAGAAACCUUUUAGAUGAAGAUUUUUCUACAAAAGCUGGGUGUUAAACAAAACAGCUACGAUGUGUAUUGUGACAGUCAAAGUGCCGUCCACUUGGUAAAGAAUUCAACAUAUCAUUCGAAAUCGAAGUAUAGUGAUGUGAGAUAUCAUUGGAUAGAGACGUACUUGAGCAGAAACAGUUGCAGUUUGAGAAAAUUCACACAACGAAAAAUGAGUCAGAUGUGAUGACAAAAUCAUUACCUAAGGACAAGCUGGAAAGUUGUAAGCAUAUAGUAGGCUUAGUGGUGCCUCUUAGAUGAGAUGGAGGGGGAGAUUUGUAAGGUCCAUCUCACUUCAGUGGACCAAAAAGCCUAAAGUCUAAAAUAAUUUACUUGAUGUGUAAUUAUUACAAAAUAUUGGACUUGGAUGAAAUUAAUCAUGAAAGAAAUAUAUAUAGGAAAUAACUGAAGAAUUGCGAGAGUUGUAGCCAUUUCACGAACGGGGAAGACGCCGCAAGAGAGAAAGAGGUAUUUUUUGGGUUCAAUCUUUGAUUAAAUAAUCGGAAGGUGAUUUAACUUUGAUUUCUCUCAAAUUUGGAGGGUAAGUUCCUAACAUCACCCUCUACAUUUCUAUUAGUGUUGACUUGUAUUUUAUUCUCUCAGUGGCUGUAAUUUGAGAUACUCACUUAUUGGAGAAAUAGAUUUUAGAUUUAUUAUUGUAAGCCAAGAUUGUUGAGAAUUUUGAUGUUUUUAACCUCUAGUGUUAUCUGAAGAAGAAUUUGUGCUGUAAUCCCAUUAAUAUAGUGGAAGUUUAUAUCAGACUAUAGUCCUGUGGUUUUUCUUGAUUUAGGUUUUCCACAUAAAAAUCGGUGUCUCUUGUGAUUGAUUAAUUGCUUUGGAUUUAUUGGUUUAUUUUUCUACCUAUUUGUUUGUGAUGCACAUCCUAUUUUAAUCACAUAAAGAGGAAAAAAGUUUUGUUUCCGCUUAAUUUACAACUAGUCUUGUAAGUCUCUUUCCCAACAAUGAGACAUUUGUGGGGCCUUGGAGUAACAGAAGAAAGGAAAGGAUAUAUAUAUUUUGAAGGAAAGGAGUUGCGAAGGGAAAUAAAAUUGUGUGGUUUGAGAAAGUGUAUUAAAUGCCAAAUGGAAUGAAUUUAUUGAUUUAUUGAUUUAUAAUUGAUCAAAUAUCUUUAAUUUUAUUAAUCAACUAUUUUUUUCAGUGCAUUAAAUUAUUUGGUAUCUGAAAACCACAUUAAACCCCGACUAAUUAAUCAACUAUUUUUUAUUAUUAUAAUAGACUAUUAAAUAUACGUAGCACACUUCUAUUUUAUCGAUCCCUCAGCCAAAAUACUAUUAAUUACCGAACUAAUUUGUUAAAAUUUCCUGUAAAGGACGUAUAAAUUGCUGCCGUGGAGAUCUUUUCAAAGGAUGAGAACAUUGCUGUGUUGGAUAUAAAAUGCAAAGGAUAUGAAUGUAAAUGGAGAUUAUCGUUUAUCGUUUUUGCUUUUUCAAGGUUGGUAAAUGGAGAUAAAAGAAGCAGCAGAUCACCGAGGAGGAUUCACUAACAUUGGUGAUUUUAGGGGUUUCCUUGAGAUUACAUCUUUUGUAUUGUGUAGCAGAACCAUAAGCAGCAUUAGUCUCCUUAAUGAGCUGCUUGAAUUCAAUCAACGCUCGCCGCUGGAUGUAAUUGUAUUUUUCCAACUCUUUACAAUGAUCUUCUGUAGAAUAUAUUAAUUCUGUUUCACAGGCCUUGUUAAGAACGUCAAUGAAUGUCUCCAGCUUUGAUGUCUCCUCAGGAGUCUCUUUCACUAAAACUCCAUCAUGAGAAUAUUAAUUUAACCAGCGUUGUAUCAGAAAGUUUUAGUAUUGAGUUUAAUGUUUUUCUGUGCCUAGUUUGAUAAUCUUAUUUAGAGAAGAUUUCCUAUUUCCGUUUUGACACCGGUUUGAGGACAUACGAUUCCUAAUUCAAGUAGUAGUCUCCUGAGAAUUUUGAUAAUAGCAAACCGAAAGCCAGGGGAUAAAAGCAAGGAUGCGGCCCUUCAAAUUGGAUCAAAACUCUUUUGCAUUAAAUUUUCAUCUAUAAAGCCUUCAGAUUUUAAUUAUGUUUAAUUAUAACAUAAAAAAAUAUAAUUACAUCGAUAUUUUGUUAAAUAUGCUUAACCGAGUUAUUAUGGAUAAAGCAAUGCACCUCAUAGUAAAUAACCUAGAGAAAGUCCUAAGAACCAGCCCAACGGAGGAGAGGAUAGAUCAUAGAAGUUGGAUCUUGGGUAAGAGAAAAUUGAGGGAGGGAUAGGAAGUAAAAAGAACAACAUAUCUCUUCGUAAAUAUCAAGCCUACUUACAUCAAAUAAAAACAGGGGGCCUAUUUAUAAGCAAGUUACAAGUAUAGCCCUAAACAGCAAAUAAGAGGGAGGGAAAAACAACCAAGGUCCCCUAAUAAAAACAUGAACAAACUAGCAACAAGAUAACUCCUAAACCCUGUGAAAAAUUAAAGAAAUUGCAUCACAUUAGAAUCAAAAUAUUUGAACAAACCCUUACUCACACUUGAUUGACUUGUAUAUAUGUCGAACAAAGAGCAGUGAAGCACGGAAACCCACUGUGCCCAGCAUAAGGAAGAAGCCAUAACAGACGCAAGCCAUGUACCCAAAGAAAAAUGAGGUCUGCAUAAAACCUGACAUAUCUGAUCGUGCAUAGUAGUAGUACAAGCAGUAGGCAUAGAUGAAAACACCAGUAGAUCCACCACAAAGAAAAGACCUGUGAAAAAUUCAAGACCCAAAAUUAGUCCAAAAAGUAAACAUGAAGGUAGCAAUUGACAAUUGAUCCAAGUUAAAUUAAUUUGGAAAGCCAACCAACGACAUAAAUUUGUAAUGUAUUAAAUAUACACUUGUUUUAUACCCAAAAACACCUCAUUCUCUCAAACCAGUUCAUCAACUUCUACAGCUAUGGGCUAUUGUCAAACACUGGAACUUGAUAGCCCAGAAACUUGUGGGAUGUGGUAUGUCUCAACUAGACUGCCCAAACUGAUCCCUGAACACUUGGUUGAGAACCAAAUAUCUUAACCACUAAAAAUUAAUUAAUAUGCUAACGGUAUAACAUAAUAUACGUGGGUAAGUGAUCGUCUGUAUAUAAAGAGGAUAUAAAAGUGCAAACCUAAUAAAAAAUUGAGAUAGCAACCAAAAGAAGGCUUAAUUAUAGAGUCUGCAGGCAACAUUAAAUUCACGGCUAAUAGAAAGACACCUGGUGAUAGCUAUUUAUUCCACACAAAAGAAAUUUAAUUAUGUGAACAUCCAGCAGCUCAAGGCACACUAGCCUAUUUAUGUCAUAAUAAUCCCAAAAUGUUCCUCAGAAGUCUAACAUCCAGGAGAGACAAAAUGUAACCUUUUCAGACACUGCUGCCACCUAAGAUAUUCUAGAACAUGAGGUCUUAGAACUGAAUGUCACCCAUUCAUAGUAAAGAUAGCGUCUAGUUUACCUUCAAGGAAGGGAGGGAGAAAAGGUAAAACAGAAAGAUGUUCAAGUACAAAAAUAAUCGGAGUUUUUAAUAUUUUUGCCAAAAGUCUAUUUUUAAGCAGUAUAUGCAAUACAUAUUGCAUGGAAGCUUACUUAAUACGUUUUCAGCAUCAAGUAUCAACCUAAAAUGAUAAUAGCUAAAAUCCACACAACACAACAAAAUAUGUGUCCCUCCCAAAUACAAAUAGUUAACGAAUAAGACCAAUGUGGAAAACAAAACCAGACAAUAAGAACAAUAAGUCGCUAAUGUUUAAACCAUCAAAAAUUAAGAAGCUUAAGUGUGCCAAACAGCAAAAGCGGGCUGCGUAUAACCACUAAAGUUACAUCUAAACUUCAAUGAACAUACAGCAAUUAGAAAGCACCUUAUAUAGUAAGUAGUCUCAGUAUGGGUGAAUGAAUGAACCAGAAUAAAAUUCGGUAAUCUCCUGGGUGAACACAACAGUCUAAAACCCAAAACAAGUAAUAAGCUAAGCCAUAGAAGAAAGUAGAUGUGUCCCAAGGGGCAGUCUAGCUAACCACAAUCUUAUUCUUAUUGGAAUAUGAAUUUGCUCAAUGCUAUGCAGUGGGAUGAUAUUUUAUAAUAAACUCCAACUUUGGUGAAGUCAAAACAAAAUUGAUCUAACAUUCAAUCACCAAUUAUGAGACACCACAUUUUGAUUAAAAGAGGGAAAAGCUUGCCGAGAGAAAUAAACUACCUCAAGUUAUCAAACCAAAAACAGAAACAAACAUUCAAAAAGAGACCCCAAAAAAAAAAACUACAAGAAAUAACAAGUUCAAAAUUUCACAUUGUGAUUAUUAAAGAGAUGAAAAGGAAAAUAAAAAUCAAAAUAGACAAGAGAGUUUACAUACCUCCACCACCAUUCAUGAUCUUCAGCAGCAAGUUGGAAGUAAGUCAAAGCCACAGUUAUGAAAGCAGUAACAAUCAACAGAAUGAUAAAGACAAUAAAGAGAAUGCUAUAUAUUGUGUAAAUCCUGUGGCCCCAAACACUGGCAAAAAUAUAGUAAAGCUCAAUGUAGAUGGCACUAAAUGGCAGGAAACCUGCCAUUGCCAUCUGAGGAAUAGCACUCCUAUACCAAGGUAGUGGUGGGAUCUCUCGAGGGUACUUGGUCGUACGACAAGGAGCUUGGAACUCUGCCUUGCUGUUUUUACCAGCAAUACCUCCCAACACAAGUAGAGGUGAUGUGACUAAUGUCCAUAUGAGGACUAUCACCACAAUUGUGCCAAAUGGCAGUGCUGCUGUCGCAUUGUACGCAAUGGCAACGGUGUUCAGGAAGCAGAAUGUCAGAAACAGAGGACCACAGAAAAGGCAUCCAGUCAGCAACAGAUUCCUCACCUGUCAAACCAACAAUUUGAAAAUAAAUUAUUUCACAACAUCCAGUUUUUAGAAAGAUCAUGCCUAGAAGUUAUAAUAGCCCAAGACAUAGUUAAUUCAAGCAUACCCAGUUUGUUCCUUCUAGCUGACAGUAGAAAGAGGCAGCUGUAUAUCCCGCAAUCCCAGAAGUGAGUGCAUAUAUGACCACCAGUGCUGUAAAUAGAGCUCCUCGGUUGUAUGGAUAAAAUACACCCACUAGCGCAAGCAUAAAAAUAAAUACAGUGCUGGAAAUGAAUGCAAUUCAAUCAAAAAUCAAUGGUUGGCAUAAAAUGGCAUCAUAACAAACUGAAUGAAAUUUGAACAAACAACAGUGUAACAUCCUUACAGAGUAAACAACUGGCUGCCAGAACCAAGGGCUGCAGCAAACAAAGAUUUGUAUUUGGGGAACCGGAACACAUCACCAUGGAUGUACUUCCAUCCUGUCUCUUCCUGGUCAUCAGCAGCUUCCUCAUCUUGGGCAUACCUAUCAAUAAAUUAAACAUAUGUGGUAGAACACUUGAGGAAGAAAAGAUAUAUCAGUAGAUAAGCAAAUGAAGGUAAGAAAUUUAAAAUACAAAACUCACUUCACAAAAUCAUUCUUCAGAACUCGCAUGAGAAUCGUGGCAAGAAAACCAGUCAAAAGCAAAACCGUCACACAAGAAUUUAUAAUUGAAAACCAAUGAAUUUCCAAAUGAUGUGGCAACGAAGAAGAGAGUGAGUACUUCUCCAUCCUCUUCUCAAAAGGGGUGUCAGUUUCCUUCCAUUUCACACUGUACAUGAACUCCACAUCAACCUCCUUAUCCUCUGUCAAGUCCACCAAAGAAUGAGGAUCCAUUCGAGCACUGAUCUCAAUAACACGGUCUUUAUUAUAAAGAAUGUCAAACUGGAUAUGCUUGUAAAGGAAAUACUUAUAAUCGCUCGGAUGAGUCUUUCCUUCCUUGUCAACUUUACCAAUGAACCCCCAGAUGGGUAAGUCAUCAUAGUACAUUUGGAAAUAGAAGUCUUUUUCCACUGCACUUCGGAACUGAGCAACAUCUUGCUCGGACAACUUCUUUCUACACGCAAGAGCAGAGUCCUUCUCGUCUCUGAAGUUGAGUUUAUAAGGAGCACUAACAAGUCGGUCCCCAUUCAACACCUCACCAAGUGCUUCCCUUUUCUCUUUUAUUAUUGCAUCUGCCAUAAAAAAAUAAACCCGAAAAUCAUUCUAACACCUACAUAACGCAGUAUCGGAAUAAUUCCAUUGACCCUUCCCCGAGCUUUUACUAAUACACAAAAAUUAGAGCAAAAGGGGUAAGAGGAAGAACCUGGGGAGCAGAAUGGUAGAUCAAAAUAUCGAUAAGUUUCACUGAAAUCACAAAUUAUAAUAAACAAGAAUUAGAAUCAAAGCAUAGAAUUCUUGAGGGCGUGUUUGGCAGGAUUGAUGAUAAUCUACUGUAAACACCCGAAUGCAUGAAUCGCAUUUGCAUCCUUGGCAAAGAAGGAUCUCACGGAUCCAAUUCCAGAUCUUAAAACCAAAAGAAUAAAAAAUGAUAAGAGUUACCUGGGGUUGUGGAAAGGGCCAACCUUAUUGGCGUAUAGAGGGACAGGGUCACCGACCUUGAAGCGGUGAUCGGAAGAAUCAGAUCUCACAUGGGUCAAGCAACAGGCGAUCAGAACCCCGACAACAAGAAGUGUGAUAGGGGAAUCGCUCAUUGUUUGACUAAUUUUCUGAGAACGUGAAGACAAGUGCAAGUUUCAAGUGACAAUGAACCAGACACAGGCCUCUUAGAGGGAGCUGGAGGUCGUGCAGGUUAUAUAUAUAUCUAUUAAGCGAGGCCCCGGAGAUCUGAGUAAUUUUUUUUCUUCUUUUACUCUACUUUUCGUUUGACUUUCGAUGCUUCUUCUUAUCAGUUCGUCUUUUGGGGUAAAUAAAUUCAUCCCUUCAUUAAUGUUUGAUCCGGCUUGAUCUGGUUCGAUAGUUUAAGAACCGACUAGGUUUUUAUUUUUUUAAUUUUUUUAAUUCGGCUCGGUUUUGGACAAACUGACAGUACCCGCAUGCCCGCAUCUAAUUUGACCAUACAAUUUUGCGAGUCCAUGUGAUCUUAUUAUCAUGACAUUGACACCCCAAUUGUAGGGAGCUGGCUAAGUUACGGAUUCUGUAACUUACAGAUCCAGCUUUAGCCAACUCCCGUACACACCCAUUUGCUGGCUUUUCUCUCCCCUUAAGACAUGUGUACUCCUCUCAUUUGGUGCAUAUGUUACAUAUUCUUUUUUUUUUUUUUAUUACAUGAGACUAUUGCUCAGAUUACAACUCAUAUACAUGAGACUAUAACUGAUAUUUACAAAGCAGACUAGUACUGGGACCAACUUAUAUAAUUGCUGAUGGAGCUCUGCCCAGAUUUUUGACCCUCACAAAUAUUUGAGGGAUGUCUACUCCUCACUCAUGGGUAAGGGAGAAGACUACCUUCACUCAAAUUAAUUGAGGAAGAAAAUACCCCAACAAUACUUUUGUGGGAGUUCGAACUGCUGCCCUCCAAGUUGGAGGGCAGCAGCCCUGGCCACUCGGGCUGAGCCGAAUGGUUGUAUGUUACAGAUUCUGUAACAUAAGCAACCUCCCAAUUGUAGAUGGGUCGACAGAUCUACUCAACUUCAUAUUUAAAUUCAUAAUAAAAAUUUAAAUUUGUAGUUACUCCAUAUCCAUCCUGAAUUUAUAUUUUUCACUCUAUAUCCAUAUCUAUAUCCGAAAUUAAGCAUCUUUAUUUCGGAUCUAGAUAUGAAACGAUUAAAUAAAUAAGCCAUUAACUAAGCACUAAGGUUGUGUUUGUUUUUUUAUCUAAAAUAUGAAUAGGUCUGAAUGAAAAUAUCUUAAUGACAUGUUUGUUUUUUCUUUUUCAACAUUUGAAGAAAAAAAUUUAAAAUUUAGUAAUUUGACAUAAAUAUCCUUUUAAGUGAUUCAAUAUUUGUUCUUAACAAUUUAUAAUUUUCACAGGUUAAUUAGUUUGGUAGCAUUAAAAAAAACUAUCAUUAUUGAUCUUAAUUUAAUUUUGUAAUAAAAGAUGUAAUUACAAUAUCAACUCUUAUUAUAAAGUUAACACUAUUUUUUUUUUUUAUUCAUCAUAAUGGACAUAAUUUGAUUUAUUCAAUAUUUCAGUUUAGUUAAUGUUAUCAUGUGAAUAAAAUUUUAAAACAAUUAAAAAAAUAAUUUCAAGAAUAAUACAAAAAUAUUAGGUUUAUAUAUAAUAUUGGAAAUACAUGAAUUGUUAAGGGUAUUUUUGAGAUUUGAAAUUAAAAUUUUUCAUUUUCACUUCAGACUUCAGAUAAAAGUGAUUUUUUUUUUUUUACUUUUUCUAUUUAGAUAAAAUUGUCUGACAAUAAGUGAUAAGUUAAAAAAAACCUAAAAUAAAUAAAUAUCUAAAAAUAAAGUUAAAUUCAAAUUUCAGACUAAAAAAUAAGAAUAAUGAUAUAGCCACAAACUCUUGUACAAACUUAUUUUGUACAAACUGAUGUGGCAUGAUAAAAUUGGUUGAAUUAAAUAUCACUUGGCCCACAUGAUUUGUUUUUAUUAUUUUAUAUUUUCAUUCAACCAAUGAAUUAAUGCCACGUUAGUUUGUACAAAAUAAAUUUGUACAAGAGUUUGUGGCUGUAUCAUUACUCAAAAAAUAAACAUCACCUAAAUAUUGUAACUUCUACUUUUACACCAAAACAAACAAAUAAGAAAGAUAAUAAAAUAUUCAUCAAAAGUAAUUGUAGGAAUAAGAUCAUUGUAAUUUAGCAAGUAAAUGGGUUUUUGAUUUCGAUUCUCGUUGCAGAAAUGUAACCACACCAUUAAUGUGUUAGAUUCUUUGUAUGUUACUCAGUUUAUCCAAGGGCAGUAAAGUACGCAAACUAAUCUUUUUUGGGUUAUAGUUGAAAUAAAACAAUUCAUGGUGCCAAAGUCAUAAGCAUGACUUCAGGAUUUAAUAUAUCUCAAAGAACUGCAGUCAAACUGCGGAUACUUUACCUAAGUUUAAUUUGAACUUCAUUUUAGUAAUUCUUUUGUAUUAAUAGAAGAUUUCCCUCUGGAACUAUCUUGUUAUCUUUGAGUUUUUUGGAUCCUGAUUUUAUGAGAAUUUCUUUUUCCAAAAAAGGAAAAUGUUUAUGUGAAAUCUCAAAAUUGUGUAAUCUAUUAUUCGAGUUAUUGUAUUCAUUCAUCUUAACAUAAAUUCCAAUUUAAGAAAAAAAAGUAAAGAAAAAUAAACAACCCUACAAUACCAUUUGGGGUCUGGUACAAAAAAUCUGGCACUUCUUUAAGCUUGAGUUUAAGAAGUUUAUAGCAACUAAUAAAGAGUGAAGAUAAGAGCAUAGUUUAACAUGGAUAACGACUGUUACUGACGGGGGUGAGGAUAAGAGCACUAUCUAUUGCUGCAAGGCUUUGAUGUAGCUCUUAAGGAAAUUUUGAUGGCUAGUUAUGCCUUGUUUUGUUAUGAGAUAUUAUUACUUUUAAAAUACAAUUGUUGUGAAAAAAAUUAUAGUUAAAAAGUAAAGGUUUAUAAUAUGUGAAAAUAUGUUAAUAAUUUUAAUUAAAAAUAAAAAUAUUAUAAAUUUUUCAUCACACAAUUAUAAAAUCAAAUCAAUCUAACUUAUAAAUCACAAUAGUAAGUGUUUGCCUAAUUAUAAUUUAAAACUUAAAUUAUCCUAUCACACUAUCAAAUAGGGUCUAAAAAUACUUGAAAGAAAAUGAAUCGAAAGAUCGUACGGGCAAUUAUGGACCCAAAAGCAACUAAAUCCUUGGACAAUUUAUGCAAUUGCUCAAUGCCUCUCCUAAAAUUAAGGCUUCAUCAUACCUUUUCUACUUACAAAUUAUUUUAUAUUUAAUUUAUUAUUUAAAAUUGAAUUAUUAUAUUUGUAUCUCUUAAAAAUAAGGCCCCAUCUUUUGCUAUUUAUUUUUGUUUUCUAAAAAUAUAGAGGGAUAAAUAAAGUCCAAAUCAAUUUUUUUAUUCCCUACCAUCCUAGAAUUUGAACUUGGGUGGCCAAAGAAUUAGUUUAUAUUUAUUUUCUUGUUUAAAAACUUGAAUUUCAAUAUUUGCCUGUAGUUAACAAUUAAACUGGACUAAGAUUUAGUUAAGGAUUACUCUCUAUUUUGGAAGUGAAAUUUCCAUCACUAACCUCAAUUUUUGUUUCUUUCCUACUACAACACAUCCUCUUUAUUUUUUAUAAGGCAGAUCAGCAGCCCCUAAAAUAACACCUAUUUUUACACUUUUUUUGAGCUAUUAAAUAAACAUAAAUGAAUCGCUCCAAUUACAUUGAUCAAUUAGCUAAAAUUAUUAAUCUUACACAAUAAUUUCCAAGAUUUUUCUCUCUAGAUAUCCUCUUUCUUCAACACUUUUACUCUUUUCUUUCUCCUCACUCCAGUGUUACGUGAAAAUACUAUUAUCGAAAUAAUAAUUUGUUAGCCACGUUAAAAUUCUUAUAUAAUGUGAGCACUGAAAAAUGAUUUUGCAACAUUUUUUUAUGCUCAACCAAUAAUAUAUCAAGGAAUAAAGUUUUUGAAUUGCUUAGCUGUUAUAAUUCAAAGCAUGAUUGAUAGUAAUUUGAAUGAUCUAAAAUUGGUUGAAAUUUUGGGUUAUUUGAACAAGAGUAACAAUAGAGUUAAAACUCCUUUAUGAACUUAUUUUGUACAAUUUGAUGCGACAUAAUUCAAUUCGUUAGAUUAAAUAUCUCUUGACUCGCAUAAUUUAUUUUUUAUUAAUUUGUAUGAUCAUCCAAGUAAUAAAAUUAUACCACAUCAGUUUGUACAAAAUUAAUUUAUACAAGGUUUAAUAUCAUAGAGUUGCUAAUAUACCCUCAUUCUUUGUAAUCUCUCAAAAUUAAACAUAUUUGGACAUAAUCCCAAGAAAAAGCAAAUCUUAAAAGAUAAUAAUAGUUGUAAAAAAAAACCGUUAAGGAUUUUCUAUCUAAAAAACUUAAUCUUAAUACUUAUUUAUUACAAAAAUUCCCAUCAAUAUCAUUAAUUUUAAAUUAAAUAAAAAUGCCUACUUAAUUUAAUUGAGCCGGCGAGACAGAAAUUUCAUUUAGAUAGGACCACCAAAUGCAUUUAUUUUAUAAUGUUGGCAUAAUUUGAAGAAUAUAUAUAAAUACAUUCUUUUCUUAUUUAAAGCAAUCCUGUACAAAAGUUGUAUUGAUUUUGUGGACCGACAUGAUAACUGGUCGCAUUUUUUUCUCAUAUUCUUUCGUGUAUCGUUGUUGACCGACCGUCCAUGAAGUGACUCGUGAGUAGGAUCUCCACUUCCACUGCAAAAUUUCCUUCUACGUCUCUGAGCCUUUCAAAUUUCUUAUUUAAGCAUAUAUUUCGACUUUUCUCUAUGUCGGUCCUUUUCGAGUUUCGCCAGUUUCUGUGAAAGGUUUGUUAAUGAAAUCAGUAAAUUGAUAAAUGUACCACCAAAAACAGCUAAUUAUGUAAAUUUUAUGAUAUUAACUCCCCCAUUUUUCAAUAUCUUAAAAAAUUAAAAAAUAGAAGGCCAACAUUUUUACCCCUACAGGAUUUUAAUUUUACCUUUUUUUAUAUAACUUUCGUGAUAAAUCAUCAAAUAUUUGAGAUUAAAUUUUUUAAAAAAUUAUUAAUUAUUUGUAAUUGGGAUAAGAGGAGAUUUUCAAUAAAAGUUUUUACAAUAGGGAUAACUGGAUAUUGUAAAAAGUAUAAAUCAUAAGUCACCUAUAUCAACUUGAAAACUGUAAGGGAAGAAGUCAUUUUCCGAAAAUAAGAAUUUUAAUAGUAAUUUUAGCAAAAUAAAGAAUAAAACAGUAAGAUUAAAAAAAAGGAACUCUAAGAUUGAAACAAUUUUUCAUUAUGAAAAUCACCUAACCUUGUAAAUGCAAAAAAAAAAAAAAAAAUCUCUUCCAUUAUGAUUAUAAACUGCAUUAUCAUAAAAUCAGUGCAUAAAUAUGGUAAUUAAAAUGCUUUUGCUAAGAUCAAUUUUGAUUCUCGUGGAGGUCAUUAAGGCCCAAAGAAUGAACUAGAUAACAUAAAUCUAGCUUCUAUGUAAUUAACUAAUAUGCUUACUUAUGUUAUUUGAAGAAUCAUUUAAUAAUAAAUAGGUAAAAACCAACAACAUGGAAAGCUGACGAAACAAAAACGUAAACGAAACACAAGUUUAUGAAUAACAAACUUUUAUUGAAUAAAUCUCAAUUGAAAAAAUUAGGGUUUUCAACAUUUUAUAUAAUAACACUAAAUAUUAAGAAUUUACCAAAAUAUGUAAAUUUAAAAUAUUAUUUUAUAAUAAAAUUCUCCUAAUCUAAAUAAGAAAAGAAAAAUAAAUGGUGUUCAAAUUUGAAUUUUAGAAAAAAAAAAUUCCUAAGAGAAUCAAGAAAAAUAGAAAAAAAUCUUAAAACUGAGAACGACUAAGAAAGAAGCGGAAUUUCUAGCUCGACCACGCGGUAAAAUGGCACAACCAUUAUGGGUUUGGUUUGUUUGACCGCAAACUUCAAAAUGGUAUAUAAUACGCGAAAAACGAACACUUAUAACUUAAAUUAUGCCCUCAAAAAGAUACCCCGCUCACACUACACAACCAUCCUACAUCAAACAGUAGGGAUAUAUACAAGAAAAAGAGAAAACAUAAUACUUCAAGGGUCUGAAUGUAAAAAUUCUUAGUACUUGUUUUCCUGAUAUAAAUAAAGAGCAUUAGAAGAGUCAUCGUGUUGAAAGUAAAGCGCCCAGCGUGGAAUCAUUGUGGUAAUUUAGCUAGGCAAAUACUGGAUAGGAGGAAAAUGAGGACGGCCAUUCCAGAAGAACCCUUGGGCUCAACAGGGAAAUCGAUUCCUCUUGUAGGCUUUGGAACCGUUGAAUAUCCAUUGAAUGAAGCCUUUAAAGAACGCGUUCUGCAUGCAAUUAAGCUGGGGUAUAGACACUUUGAUACUGCUGCAGCUUACCCAUCCGAGCAACCUCUUGGCGAAGCAUUAGCCGAAGCUUUACGUCUUGGCCUCGUUCAAUCCGGCGACGAGCUUUUCAUCACCUCAAACCUCUGGCUCACCGACUCCUAUCGCGGCCGUGUCAUCCCGGGCCUACAAAAAACUCUCAAGUAAUUUUAGGACAGCCGUAACUUAAAAAUUAUAAUACUAGGUUCGAUAAGCGCUAGCUAUUAUGGUUUUAAAACUAAAUUAUGUGAUCCACUACUUCCAACUUCCAUGAUAAAAAAAUUAUAAUAUCAUUACUAUUUUUGUUAAAAUUAUUAUUUAAAAAUCAUAUUUACUAUAUAUUAUUAAUUUUUAUUUUAUAACUAUAACUUCUUCUUUUUCGUUAUUAUUGUAAUUUAAAAACUACAGUAUCUUAAUAUCAAACAAACUUUAAUCUAAUGAGCAUGCCUAACUUUUGUGACUUUCUUAAUAAAUUUUAUUUAUUUGUUCAUUUUUUUCCCUCUUUGUGUAGGACUCUUGGAUUGGAGUACCUUGAUCUCUAUCUAGUUCAUUUUCCGGUAAGCUUGAUUCUAGAGGCGACGUAUCCGGUGAAGCCGGAGGAUAUUCGUUCAUUUGACUAUGAGAGUGUUUGGGAGGAAAUGGAGAAAUGUCAAGAGCUAGGUCCUACAAAAAAAAAAGGAGUAAGUAACUUUACAUACAAGAAACUUGAGAGGUUACUUGCUACAAUGCUACUGCAAAAAUUCAUCCUGCUGUCAAUCAGGUGAGUGAAUGAAAUUAAAAUAUUGGGACGAAAUAUUGUUUUAUGCCUCUAUAUAUAAAAUGCAUUUUGUUUGGUAAGCUGGAGAUGAAUCCGAUUUGGCAGCAAAAGAAGCUGCGAGAGUAUUGUAAGGAGAAGGGAUUCAUUUUUCAGCUUUCUCACCAUUGGGAGCGGUAGGGACUAACUGGGGACACAAUCGAGUUAUGGAAAAUGAGGUGCUCAAACACAGUCUUUCCGUUAGCUUCUGCGAUCUGUUUGAUGAAGGUCAACAAGAAGGUCAACAAGAAGGUGUGCCUAGUGAAAUGGAAGAAUCAACUCCAUUACGAAGGUCAACAAGAACCCGAAGGCCAAAUCCCAAAUACGCUAAUGCAGCCAUAGUUGAAGAAGCAACUGGAAUAGAACCUGAGACGUUCGAAGAAGCGUCACAGAGUUCUGAGUGGAUGACAGCUAUGAAAGACGAGAUCACUGCACUUGAACAAAAUCAGAACUGGGAACUCGUGCCAAAGCCAAAAGAUGUGAAACCCAUAUCCUGCAGAUGGGUUUACAAAAUAAAGCACCGUCCAGAUGGGUCAAUCGAGAGGUACAAGGCUCGAUUGGUAGCUCGUGGUUUCUCUCAACAAUAUGGACUAGAUUAUGACGAAACGUUUAGUCCAGUGGCAAAACUUACAACCGUCCGAGUCUUACUUGCACUUGCAGCCAACAAAAGCUGGAACUUGUGGCAGAUGGACGUGAAGAAUGCCUUUCUCCAUGGAGAGCUGGAUAGAGAGAUCUACAUGAUUCAACCGAUGCGUUUUCAGAACCGAGGUCAUCUUGAGUAUGUGUGUAAACUGCGAAAGGCUCUCUACGGACUAAAACAAGCACCCAGGGCGUGGUAUGGCAAGAUUGCUGAAUUUCUAACUCAAAGUGGGUAUUCAGUAACAUCUGCAGACUCCAGCUUGUUUGCUAAAGCUAAUGGAGAAAGGAUAGCUAUUGUGCUCGUGUACGUAGAUGAUCUAAUCAUCACUGGAGAUGAUGUUGAAGAAAUUUUCCGAACAAAGGAGAACUUGUCAGUUCGUUUUCAAAUGAAAGAACUUGGACAACUUAAGCAUUUCCUUGGGCUAGAGGUUGAUCAGACGAAAGAAGGGAUAUUUCUUUGUCAACAGAAAUAUGCCAAAGAUUUGUUGAAGAAGUUUGGGAUGCUAGAAUGUAAGCCGAUCUCAACACCGAUGGAACCAAAUGCCAAGAUGUGUGCACAUGAAGGCAAAGACCUGGAAGAUGCAUCGAUGUAUCGACAAUUAGUGGGUAGUCUAAUCUACUUAACCUUGACUCGACCUGACAUUUCUUAUGCUGUUGGCGUGAUGAGUCGAUACAUGCAAAAUCCGAAGAAGUCUCAUUUAGAAGCGGUUCGGCGAGUACUCAGAUAUGUGAAGAGUACAAUAGACUAUGGUCUUCUAUACAAGAAAGGUGGAAAUUGCAAACUAGUUGGCUACUGUGAUGCUGACUAUGCAGGAGAUCACGAUACUCGCAGAUCAACUACUGGGUAUAUGUUUACCCUUGGAUCUGGAACGAUUUCUUGGUGUAGCAAGAGACAACCGACUGUGUCCAUGUCAACUACGGAAGCAGAGUAUCGAGCAGCAGCAAUGGCAGCUCAAGAAAGCACGUGGCUGAUACAACUAAUGAAUGAUCUACAUCAACCAAUAGAUUAUACAGUUCUGUUGUACUGUGAAAACCAAUCGGCAAUUCGGCUGGUGGAGAAUCCUGUUUUUCAUGCAAGAACUAAACAUGUGGAAGUGCAUUACCACUUUGUUAGGGAAAAAGUUCUGCAAGAAGAGAUUGAGAUGAGGCAAGUCAAGACAGAUGAACAAAUUGCUGACUUGUUUACAAAAAGCUUGAGUGUUGGAAAGUUUGAACAUUUCCGUCGUCAGCUUGGCGUGAUUCAAAGAAUGGGGGCUAGCAUUGAGGGGGAGUGUUGAGAAGUCAAUAUUAGCCCAAAUAAGUCCACACCUAAAUUAAUUUGAUGUCAUUGCUUACAUCAAUUUAGUUAGGUGAAUAUUAGCCCAAAUAAGUCCACACCUAAAUUAAUUUGAUGUCAUUGCUUACAUCAAUUUAGUUAGGUGAAAAUUAGGUAUUUUUCCCAUGUUUAAUUUCAAUGGUUUAAAUUAGUUUGUGGUUAUUUUAAUGAGUGGUUUAGAUUGUUUCUUGUAACCUAUAAAUACCUCAUUUGUAUUUGAGUUUUAUCAUUAAACAAUCAAAGCUUUAUUAUAAGCAUUUGAAAGUUUUCUUAAGAGUUCUUCUCUUUUGCAAUUUUGUGAGAUUAUUCUAAAGAGAGUUUUUCUUCUUCUUGAUCAAUUAGAGUUUUUACUCUAUUUUGAUUCAACAGACUGUUGCUCAGUUAUUUCAUAAUUCAUUUUUCCUUUCAACUUGAGAAUUAAAAUACAACAACGAAACCUAUCAAUCACUUUCAUCUGCAGUGUUAAAUUGAAUGCUAACAGUAUUUAUUUUGUUUCAAAAAAGUUUUUAUAUUUGAGAAAUAAUUCUUUUUAGAGGCUUAAUUAGAAGUUGAAGAAAUGUAAAAGAUUAUUCCGUUCAUUGCUGCUCAGUAAAUUCAAUAAAAAUGAAAGUAGGCAAAAUUGUAUUAUUAUAUGAACCCAUAUAUCUAUCUGUAAAAUCUCACAAGUUCAAACAAGAGAGUUAGGAUUUGAACCCUACUCAGAUGGGUGGGAAAAGUGUUUAAUUACCAAUAUACUAUUCAUUAAUAAUAGUAAUAAUAAGAAGCUAUGUUUUAAAGUUGUAUGACAUAUCUAAUUGCAAGUUAUGAAAUUUUAUUAUUGAAUAGAUGAAUGAACAUCAUACAUUAAUUGAGAUGAUUUCUUGUAAUAGAAGCGACAGAACAAUACAAACAUCCUAUAUAUAUAGAGAGAGUCAUUCUCUAGUGUGGGUACUUGUUUUAGAAUGCAGAUUUGAAAUUUCACAAUAGUGUCAACAUGCCUGAGAAUAAUUACAUAUUUUCUCAUAAAUAAUUGAUUUUUUUUUUCCUCUUUAUUUUUUCUGGUGCAUGUAAAGGUUGCUAUUAGGUGGUUUUACCAGCAAAGGGUGAGUGUCAUUGUAAAGAGCUUUAAUAAAGAACGAAUGGAACAAAACCUUGACAUAUUUGACUGGGAGCUAAGUGCGGAAGAGCUUCAAAAGAUAGAACAAAUUCUGCAGUACAGAGGAAGCCGUGCUGAGGCGUACCUAUCAGAGAAUGGUCCUUUCAGAACUGUGGAGGAAAUAUGGGAUGGAGAAAUUUAAUAUAAUAGUAUGCCUUUGUUUUUCUAUUCUGUAAUGCCUAUUCUAUUUACAUUAUGUAAUUCUUGUUUCUAAAAUAACUCUUCACAUUUUAGGCUUUUCUUUUUGGUGUGUGUGUAUGGUUGGGGGCGCCGGGGGGAUUCAGCCUUGAGCUUGAGAAAAAUAAAGUUACAGAAGUACACCAAAUAUUCUUAAUUCUAGUUUCUUGUGCAUCACAACACCAGUAGCAAACAUGAUAGAUUUAGCUCCCUUGCAAUCAACAAGUUCUUUUGCAUGAGUACACAAGGAAGUAAGAAACAUACAGACACAUGAAGGAUUUCUGAUUAAACAAAUGACUUUAAGAAUAAUAAUAAUAAUAAUCAUAUCGUAGUUGGACAGAACACGAAACAACAUCAGCAUCUCCCAAACUGUUUUAACACACCUUUCACUCAAUAAAUUAAACAUAAAAUAAUAGUAAUCACAAACUUAGCUGAAAUAUCAGCAAUAUACCAGCUACAGUUUGUUUACAAGAACAAAGUACAACAAGGAAACAUUGACAGAUUUCUGUAAAAUUUUGCACACUACAAAUGAAGAUACGCAAUAAAUAAAAACAACUGCAAAGAACAGAAAAUUAAUUUUCAUUUAUCAAACAGAGCAUAGUAGAAAGUAUCAAGAACUAAAAUAAAGCAUUACCCACACUGCAAACUUACUCGUUUGAUGCACAUUGUCCAUGUACUUGUGUUGGAAACCCUACAAGCCAACAGUAUUACAAAUACAAAUUAAAUUGCAUGUAGAUGAUACCAAAUGCUCAAUCUAAAAGAACCCCCCGCCCCUCCUUCCAAAUUACUCAAACCAAUAGUCUAAACUUAGCCUAACAAACGUUACUUAUGUCAAAGUUGGCUGCAUCUAGAAGUGUUUGGCAUGGCUGCAUCUAGAAGGGUUUGACAUUUGAAAAAAAAGAAAAUGGUGCAGCCGGCCAAAGAAAAUGGUGCCAUCCAAAUGGAGAAAAAGAAGAAGUUGGUAACUACAUUUGAAAUAUAUACAUAUAUAUAUUAAUUUAAUAGCCAUUUUUUGGCUAUAAAAGGAAGUGCUCACUCAUUCAUUUGCAUUCAAUUCCAUCGAGAGAGAAGCAUUGCUUUCUUGAGUGUUGAGAGUUUUAAGAGUUUAAUAAACUCUUGAGUGUCUAGUGAGUUAGAGAGUUUGGGUGUAUUGGGGUUUUGGGAAGUGAGCUAAAAUACUACAAUACUUGUAACUCCUUUUCACUAGUAAAAUAUUUCCUUCUGUCUUCGCCCGUGGACGUAGGCUAAAAGCCGAACCACGUAAUUUUCUAGUGUCCUCUAUUGUGCUUGUUCUUUAUUUUCUUACAAUUUCACUUUAGCUGCGUGUCUGCUUCACCCACCAAUUUCCUAACAGUGGUAUCAGAGCUAUUAGUUGUAUUUUUUGGAGUCGGGUACUAUUCACGUAAGGGGUACUAUUCACGUAUACGGCGUACGGUACUAUUCACGUAUACGGCGUACAGUACUAUUUACGUAUACGGUAUACGGCACUAUUGAUGUAUAUGGUACUAUUCACAUAUACGGUACUAUUCACAUAUACGGUACUAUUUACGUGAAACGGUGGAAGCGAUCCAAGAAUUUUGCGGUGCAAAGCAGGGAAUAGUGGUGUGAGUAAAGCAACUGUGUGGUUUUGUACAUGUCUAGGAAAGUUUUGUCACAAAGGCGAUAAGAGCUUAAGGAGUCUGGGUUUUAAGUGGGACCAUUGUGACCCCUCCAGUCUUUCCUGGGAACUUUCCUGGUGUGCAUUCUCACACAUACUCACAACUAUUCAAGGUGGUACACUAGCUUGUGUGCAAUAUUAUCAACAAAAUGGCGGCAAAGUAUGAAAUUGAGAAGUUUAACGGAAAUAAUUUUUCGUUGUGGAAAAUGAAGAUGAAAGCUGUAUUGAGGAAAAAUAAUUGUUUGGCAGCAAUUGGAGAAAGGCCCAUGGAGAUAACUGAUGACAAGUGGAACGAGGUAGACGGCAACGCUAUUUCUGAUCUACACUUGGCACUUGCGGAUGGAGUAUUAUCCAGUGUGGCAGAGAAAAAUACGGCGAAGGAAAUUUGGGAUACUCUCACAAAAUUGUACGAGGCCAAGUCACUACACAAUAAAAUCUUCUUGAAGAGAAAACUAUAUACUCUUCGAAUGGCGGAAUCUACAAUGGUGACCGACCACAUCAACACAUUGAAGACUCUAUUUUCACAACUCACAACGUUGGGUCAUAAUAUAGAGGAAAAUGAACGUGCAGAGCUUCUACUUCAAAGUCUACCAGAUUCGUAUGAUCAACUCAUCAUCAACCUGACGAACAACAAUCCAGUGGAGAGUCUAGUUUUCGACGAUGUUGCAGCCUCCGUAUUAAAUGAGGAGAGCAGGCGGAAAAAUAAAGAAAACAGACAAGCAAGUUUGCAGCAAGCGGAGGUGCUAUCGGUGACGAGAGGGAGAUCAACAGAACGUGGCCCCAGUGGGAGUCAAAGUCAUGGUAGAUCAAAAUCCAGAAGUAAGAAGAAUGUUAAAUGCUACAACUGUGGUAAGAAAGGGCACGUCAAAAAAGAGUGUUGGAGUAACCAGAAGAGAAAAGAGGGCAAAGAACCUGAGUCAUCAAAUGCUCAGGGUUGUGUAGCAAAUACCUCAGAUGAUGGUGAAAUUCUCUACAGCGAGGCAACAACUGUUUCAGAAGGCAGAAAACGACUAUCUGAUGUCUGGCUUAUAGACUCAGGAGCUACCUGGCACAUGACCUCUAAGAGAGAAUGGUUCCACACAUAUGAACCUAUCUCAGGAGGAUCUGUAUAUAUGGGAGAUGAUCAUGCCUUGGAGAUCGCUGGUAUUGGUACUAUCAAAAUAAAAAUGUUUGAUGGUACAAUUCGCACAAUUGGAGAGGUACGACAUGUCAAUGGCCUGAAGAAAAAUCUAUUGUCUUUGGGACAAAUGGAUAGUCAUGGGUUCAAAACUCAUGUGGAGAAUGGAAUAAUGAAGAUCGUUAAAGGUGCGCUUAUAUUGAUGAGGGCAGAAAAGAUCGGUGCUAAUUUAUUCAUGCUUAAAGGAGAAACACUACAGGAGGCUGAUGCAUGUGUCGCAUCAAAUGGAGAAGAAUCAACGAUGAUGUGGCAUCUCAAACUUGGCCACAUGUCAGAACAAGGCUUGAAGAUUCUCUCUGAGCGAAAAUUACUUCCGGGGCUCAAAUCGGUAAGUUUACCAUUUUGCGAGCAUUGUGUUACAAGUAAGCAGCAUAGAUUAAAAUUCAGUAGAUCUAUUGUUAGAAGUAAAUGCAUGCUAGACUUGAUUCAUUCUGAUGUUUGGGAAUCACCGGAUAUAUCCAUGGGAGGUGCAAAGUACAUGGUGACUUUCAUUGAUGAUUAUUCCAGAAGAUGUUGGGUGUAUCCAAUUAAGAAAAAGUCAGAUGUAUUUCCUGUGUUUAAAGAAUACAAAGCGCGGGUGGAACUUGAAUCUGGUAAAAAGAUCAAGUGCUUGAGGACAGAUAAUGGUGGAGAAUAUAUAGACGGCGAGUUUCUUGCUUUCUGUAAGCAAGAAGGUAUUCAGAGGCAGUUCACGGUGGCAUACACUCCUCAACAAAAUGGAGUGGCGGAGCGGAUGAACAGAACUCUUACAGAAAGAAUAAGAGCUAUGUUGAAAACUGCUGGUCUACCCAAUUCAUUCUGGGCAGAAGCAGCCAAAACUGCCUGUUAUAUAGUAAAUCGGUCGUCAUCUACAGCAAUUGGGUUGAAGACGGCGAUGGAGAUGUGGACUGGAAAGCCAGCUGAUUAUUCCUACCUACAUGCAUUUGGAUGUCCUGUGUACGUGAUGUACAAUGCCCAAGAAAGAACAAAGCUGGAUGCAAAAUCUAGAAGAUGUAUCUUCUUGGGGUAUGCUGAUGGAGUAAAGGGGUAUCGUCUGUGGGACCCCACUGCCCAGAAGAUCGUCAUCAGCAGAGAUGUUAUUUUUGUAGAAGAUCAACUGCAAAGGAGAGAUAAGGAUGAUGGCACUACAAAAGAAAAGUCAGAGAUCGUGCCAGUAUAUGUGGAAAAUAAUCUAGAAGAUUCAGAUUCUUCUGAAGCAGCACCAGAGCACGAGGAACAAGAAUCAGUCGAGUCCGAGGCUCCAGAAGUUCGUUGGUCAACUCGUGAGAGACGACCACCAACAUGGCACUCGGAGUAUGUCACAGAGAUCAACGUUGCAUACUGUCUUCUAACGGAGGAUGGAGAGCCAUCAACUUUCCAUGAAGCUUUAGAAAGCUUAGAUAUUGCUUUGUGGAUGACAGCAAUGCAAGAAGAAAUAGAAGCUUUACACAAGAACAAGACAUGUGAACUUGUACCACUACCACGUGGAAGAAAAGCCAUUGGAAACAAAUGAGUCUACAAGAUCAAGCGUGAUGGCAAUGACAAAGUAGAGCGGUAUCGUGCAAGAUUGGUGGUGAAAGGAUAUGCUCAGAAAGAAGGUAUUGACUUCAACGAGAUAUUUUCUCCAGUGGUUCGACUCACAACAGUCAGAAUAGUCUUGGCGAUGUGUGCUACAUUUGACCUACAUCUUGAGCAGUUAGAUGUGAAAACUGCAUUUCUUCAUGGAGAACUUGAAGAAGAAAUAUAUAUGCUCCAACCAGAAGGUUUUGCAGAAACAGGAAAGGAGAACUUGGUUUGCAGGUUGAACAAAUCUCUAUACGGUCUCAAACAGGCGCCGAGGUGUUGGUAUAAGAGAUUUGAUUCUUUCAUCAUGAGCCUUGGAUACAACAGACUCAGUUCAGACCAUUGUGCAUAUUACAAGAGGUUUGAAGAUAAUGAUUUCAUCAUUUUGCUGUUGUACGUGGAUGACAUGUUGGUAGCAGGCCCCAACAAAAAUCGAGUCCAAGAAUUAAAGGCACAGUUGGCUAGGGAGUUUGAAAUGAAGGACUUGGGACCAGCAAACAAGAUUCUGGGGAUGCAAAUUCACCGAGACAGAAAUAACAGGAAGAUUUGGCUUUCACAGAAGAAUUACUUGAAGAAAAUCUUGCGGCGCUUCAACAUGCAAGAUUGUAAGUCAAUUUCUACCCCACUUCCUGUUAAUUUCAAAUUAUCCUCAAGUAUGUGUCCUAGCAAUGAAGCAGAUAGGAAGGAGAUGUCUCGAGUACCGUAUGCAUCAGCAGUGGGAAGUUUGAUGUUCGCUAUGAUAUGUACUAGACCGGACAUUGCACAAGCAGUGGGAGCAGUCAGUCGAUACAUGGCGAAUCCUGGUAGAGAGCAUUGGAUAGCUGUGAAGAGGAUUCUGAGAUACAUCAGAGGAACCUCAGAUGUUGCAUUAUGUUAUGGAGGAUCAGAGUUUACUGUCAGGGGUUAUGUGGAUUCAGAUUUUGCUGGAGAUCUUGAUAAAAGGAAAUCCACUACUGGUUAUGUGUUUACACUUACGGGAGCAGCUGUAAGCUGGGUUUCGAAACUGCAGACCGUUGUGGCUUUAUCUACAACAGAAGCAGAAUACAUGGCAGCUACACAAGCUUGCAAGGAAGCUAUUUGGAUACAAAGGUUAUUGGAGGAGCUCGGGCACAAACAACAGAAAAUUCAUGUGUUUUGUGACAGUCAGAGUGCCUUGCACAUUGCAAGGAAUCCAGCCUUUCAUUCCAGGACAAAGCACAUAGGAGUUCAGUAUCACUUCGUUCGUGAAGUAGUGGAAGAUGAAAGUGUGGAUUUACAGAAAAUCCAUACCAAAGAGAACCUAGCAGAUGUUUUGACCAAGCCGAUAAAUACUGAUAAGUUUGUCUGGAGUAGAUCCUCUUGUGGCCUAGCAGAAACGUAGGCAACAUGAUUAUGGCGAAGCAGAAAGGAUUGUGUGGAGAUUGAUUGUUUUUCAAUUUAAUCUCCAAGUGGGAGAAUGUCAAAGUUGGCUGCAUCUAGAAGUGUUUGGCAUGGCUGCAUCUAGAAGUGUUUGGCAUGGCUGCAUCUAGAAGGGUUUGACAUUUGAAAAAAAAGAAACUGGUGCAGCCGGCCAAAGAAAAUGGUGCCAUCCAAAUGGAGAAAAAGAAGAAGUUGGUAACUACAUUUGAAAUAUAUACAUAUAUAUAUUAAUUUAAUAGCCAUUUUUUGGCUAUAAAAGGAAGUGCUCACUCAUUCAUUUGCAUUCAAUUCCAUCGAGAGAGAAGCAUUGCUUUCUUGAGUGUUGAGAGUUUUAAGAGUUUAAUAAACUCUUGAGUGUCUAGUGAGUUAGAAAGUUUGGGUGUAUUGGGGUUUUGGGAAGUGAGCUAAAAUACUACAAUACUUGUAACUCCUUUUCACUAGUAAAAUAUUUCCUUCUGUCUUCGCCCGUGGACGUAGGCUAAAAGCCGAACCACGUAAUUUUCUAGUGUCCUCUAUUGUGCUUGUUCUUUAUUUUCUUACAAUUUCACUUUAGCUGCGUGUCUGCUUCACCCACCAAUUUCCUAACAACUUAAAUAUCUCAUCCAAUUCGCAGCUGCACAAUAAAGUGGUUACACGUCAUCAGACAAAUAACCUUGCUUUCAUGCAUACCCACAACCAGGAGAAGGCCAUUCCUUACAAGUCUGUGGGCUUCUUGUAAAGAACAUUCCAGUGUCACUAAAAUCAUAGUAUAAGUGGAAUGCAAAACGCCAAACACAUUACAAAGAAGGAUAAUGAGCCUCUCAAGCUCUCGUGAGCUUUUAAAGAUCUUAUACUAUGUGUUUUUAAGUCAUAGUGUAUGAGUAGGAUUUAACUUCUUCAUUUUCUUUAUUUAUUAUUAAUUACCAAUCAUAUUUUUGCUUAUGAGAAUAUCAAAUCAUGAGAAAAUCCUAAUCCACAAAAGAAAUAUCUGCAGAACCAAACACACUUAAACUAUUGUUUUAAUAUAUUUAUUAUUUAAAAUGAAAAAUUAUAAGUUUAUUUUUGUAUUUUUGAAAAUCACGAAACUACCUUCCCAUUAGUAUAAUAUUUUUGUUUCUUAACUUCUUCUCUCCAAGGGCGUAAGCCGAAAACUUUUGUUACGAGGGCAACAUGAAUAAUGUACAAUAGUUAAGUUAAGAUUUCAAAGAGUGAAACGAUAACAAAUUUAGAGGCGAGCUAUUAAAGCUAGCUUUUGAAUUGAAUAUCGAAUUAGAGAAGAAAAUUAUGAUUGUUUUACCACCUAUUAAAAAAAAAGUUAUAAUGAAUACGUAGGAUUUUUGGUAUUGUGAAUGGUUAGACCAUUUACCUUAAAUAUUAAUAAUUACGUCAGAGAUAUUUUCAAUUUCAAUUGUAAUUUAAUACAUAACAUGAAUACUGGAAAAAAUUAAAUUCUGAAAUUUUUCCAAGGUCGUGUAUCAUGUCCGUUACGCUCUGCCGACAGCCGCUCAGCCAUCUUUUUUAAUUAGCACGAAUCAUUUUUUCAUCUAUUUGUCUUUUCUUUCUUUUUUUUUCUUUUUUUUUCCUAAAAGCAAUGACCGAUAAUGCGAGGAAAGCAUGCUGCAACAUGCAAAUAUUGUGUAUCAGAAUUCAUAAUUUAAUUUUCCCUUUAACCAGUUUUAAUGUGCAGGAACUUUACUCUGUCACAUUGGGAACAAAGGUUGUUAUCGGCUGAGAUUUAAUAGUUGGAAAAUGGGUAACCAGCUGAAGCUGUAGUACCGAUGAAACAAAAACAAAAAAGAUAAUCCAGAUCUAAAUUCACAGCUCUCUCUCUCUCUCUCUCUCCGUGAAUAAUCUUCUUCUUCAUCCACAAUUGGCUUUCACAACUCUCUCUCUCUCUCUUCGUAAUACUCUUGUUCUUUAACCACAAUUGACCAUCACAGCUCUCUCUCCAUCACAGUUCUUCAAGCAAAAUGGGCUACUGUGUUGAGAGAGAAAGUUGCUACUGUUGCUGCGUUGAGAGAGAAAGUUGCUACUGCAUCUCAACUUUGUGUGCUGUUGCUGUCGUAAUUGAGGAUCGAUUGCUGCGUUGAGAGAGAAAGCUGUUGCCACUGCGUCUCGGCUCUGUGUGGUGGUGCUGCGUCUCUGCUCUGAUUCGGUUGGUGAUGGUGCUACUGCUGCUGCUGCAUCUAUUUCGGUAAAUUUUGUUGCGUCUAUUUUGUUCAUAUGAAUGUUAAUUGAUUUUUUUUUUCUGGGUUUUUUUCAUAUGAUUUUAAUUGAUUUUUUGUUUCUAUGUUUUGUUCAUACGAUUGUUAAUUGAUUUUUUUUAUUCUUUCCUUUAUUUGCUAUGAUUUCGUUUCUCUUUGGGAUAAAUUUAGGAAGUAUGAGUCUAAUUUUUAUUGAAUGUAUGAUAUGUGAAGGCCCUACCUACUGUUAUUUUGGGCUAAUGUGUCAGCUACAGGUUGAUAUUUUGGGCUAAUGUGGAGAGUAGGGUAGAAUAGUUUAUGAAUAAAUUGAAAGGAUGGUCAUAUAGAUGGUUAAGGCUGAAAUUGCAUAAAAGUUCUCCUCAGCUUUUACCCAACAAGUAAGUGUGAUAUUUUUGAAACCAAGGUUAAACACAAGAGUUAGGAUUAUGGUAUUGCAUGUUCUUUCUGGAACUUUAAUUGCUAUCUCCAUUAUGGUUCUCUUAUAUCUUUUUGUUUACAUCAAAGAAAGAUGGGUUAUGGAAUAGGGACUUUCAGGUUUUUCUGUGAACUUCCCUUGUGUUCACUUGUUUAUGCUUCACUCUAUGCUUUCAUUAUUUCCUCAUUUUAUUUUUCCACUUUCAAUAUCAUUGGUUCAUCAUAGUUUCAAGGAUUUUGCAAUGAAAUUUGCUUAUUGAUGCAUUCGCAACCUUUUCUUUUUAUGUAUUUCUUAUUGCCAACUCCUAUGCUCUCAUUCGAUAUAAUGAUGUUGACUGCAGAGACAUAAACGGGGGAAGAAAAUAUUUGUUGUGACGCAUGAGGAGCUAAAGGUGAUUCAUUAAAAUACUCUCAACCUUGAACCACAUUCAAUUUCUAUUUUCCAGUCUGAUUUAUAUGUGCAUAUUCUUAUAUUGUAGCAUCUUAGGCGGAGGAUAAAAGACUUUGCAUCUACAUACAUGAAGAAUUGAAGAUUAAUAACUAUACUACUAUUCUUGUGAUGGGGUUGCUACACAGCAGGGGGCAAAAUGUCUAAAAGCAAACAGCGGGGGGCAAAAAGUUUAAGUGGCUUUGCUCUCACUCCUGUAAAAUUAUGGAAGUAUUUCGAAUAUUUUCAAUACAUCAAAAGAUAAUGUUAAAAGAUUUGGGAAUUAGAUUAAAAAGGCAAGAAUGUAGCACUAAUGCAGAUUAUUGAGAAAUGAUUCAAUUUUUGGGGGUUUAAUUGAAUCAUUAACCUUCUUGACAUUCCUCAGUUAAGCAUGAUAUAAGUAGUCAAUUUUACAACGCAGAUGAACUCAAAAAUUGGCUAAUCAAAUAUGAACUUCCUCGUCAGUAGUGAGUUUUGGUCGUGGAAGGGUAAAAAAGUAUCAAGAGUACGCAGCCAUGCAGGGCGAGGAUUUGAUGUUUUGAGAGCUGUUAAAGUGUCGUCUCCCUCUCAGCAAACUCUGACGGUAAUUUUUGAUAAAUAUUUUAUUUAAAUCAUGUUCUGUAAAAUACAAAAAAAAAAUCAUGUGCUGUAAUAUAUAUUUUAAUUAUAGGGUAAAAUAAUGAAAAUGUGAAACUUUCUUUUUUAAUAAAUGUUAAUACCAAAAUAUUUAUGGUAUGUCUGUGUAUGUAUUAGUUAAAACAAUUACUUUGUAGGUAUAAGUAUGACUUAAAUAUUUAUGCAUAAGUUAGAUAUUAUUUAAUUGUUUCUUAGAUUUUCAUUUUAAAUUUUUUGCAUCUAUUUAAGUGAUAAUCCUAUUUUGCACAAAAUGAAUUAUAGAGUAAACUAAGUAUAAAUUUAUGGAAUGAUUUUUUGGGUUAUUGUUUAAAAAUAGGAAUAAAAUAAGCUAAAAUUUAAAAUAAAAGAAUGAAAUGCGUUAUUGUAUCAAAUCUCUUGGGUGAAAACAAACUUUUCCCUUAAUUUUCCAGCUUUUAUUGAGGCAAUGUAUUACCUGAUCAUUUGCAAAAAUUUUGGACACUAUUUUGGGAAAUUUCAUGUUAUUCUUAGCCUAACUCAUACUUGCAGGUAGAGCUGGCAAAAUUUGACACGACCCGAUUACCCGACACGAACACGACAUAAAUAAAUAGGUAUGGGUCGUCAAAUUUAACACGAUUAUUAAAUGGGUCGGGUCCGGGUCAACACGAUUUUUUUCCGUGUCGGGUUUGGGUUAAAAUUCUUGACCCAUUUACCCGAUCAAUGACCCGAUUAUAUUUUCUAUUUUAAAAUAAUUUACAUAUUCUUAUAAUUAAAACUUAAAUAUUAGAGAUGAUUUUCUUUUUUUUAUUCUUUAAAAGGGUGAAUAUAAACACAAUGUUUUAUUUAUAAAAUUUUACAUACAUUUAGAGCUUCAAUAGUGUAAAUGUGUAAAAAUUAAUAGACAUGUAUAUUUUAUAAUAUUGAUAUAUAAUAUUUUAUAUAUAUAUAUAUAUAUAUAAUUAAAACCUCAAUAGUGUAAAUGUGUAAUAUAUUGGUAGAUAUGUAUAUUUUAUAAUAUCGAUAAAUUAUGUAUGUAUGCAUGUAUGUAUGUAUGUAUUUAUGUACAUAUGUAUGUAUGAUAGUGUGUAAAUAUUUGAUAUAACUUUUAUUCAAUAUAUAGAUAUUAAACGGGUUAUUGGGUAACCCGAUUAUUUUUCCGUGUCGGGUUUGGGUCUCAAUAUUUUGACACGAUUAUUAAAUGGGUCGGGUUUGGGUCGACCUAAAUUUGACACGACACGAAGCUGACACGACACGAACACAACCGGAUGACCCGUUUUGCCAGCUCUACUUGCAGGCUUCAACAAGUUGUAUUAAACCAUUAGUUGCAUACACCCGUUCACUGUUUGUUAAAAUGCAUUAAAUGUGUUCUUUUAUCAGCAGGUGACCGGCUCAUAGCCUUUUCCUUAGGUUUCUUCCAUUUGUCUUUGUGUCUCAUCUACAGCCGUCAGAUCAAAUCCAAUGCUCACUUUGCUAAGAGACAAAUGACUGGGGUGCCAGAGGCAGGACGCAAUGUAGUUAUGCCCUGUGUUUAUACAUAUUGCAUAUUCUUUAGAAUUAUUUUGUUAUUAAGUCAUCUCUAGUUCAUUAAAUUUAUGUAGCAAGUCAAAUGUUUUUUAAUUGUUCCCAAUUUUUUUUUGCUUUAAAAUGGUUUCCAUUUAUUCAACUGAUCUUCCUAUUAUGGACAACAUGAACUAUUGGGUAAACUUACUGUAAAUUCAUGGAAGAAUCUGUUUUAGUUAUUAUUUGAAACAUAGCAUUGAAAUGAAGUAUUGUGUAAAAUACAAGGAUGAAUUGACGUAUCCAACCUUCAUAGUGACAAGGAUUUUUUUCCCUUAUUUUUCAACCAAUUAUUUAGGGAACGCAUUGCCUGAUUUUGUAAUAAUGAUAUUUCAGACACUAUCUUCGAAACUUUCAUAUGGAUCUUACCCCAACCGGUACUUCCACACUUCCAACAAGACGUUUUCAACCAUUAGCUACAUACGCCAAUUUGUUGUUCCUUUAAAUGCGUUGGUUGUUAACAAACCUCCUUUCUAUUACAUGUGUUCUUUUAUCAAACACUUGUUUCCCUUACAGGUGACUGCCGCAUUACCUUUUCGUCAGGUUACUCCCAAUUGUCUCUAUGUUCCUUCUGUGACAGUCAAAUCAAAUCGAUCGAUCGCUUUUACUAAAAAAUCUCUAACAUACAAUAAAAAUUACAACUCGUACAAUCUGAUUAAAACACAAAAGAGUUCACAUAGCUUGUACACAUCCUUUCCUCCAUCUAUUUUUCCCCUUGCUAAAUGUUUUUUCGUCCAUAUAGCUAGAUGACAACUAAGUGUGGUUUGUAACUACUGAUGCAACAUAGAUGCAGCCUGUUCUUGAACACCUUUUCCUAGUUUCAAAUAGAAGUGAGAGAGAGUUGAUGCUGAAAAGACCGCCAGACUUAUAUUUUUCCACGAGAAUUAUGUGUUACGUGGAACUAAUUUUCAUUUACUUUCGUGAUCUUGUUACAAUGUUAGCUCUUUGUUCAUGAAUUGAUUAAUGCGCGUAUGUUUUUUACUCAAAAGUCUUCAUCUUAUUAAGUUGGAUCAUAAUUUUCCUCUUCUUUUUAUCCGUGUUGUCCUCUAUUACCUAGUAUCUCUCCUCUAGGAUGAGCAAUAAUACCCAUAUGAAAAUUCAUUGAUUUGUCAGUGUUUGAUUUAUGACAAGCGGAUUUCUAAUCCUACAACUUUUUUGGGCCAAAUGAGAAUUAAUAUGGUAUUAACUUCUGUAUCUUGACUGGUAGUGUUUUAAGAAGUAGCAUUUGCUCAUGAUUUGACUUAACAAAACAAUAUCCAGUGCGCUUGUAUUAACCCUGCUGCGUUUUUUCUCAAUAUCCGUUUCUAUUAUUUAUUAAAGACUUUUGUGAAUAUCCAAAUUUAAUAUGAGAAAACAGAUCCUCUAGCUAGUCGGCUUAACACAGAUCGAAUAUUAAUAAUAAAAAUGAUAUUUGUAAAAAAUGUGGGCUUUAUUCUUUCUAGAAGAGAUGGAAUUCUAGAAGAGAUGGAUUUGCACGGUCAAAAAGAAAGAAAAAAGAAAAAUUGAAUUUGGUUGCUGCAAAGUUUGAAGGAAGCAAACAACUUUGACAAGGAAGAAGAAAAAGGAAGAGUUGAAGAAGAUAAUGUCGGUGGAAAAUAUAAUAAUAUUUUAAUAGCCAAUUUGGGUUAUAAAAAGGGGUGCUGCUCAUUUGGUUUGUGCAUCCAGUUUUGUGAAGAAAAAAAGUUGAGAGCUUGAGUAAUUUUAAGGAAUUAAAAUUAUAAAGUUCUUGAGGGUGAGAGAAAAUUAUUUCUGAGAGUGUGGUUGUAAUAAUUUUCUACAUAGUGAAUAUUUUUCUUUGGUUGUCUUUUUGACAACGGCCGUGGUUUUUCUCCUGAUUUGGAGUUUUCCACGUAAAUCUUGUGUUGUGGGAUUGAUAUUAUUUUUCAUUUAAUUUUUCUUGUUAAUUUGUUACUUGACAAAUUGCUUGGAGAGAUCCUGGGAGGAAGCUCAAUUUCCUAACAGUGGUAUCAGAGCCAUUGAUUUAAGUUUUGGUGUCGGGUACUGUUCACGUAUACGGUACUGUUCACGUAUAUGGUACUAUUCACGUGAAGCAGUGGGAGCCAAUCCAAACAGUCCGUGGUGAAGAGUAAAAGCUGAUCUGCAAAGCAAAUAUGUCAGGAUUGAAAUUUUCAAGUCCGGUGAAAUUUGAAAUAGAAAAAUUCGAUGGGAGAAUUAACUUUGGCUUGUGGCAAGUUCAAGUCAAAGAUGUGUUGAUUUAAUCUGGGUUACACAAGACAUUGAAGGGGAAGUCAUCCCCUGCUUCCAGUAGUGGCUCUGGAAAAGCUAGUAUAAGUGAUGAAGAUUGGGAAGAAUUAGAUGAUAGAGCUGCAAGUGCCAUACGACUGUGUCUAGCAAAGAAUGUUCUUGCAAAUGUAGGAAAAAUUCCUACAGCGAAAGAACUUUGGGAGAAGCUAGAAAAGUUGUAUCAGACAAAGAGCAUCUCAAAUCGAUUGUACCUGAAGGAGCGAUUUCACACACUGCGAAUGGCUGAAGGUACAAAAAUUUCCGAUCACCUCAGUGUUCUCAAUGGAAUUGUGUCAGAACUAGAAGCCAUUGGAGUUAAAAUUGAAGAUGAGGACAAGGCGCUUAGGUUACUAUGGUCACUUCCAACUUCCUACAAACACUUGUUACCUACUUUGAUGUACGGGAAGGAGACAGUAGAUCUUGAAGAAGUUACUAGUACUUUACUCUCAAAAGAAAGAAGACUGGGUGGUGAAAGUACUAAAACUACAGAUGUCUCGGCUUUGGCAGUUGUAGGGAAUUGGCAGAAAGAUAAAUCUAAGAAGAAAGGAGUCUGCUGGGGGUGUGGACAAUCAGGGCACUUAAAAAGAGAUUGUCAUAGUAGAAAUGGAGCAGGAUCGGCAAGUGGCUCCAGAUCAGACACUGAUAGUAUUGCUAGUGGUAAGUCUCUCAUCAUCGUGGGAGACGAUGAUCCAUUGUAAAAUGGAUGAUGAUGACAUCCUCAUGGUAUACCGCUAGUACCAUGAAAGGGGAUAUGUUACUACUAGCGGGUCCACAAGAUUUACACACAAGGCAUGGUUGGCAUUGAUGCAGGGUGUGUGGUGGAAUUUAUGUCGAUGGCUGACAAACUUCCAGGAAGGCCAACAUGGAAGUUGCACCAUAAAUUUCAGCAGGAUAUUUCGACAUGUGCCGAUGUAAAAUUCUUAGAAUUGGUAAUUAAUUCUAAGUGGUAUAUUCUUUAUGGUGGAGUAUGAUAAUUCUCUAUGACGAGGAUUAUGACUUAGGUGAAAACAGUAAGGACGGUGUGGAGAUUGAUUGGUUCUUAAUCAAAUCUCCAAGUGGGAGAAUGUAAAAAAUGUGGGCUUUAUUCUUUCUAGAAGAGAUGGAAUUCUAGAAGAGAUGGAUUUGCACGGUCAAAAAGAAAGAAAAAAGAAAAAUUGAAUUUGGUUGCUGCAAAGUUUGAAGGAAGCAAACAACUUUGACAAGGAAGAAGAAAAAGGAAGAGUUGAAGAAGAUAAUGUCGGUGGAAAAUAUAAUAAUAUUUUAAUAGCCAAUUUGGGUUAUAAAAAGGGGUGAUGCUCAUUUGGUUUGUGCAUCCAGUUUUGUGAAGAAAAAAAGUUGAGAGCUUGAGUAAUUUUAAGGAAUUAAAAUUAUAAAGUUCUUGAGGGUGAGAGAAAAUUAUUUCUGAGAGUGUGGUUGUAAUAAUUUUCUACAUAGUGAAUAUUUUUCUUUGGUUGUCUUUUUGACAACGGCCGUGGUUUUUCUCCUGAUUUGGAGUUUUCCACGUAAAUCUUGUGUUGUGGGAUUGAUAUUAUUUUUCAUUUAAUUUUUCUUGUUAAUUUAUUACUUGACAAAUUGCUUGGAGAGAUCCUGGGAGGAAGCUCAAUUUCCUAACAAUAUUACUUUUUAAGCUUUUAUGUCAAAUUACGCAUGCAAAAUAAUAAGAAUUUUUUUUCCCAUACGCGUAUGUAUUUUGGAGGAGACACGUCCUCGAGUUCAUCUCUAAAAUCGAAAUGUGGUAUGGAAAGUGUAUACAAGUAUUUGCCCAUAUCACAGCCACAUAAACGGCGCAGUCUCAUUCUAUCAUUUUUUUGCCCUCUUCUCAAAUUUUUUUGAUAAUAAUUUUUUAUAUCACUCUUUAAUUCACCAUACUCUGUUUUAGUUAAUUCUAUUUAUUUCUCAAAUUACUUUCAUUAAAAAUUGUUUAUCUCUAUUGUUUCUCAUUUGCUCUUCUCAAUAUAUUUGAAGACUAUUGGUAUGCUUACUAACCCGCAAUCGGAAUGAGAAUUCUAGGAUUGGAAUGAAUAAUGCAUUUACUUGUAAAAUUAAGACUUGAAAUCAGAAUCAAAAUAGUGUUAAAUCCACAAAUUUGAGAAUCACUAUCAUAGUUCUAAUCCCCAAGCGAGGAGUUUGGAAUCAGAAUUUGAUUUUUAUAACUAACCAUUUUACUCUCGUUAAAUUUUCAUAAUCUCUAAAUUGCUCCCAAUUAUGUUCUGUUAUUUUUUCUUUUUGGUUCCCAUAAAAUUUAUCAAAAAACUAAAAAUUUUGAAUUAUUUGCAAAUAGGUCCUUUAUUGUUUAUUAUAAUAAUAAUAAUAAUGACAAUAAUAAUAGUAACCAAAUCCUCCCAGGAUCCUCCACCAAGAUUAAUCAAGAUGCAUUCAACAAAUAAGAUCAGGUUUAAAGAAUCAAUUAAACCUAACUAGACUUGAUACAAAAGAUUAUUCACCAACACAGAAAACAAGCAAUAAGAAGAAACCAAUAACAAUGAACAGAACGCAGAGCUCUUAACGUGGUUCAGCCAUUAAUGGCUUACAUCCACGGGUGAAUUCAUCAGCAGGCUUUAUUGAAGGAUUCAAGAAGCUUAUUACAGAGACUUUGAGAACAAAGAACAAGUAUUCACUUUCUCUCAGAAUUCUCUCAAUCUCUCACUCACGUUACCCCUCAUCCCUGAAGGCCAGCAGCUUAUAAACCAGUUUCUUUAACAGUUUAGCAACCCAGAACGCACAGCUUUUCGACACGUGUGUGUUGAGUCUGUUUAUAACGAACUUGGCUUCAAUCGAUGGUCACGUGAUUGCUCCGUGAUCUAACAAAAACCAAGUGUUAUCAAAACGAUCACACACAAUGCCGUUUCGGUUCAAUGACGAGCCGUGCUUGUCAUGUGAGUUACUUAAGGCUUGAAACAACUGAAAAACGCUGCCGUUUGCUGAGAGGUGUUUGUAUUCACCUUACAGCCAACAAAUUUUUUGUUAGGUUUGUUUUCGGUGUGAUUUUUUUAGAUUUAGGGUUUUACUGGGGAUUUUAUGAAAUGGGUAUGUGAUAAAAUUUUAGGUUUUUCUUAGUUCAAUUUAACAAUCUGGUCAGAUUCAUCCAUCGUGCUUCAGCUGCUGACCCUACAUAUUUGAGGAUAAAUUUAUCUUCUGCCUGUUUUUUUAUAGAAUUAGCAUUCGUCUGUUCUUUUUUUUAAAUUAUGAUAUGUUUGUUAACCAUGCGAGUCUGUGUAAACCAUUCAUUGAAAAAAGAAAUGUAACUUAAGAUGAUGACUUAAAUUUUCAUCCGUUUCAUUUCAUUCAAUCUAAAAGUGUAUAUUUUUUUGUCAAAAAGCUGCAAUGAGUCACCUUUAUUCUUCUAUUAUUGAAAUGAAUAGAUCAACCGAAUGAAGUUUAAUUAAAAUAUUGAAUAGAUUAAAUGGAUGAAAAUUGAAGUAAAAUGUUGAAGUUAAGGAGCCCUAAAAUUUAUAGAAGAAACUCGAUAAGAGUAACGACCGUUGAAAAUACGUUAUCCUUUAUUGUAAUAAUUUAAGGAUUUUGAUAUUAGAAAAUUGCUUUAUAUAUAUGUGUGUGUUGAAAAUAUAUUAUUCCUUACUUUAACAACUUAAGAGAAUUUUUAGAAAAUUAUACACACACACCCCCCUUCUAAUAAAAGAAUUACUUAAUUUCAUGUAAAGUAAAGGACAAUUUAAAAGUAAAAAACACAUAUUUUAAUAUACCAAAAAAUAAAAUAUACUAUUUUGGAGUAUGUUUUGUAAACUUUCAAUUUGUCUUUUACUUGAUUGACGUAAGUGAUGCCUUAGUGUAAAAUUACUUCAUAUAUAAUAUAUAAUACACUACAUUAGAGUGUGUAUUUUAAUUCUCUUUUAGUUUAUCCCUUAUCUUAAUGAUUUAAGAGAUCGUUUACUAGAUAAUGACUCGUAUAUUUUAUUUUGACUUAAAUUUUUUACAUAAAUAUUGAGUUAUUGGUUUUGCAAAAUUUAAUCAUAGAUAAAUUGGUAUAAUUAGUGGUAGUUUAUGUGAGAUUUUUGAGUAAUGAAUUUUGUAACUGUUUUAUUCAAUCUGACAAUGUACAAUGCUGCUGAUUUAUAUAGCUGAUCAGAUUUCUCGUACAGCUCAGCAACUCAGAUUUACGAUUAAUGAAAACAAGUAAUGUGUGUGUGUAAUCUAUUUUUAAUCUCAGCCACACAUCUAUAACUAAUUUGUUACACACAUAAUAGCUGAGGGAUCUCUGUGUAAUUGUUCUGCCAACUGGGAUAUCUUUCUUCUUCACGUGUGUGUUGCAUCACCUUUCUGGUAUGAGCAUCACCCUUGGUAAUCAAGUAAACUCCAGCUGGUAGUCCCACAUGAGCUGAUCCAAGUUCAGCUUCAUCCUCAAACUUAACAUUCCUUCUCAAACUUAAGUCUCUAGGAGAGACUUUAAGUUUGUUUCUAAAGAAGCUGAACUUUGAAUAAGUGAGUGGUUUAGUUAACACAUCUGUUGUUUGAUCACUGCUGGACACAAAAGCAAUUUCGAUCUCUUUCUUUUCAACUUUGUCUCUGAUAAAAUGAAUGUCUAUCUCUAUGUGUUUAGUCUUAGAAUGAAGAACUGGAUUUGUAGCAAUGGCAGCUGCACUUGUACUGUCACUUAACAAUAGAGGAGUACAGUUGAGUUUCAAUCCCAAUUCUUUCAGUAACGAGCAUAUCCAAGUUACUUCUGCACUAGCUAAUGCCAUGGCUCUGUAUUCAGAUUCAGCUGAGGAUUUAGAUACCACACUUUGCUUCUUAGAACUCCAGCUGAUCAAAUUGUCACUCAAGAAAACACAAUAACCACUGGUGGAUCUUCUAUCAUCAGGGUCACUUCCCCAAUCAGCAUCUGAGUAUGCUACAAGAUCAAAAGAGUCAGACUUCUUGAAUGUCAAACCAUAGUCAAUUGUUUCCUUUAGAUACCUGAGUACCCGUUUACAAGCUGUCCAGUGUGGCUGCAGAGGAUUGGACAUAAACUGACUUAACUUGUUGACUGCAUAAGCAAUUUCAGGCCUGGUUAAUACAGCAUACUGCAGUCCUCCAAUGGCUCUCCUGUAUUGAGUUGAGUCAACAUGUUUUUCUCCCAUAUGUUUGCUUAACUUCUCUGUAGUUGCUAGUGGAGUAUCUGAGCCUUUACAGUUCUUUAAAUCGAACUUUGUAAGUAGUUCCUUCAAGUAUUUUGAUUGUGACAAAACCAGAGUAUCUUCAUUUCUUGUAACUUCAAUACCAAGAAAGAAGUUAAGCUGACCUAAAUCUUUGAGAGCAAAAGUUUUUCCCAGAUUACAAAUAAGUUUCUCUAUUUCAACAUUAUUACUCCCUGUGACUAUGAUAUCAUCCACAUAAACUAAUAAGAUGACCAGCUCAUUUCCAUUUUGUUUGAAGAACAGUGAAGUAUCUGAUUUUGCUCGACAGAAAUUCCAUGAUUCAAGCACUGAUCUUAACUUAUCAAACCAAGCUCUUGGUGCCUGUUUCAAACCGUAGAGGGCCUUCUUUAGCUUACACACAUAUCUUGGGUGAUCUGUAUCCACAAACCCUUCAGGCUGAGGCAUAUACACAGUUUCAGUUAACUCCCCAUUUAGAAAUGCAUUAUUAAUAUCAACUUUUCUCAACUUCCAGUUAUUGAUCACAGCCAUGCUCAGAACAAUUCUUAUUGUGGCUGCUUUCACUACAGGGCUGAAAGUCUCCUGAUAAUCCACACCUUCAGUUUGCAAGAAACCUUUUGCAACUAAUCUGGCUUUGUAUCUAUUUAUUGUUCCAUCUGAGUUUUGUUUUACUCUGAAAAUCCAUUUGUUUCCCACAAGUUUCAUAUGUUGUUCUGGUGGAACCAAACACCAGGUCUGAUUUCUAAUCAAAGCAUUGAACUCAUCCUGCAUAGCUAGUUUCCAGUUGUUAUCACUUAAAGCUUCAGCAACACUUGAUGGUGUUUCCAGGGACAAGGCCUUUUUAGUGUUGUAAGCUUUGGGCUUAAAAAUGCCAGCUUUGGCUCUAGUAAUCAUGGGAUGUGAAGGGUUGAUUUUAGGAGUGGUUUGAGUUAUUUCAGUGUUUUGAUUUUGGGUUUCAUUAUGUUCAGGUGCACUAGAAUACUCUGAGGUAUCUUGAAUUUCUGUGUGUAGGUUUGAAGUAAUAUUUUGAUCUGGAAGAAUUUGGUUGUGAUUGUUGUCAGAAUCUUGAUCAUUAGGGAGAGUGAGAUCAUGAAUUUCAUUUUCAGAUGAAUUUGUUCUUGCUGCUGGUGCCUCAUGAUUGUGACUUUCAGAAGGAAAAGUCACUGUGAUGAAUUUGCUAAAAGAAUUGAAAGACUCAGAUGAUUUGUUCUGGUUUGACUUUAUGAAUUUUGGAUAUGUUUUGAGAGGAAAAGAAUUUUCAUUGAAGUUUACAUGUGCUGCUAUGUAAACUCUUCCAUUUGGAUUUAGACACAUAUAACCUUUGUGAUAUUGACUGAAACCUAGAUUUACACAAGUGGAGGUAUGAAAAUCAAGUUUGUGUUUAUUGUAAGGUCUCAUGAAAGGAUAGCACUCACAGCCAAAUAUUUUGAUGAGAGAGUAAUCUGGUUUCUUUGAAUAAAGGAAUUCAAAAGGAGUUUUGUCAUUUAAAACAGGUGUGCUGAUUCUGUUUAUGAGAUAUGUGGCAUUUGAAAAGGCUUCCCACCAGAAUUUCAAGGGUAAUCCAGAUUGAGCAAGAAGAGUCAAUCCAGUUUCUACAAGGUGUCUGUGUUUCCUUUCUGCUUUCCCAUUUUGGUGAUGGGUGUAUGGACAUGAGUAUCUCAAAGAAAUACCUUCAUGCUUUAGAUAUGGUUCAAAGAUUUUGUAUUCCCCUCCCAUGUCACACUGUAAGGUUUUAAUUUUCAGUUCAAGGCUUUUCUCAACUUGAUUUUUGAAAGAUAUGAAAGUUGUGAGUGCUUGAGACUUGUGAGUUAAUCCAUAAAUCCAUGUGUAUCUGGUUUUAUCAUCAAUGAAGGAUAUAUAAUAUCUGAAAUUUUGAUUGGAUUCAGUAGGUGCAGGACCCCAAAGGUCACUGUGGAUGAUCUCAAGGGCUUUUGAGGUUUUUGUUUCACUGUGUUUGAAAGAUAAUCUAUGUUGUUUUCCAUACUGACAGGCUUUACAAAAUGGUAAACCAGAUGUUUUAUUUCCAAAAGAGAUAUUACAAGCAGAUAAAGUUUUCACAAGAGCACUGACACUAGGAUGGCCUAAUCUCAUAUGCCAAAGAUCAAGCACUUUGUUGCUUGUAUAAUUGUCAUUACAACUGACAGACAACAUAGACUCAGGACAAGAUGUUUUAUUUACUGUAAGUAGACUAGGAGUAGUACUUGAAGACAAUAGAAUUGACUUGAAUUUACUGGAAUCAUGAGGCAAACUCAGCAGCUUGUACAAUCCAUCUUUAGCUAUUCCUUUCAAAAGAACACUCCCCCUUCUCUUGUCCUUGACAACACAACAAGUUUUAUGGAAUUCAAUAGAGACAUCAUUAUCAUGCAAUAGUUGUGAAAUACUAAUCAAGUUUUUGGUUAUCUCUGGAACAUAAAGAAUGUGGUUAAGUUUGAUAUGAGAUAAUGUGUGUGAAUCAAGUGUGCUGAGUAGUGAGUGACCAACAGAAACUAUUUUGAGUUUAGUUCCAUUACCUACUGCCAGGUGAUCACUUCCCUUGUACUCAGAGCUGAUGUUGAGAUUGUUGAAGUCAUUUGAGAUGUGGUUGGUUGCACCACUGUCAAGAUACCAAGCUCCAUCCCUUUGACCUCCAUUUUCAGCUAUAUAUGCACUCCUCCUGUUAGGUGCUUGAUUAGGUACAUAAUUCUUCUUAAACCUAUACCAGCAGCUGGCAGCAGUGUGAUUUUUCCUGAAACAGAUCUGGCAUGGUCCCUUAGGUUCUUCUUCAUCAGCAGGAUUCUUGCCUUUGAACUUGUCUGAUGAGUUCAUAUUCUGAUUGAAACUGUAUCCACCAGGUUGUUUUCCAUUUGAGCUUCCAGCUGGCCUUCCACCAUAGUUGUUGUUUGGCUGCCAGUUCCUCCUUUGAUUUCCUCUGUGAUAAGCCAAAUUAGCUUGAUAAUCCACAUGAUUGACAGAGUGUUGAUAUUCGAUUCUAUGUUCAUGACUCAGCAGCAUGCCAUACACAUCAGAGGGAGAUGUGCCUUCAGGUUGUGCAUUAAUUGUUGUAACAAUUGAAUCAUAUUCAGAUCCAAGACCAGCAAGCAAGCACAGCACAAAAUCUUCAUCAGUCAUAUUAUUUCCAACAGCUCUCAAAGCAUCAAGAGUGGUUUUCAUCUUCGUGUAGUACUCAUGAAUGGAAGUAGAUCCUUUCCUGGUGGUCUGAAUUUGAGUUCUCAAGUGCAGAACUCUGGCUCUGGAUUUGGCUCCAAACUGAGCUGCAAGAGUUUGCCACACAUCCAGAGAAGACCUUGCUCCAACUACAGCACUAAGAACUUCUUCACUUAAAGUUUAGAGUAACCAGCUCAUCAGCUGUUGAUCAUUUCUUCUCCAGAUUUGGAACUGUGGAUUUGGAGUUGUGAUCACAGUUUGAUCACUGUCAAUGUUGAUCAUAACUCGAUUAGGUGGACUCUUUGAGCUAUCAAUCAAAUCCUCCAGAUCGUUUGCAUUGAUUGUAGCUAUCACUUGAGAUCGCCAUAGCAGGUAAUUGUUAAUAGUAAGCUUUAUUGGCGUGUUGAAAACAAGUGAGGUAAGAACAUAGGUGCUAAUGUUUGAAAGAUGAUUAGUGUUUGUGGUUGAGCUUGAAGCUCCAUUACUGUUGGUUUGAUUUUCAUUACUCGCCAUUAUUGCUUCUCAAAGCUCUGAUACCAUGUGAGAUUUUUGAGUAAUGAAUUUUGUAACUGUUUUAUUCAAUCUGACAAUGUACAAUGCUGCUGAUUUAUAUAGCUGAUCAGAUUUCUCGUACAGCUCAGCAACUCAGAUUUACGAUUAAUGAAAACAAGUAAUGUGUGUGUGUAAUCUAUUUUUAAUCUCAGCCACACAUCUAUAACUAAUUUGUUACACACAUAAUAGUUGAGGGAUCUCUGUGUAAUUGUUCUGCCAACUGGGAUAUCUUUCUUCUUCAUGUGUGUGUUGCAUCACCUUUCUGGUAUGAGCAUCACCCUUGGUAAUCAAGUAAACUCCAGCUGGUACUCCCACAUGAGCUGAUCCAAGUUCAGCUUCAUCCUCAAACUUAACAGUUUAUAUGUGUGUGUAGUUCUUUUCUAAUGCAGGUGUCUUUAUUUUUUUCACCUAGAUAUAUUUUUAAAUCAUAGGAUUUAAAAGAAUUAAUUUUUAAUUCUUUUAAAUCAUAUAGUUUAAGAGCGUGUCCACAUUAUAAAAAAAAAAAUAAAUGCCGGCACUUGAAAAUAAUUAUAUAGAGGAGUACGCGUGGAGUGGAAAGACAUAAUUGAAAUACUAACUAGGCAACCCAAGAGGGGGGGUGAAUUGAGAUUUUAAAAUUUAAGCUAAGCAAACCACACAAUAAUUUAAUCUAUUGCCUUAAUCAAAUUGAAAACAAUAAAUUCAAUCAUGCACAAUAUUAAAAGAGUAAGGGAAGAGAAAACGAACACAAUGAUUUUUACGUGGUUCGGCAAUCCCCGCCUACGUCCAUGCCUCCAAGCUCAUCGGGCUUGAGGAUUUCACUAAGCUAGCCUCCCAAGGCUUCAAACGCUUACAAUUGACUUCCAAGGUGUCAAUGGACCUUUACAACAAGAGAUUAUCCCCAAUCUCUUAACCCAAGUGUAUCCCAACACUUACAAUCUUUUAACUUGAUUUUACAAAAAAGAUUACAAAUGAAUCUCUCUCACACAAUGUAUUUGAUCACAAGUGAAAGCUCAAUGUGUGAAUGAAUGAGAUGAAUACAAAGAUUUAAAGCUCAAUGAAAGUUGUAUUCUCAAUAUUUUGCUCAAUGAUGAUCGUUGGAAUUCUCUUUGUUUGAAUUGGAUUGAGCUUAUUUAUAGUUGGAGCUGAAAAACUAGCCGUUAUAGACUGUCUGCUCGAAAACGGUUCGCCGUUACCCAUUAACGAUUAACCGUUUAGGCCGGUCAAAGUUACCGUUGGGCCAAUUUUCAAAUAAACGGUUAGCCGUUUAGGCUUACCCUUUCGCCGUUAAUUUCCAGAGACCUGCAAAACAAAUUUGGUUUAACCGUUCUUACUAAACGGUUCAAGGUUAGCAAUCUGGAAAUAAUCGGUUAACCGUUUUCAGUAAACGGUUCACCGUUAGUUUCCAGAAUCAUCAUUUUACCAAUACUUUGCAGAACAUGCUUUCUGGAAAUUAUCGGUUAGCCGUUUUUAAAUAAACGGUUAGCCGUUUGCUACAGUAUUUGCUACAGUGAUUGCUACAGUGAAAUUAUUUUCUAAAUUUAUGGUUUGACCCCAAAAUUUUAUAAAACUAUAUUACGGCCCAAAACGUUAUGAAAGUUGGCAAAUAUGUCCAAUUUCAGAAUUUCUAAAUAAUGCUUUGUUAAUCUCAAAAUGUUCUGAAAUUAUGGUAUAGCCCAAAAUGCUAUGACACUUUUCAAAUAAGUCCUUCUCCAAAAUUUCAAGCAAUACUUGUUUAUUUCAAAGUUUUCAAAAUUCUUUCAAUUAAACUAUAAACUUUGAAAAACAACCAAUUUCAUAAAAUCAUUUUUCCAUUAAAUAUGAAACAUUUAUAAUGUGAAAAUAAUGAUUUGUUUAAAAAGAAUAGAAACAAUCAAUUUCAAAAAAUUAUUUUUCCAUUAAAUAUAAAACAUUUAUAAUGUGAAAAUAAUGAUUUAUUUAAAAAGAAUAUUAAAUAAUUUGAGCUUAAAAGAUUAAUCAUUCUUAAACUUAUUUGUUAUCAUCAAAAUCAAUAUUAUAGAAACAUAUAUGUUAACAAUAAUUAUCAUAUCCUGAUUGAACAAAACACCAGGCUAGCUCGAUUCUUUCUGCUAACACUAAAUAAUUAAUUAAUCAUGUUUCAUUUUUAUUAUGAUAAUUCCCAGUUUAUAAUCAUGCCGUUAAAUAAGCAAUUUACAUUAUAUGGCGGGGCCUCAUGACAAAAAAAAAACUUUAUUUUAACUAGUGGAAAAGAACAAUAUAUUUAAAUUGGUCUUGGAGAAUGGCAGGUGAUUGAUCCCCAAUUAAAUUUGCACGAAUAAUUAAUCCAAAAACAUGUGACACUUGCUCAAUUAUUGUAUUAUGUGUCCUACGCUAUAAUUAAAGAAAAUGAAAUCCGUGACAAUGUAUAUGUAAUCAAGUAGCUGGUCUAAGAACCGCUAGAGCCACUCACUCCUUCACACAUUUGUGAAGUGGUUCGAGCUCCCGCAGACGUAUUGUAGGGAGCUUAAUUUAAUUUUUUUUUUUGAGUCCCAGAGCUUGAGUGAAUGUAGUCUUUCUCUCAGGAGGGGAGUUGACGUUCCUCAAAUAUUUGAGAAGGUUAAAAAUCUGAGCGGUGUCAUAUUAAAAUUGAUAUAACAAAAUUAAUAUAAACAGAUCUUAGUAUUUAUAUGAUUGUAAAUAUCAUGAGUAAUAAUUCUCAUUUAAAAAAAAGUAAUUGGUCCAUGGCGUAUUAAAAAAAAAGGGGGGUAGUUGGUCCAAGGGCAAGUUGUGAAUUAUUCCAAUAAAAAAAGUUAGUUCUCAUUCAAAAAAAAAGUGGGGGUAGUUGGUCCAAGGGCAAGUUGUGAAUUAUUCCAAUAAAAAAAGUUGGAUUGUGACAGACACUACAUAUACUAAGAGGAUGGAUUAGGCCUUUUAACUGUUAUAAAAUUAUUUGAUUGUUAAUGACGUUUAUUAUUUAAAAUUAUAAAAUUAUUUUAAUAGAUAAGUAUAUUAAAAAUAUAUUACUAAAGGAAUGAAAUAAAUAAGAGUAUUUUAAAAAAAAUUAUUUUUAAAAAAAAUCUACAACCUUAAUGGCCUAAAAACUUAAACUUUUGUUAAUAAAAGUAAAAUAAUUUAUUUAAUCUCUAAAAGUUCAACUCAAAAUACAAUCAAACAGCACAAAAAAUUUUAAAAAGAGCUUUAAAAACGAAAUAAAUAUUUUUAGACAUUAGAUAAGCUAUAUUAAACAUGCACUUAUUACAUAUAUAGAUGGAUUAUAAUUUAAUAUCUACUCCCAUAAUUAUUAGGGUUAAAUCUUCUCUUAUACUAGGAACAUUACCCACCCCUUGGUGACUUGGAACUCAUAUCCUAAAUGUUGAGGGCAUGAGUUCUCACCUAUACCCUUAGAGGGAAGUCACCAUAAAUAUCUGUUUGCGGAGGAGCAAUAUUCACCAUACAAAGCCUCUAGUUGGACAAGCCCUCUUCUUUUAAUUUUUUUUCCUUUUUUUGAAUAUAUAUAUACAUACACGCACACACACAAAAAUCACAAUUGAAGCGCCAUAGAUAUAAUUAGGAGAACUUGCAACAAGAAGCUGCCGGCAUCUCCCACACAAGCUUGAAAAAGUAGCCAGUAAGAGUUGUGCACGGGGGAAAAAAAAUGGGAAAUAAUAAUGUGAUGGGAUUGGCAGGUGGUGUCUUAGCAGCGAUCAUAGUUAUGAUGAUACUCUUCUUCACCGCGGAUCAAUCUUGUGCAGCAGGCAACGGCACCGCCAUUACUAAUUUCCAUAUUGAUCCUGAUGUGUUGUUCUUUUAUGAUGAUCCGGAAUCGGAAUUGGCUGCUGCUGCUGCAACAAACGUAUUGAAUUUGAAUCCCUUGAAGCGAGGUCCAGUGUUCGAUUGCGGAAAAGGCCGAGGCCGAAGCUAUCGCUCUUGUACCCCUCCUCCCCAGGGUUCCAAAAGGGGUGAACAUUGCAAACCUGCACCCGGCGGCACGUACAAUCGAGGGUGCAAUUAUUAAGCCUUAAGUUUGUACUGCUGCAUCCAUGCAUAUGCAUUAAUAAAUAAAUUAAUUGAAACUUCUAAUUUGAUUAGCACUACUUAAUUCGUUGUUAAAUUAGCUAAGGUUACUCCAUCUUGAUGCUAUCGUUCACGUUCACUCAUUUCAAUUCUACCAUACUCGUCCUGAAUUUAUUACUUUUCCAUGUGCGUGCGUGUUAACAGCCUGGAGAAGUAAUUAAUUAAUUGGUUAACCAUUGAUGGCAUUUUACAUCGAGCUGGACCAACUCUUAAUUACCGGCCUCUUGAAGGGAAACCCGCUACGAUACAAAUCAAACAACUGAACGUACAACUUCAUUACAUUUCCUGCAAUAAUGCAUUAGAUUUCCUACAAUAAUGCUAACAUUCAAUGAUUUAUCUGCUCCCUCCGACCAUGCCUUAAUUAAUUGUUACCACGACAUCAUCCCGAAUGUGGUAAUUACGUACAAUUAUAUAUGUUAGCUAUUUUUCUUUUUAAUAAAUAAUUUUACAGACACAGAUACAAUUAGCGUGGCAUAUGGGAGGAUGUUAGUUGAAACUUGGAAGCGAUAUCAGUUAAGCCAUCAUGCAUUUGUCCAACUUCUAUCUUCACGAUUAUGAAACCUAUUGUUUCUUUUCCAUUCACUUCUUGUGAUAUAUUGUCUGCGCCACGUUUUAGCCUUUAAUUAUGCCAUCUUGCAACCUAAUCAUUAAUUAUCAGUUAAAGAGGACAGUUGAGAACCUAAUCAUUAAUUAUCAGUUAAGAGGGCAGUUGAGACUUGAACCAUGAACUUUGAAGGUCAUGUGGGUGUGUUUGUAUACAUCAAGCAAACUUAAGUGAUUAUUAGUUGGGUGAAAAUGAAAGCAAAGUGCAUAUUUAUGACCAACUGUAGAAGAGAGCGAAAGCGCCGAACGAUCGGAUAUAGGGAGCUUUUGAUGACUUGGCUCAAAUAAAGCCAGUUAUAUAUUUAUGCAUGGAGAAAUUAUGGAGAAAUUAUGAAAUUAUGGAGAAAUUAUGAAAGUACAAGUUGUUUUUUGUCAUUUUGAUUUUUUCCCGAGGUGUAGUCAAAUGUUUUUCCAAUAAUUUUAUUUAAGUGGUCAUCCAAGUUCAAAUUCAUGGGGAGAUUAGUGAUCAGAAAAGAAAUUUAGGUUUUACCCACCCGUUAUUUUUUUUAGGAAAAAAAUGAAAUUAUAAUGUGACUAAAUACGUUAAAACUUAUCGGAGAGAACAAAUUCGGUAUAUUCUGAAGAAUGAAAAUUACAAUUAAUAGUACAAAUAAUUAUGAAACUCUCUUUGCAAGUGUAGAUAUCUUUUGAAACAUGGAUCUCAAUCGAAUAAGAAUACACCUCCUACUCCUCUUCUGACUCCUAUCAGAUAUUUGCAACCCGAGCGAACACACCACACUGCUCGAGUUAUCACACCGGUGUCGGUGCACAAGGCAAUUAGGUUAUGAUUUUUUUUAAUUAAAGAAAAAAAUCAAGCCUUACCUAAAAGCAAUUAGUAAUAAAAGUUUAGUGGAAUCUAAAGAAUAACAUUACUAGCUGGCUACAACUCCUUGGUCGUGCAUAUAUGCAUCCAAUAUAUGCUGUAUAUGGUCCAUAUCCGUCAUUUUCUUAUGAUUUCUGUGAGGACUACUUAAUUUAUUAUUAAUUACUUGUGGAUGACCAACUAAGGAUGAUGAUGGUGAUGAUGGUAUGAAAAUAUAAAAGCGCUAAAACUAUAAACAAAUAUAGUUAAAAGACAGUAAUUUCAUUUGAAGAGUAAACAUGAUCUAUCUAGUCAAUGCAGCAAAGGUAUUCAAAUCAAGCCCAACAGGAUGAUAGCCUACAUGGUCUAGAGCUCAACAUCUGCAUUUUCCAAAAGACUGCUAUAUGUAUGUAUGUAUGUAUGUAUAUAUAUGCAGUGUUAGUGCACCGCUCCUGAACCUGUCAUGUGUAUAUGUUUCUUUGUGUGUGUGUGUGACUUUGAGCAGGUAUGUGAAGAUUGAUUUAUUCAAUAUUUGCAUUUUCUAAAGACUGUUAUAUGUAUGUAUGUAUGUAUGUAUGUAUGUAUGUAUGUAUGUAUGUAUGUAUGUAUGUAUGUAUAUAUGUAUAUACAGUGUUAGUGCACCGCUCUUAACCUGUCAUGUGUAUAUGUUUCUAUAAAUAUGUGUGUGUAUGUGUGUGUGUAACUUUGAGCAGGUAUGUGAAGAUUGAUUUAUUCAACAUUUUUCUUCUUUUCAGAAGGAUUAAAUCCAUUUAGAUUUUAGCCACUGGGCUUUAACCAGUGGUUAGAACUCAUAACUCACAAUUGUGAGGUCAUGGGUUUCGAGCCCCACAAUGCAUUGUGCGAAUUUAAUUUUCUUCCUCAAUUUUAGUGAAGGUAGUGUCUUCUCCCUAUCGAAAUGUGAGUGGAGUAGACGUCCCUCAAAUAUUAGAAAUGGUAAAAAUCUGGGCGGACUUCAUAAGAAUUGAUGUAAAAUAGUCCUAGUAAUAAUCUGAUUUGUAAAUGUCAGUUGUAAUCUCAUGUAAUAUGAGUUUUACUCUUGAGCAAUAGUCUCAUGUAAUUAAAAAAAAUCAAUUUAAAUUUAUAUGUAAUUGUAAAACAUUUAAGUAAGGAAUGAUUUAGAGCAGUUGAAUUUUUAAGUCUAUAUCUGGGCCCUACCUGUGAGUAGGUUUAAGCAUGUGUCUCGCAGUUCAAGAAUUGUGUUUCUGUUACUUGCUUAUCUUCUGAUCUUCAUUCAUCAUUUCCCGAAUCAUCAUGGAAAUAUACACUUGCUUUAGGUUAUUUAUAAAAAAUAAAUUAUGCAUAUAGUUUUGGCUGCUGGCUUGUGAUUAAUGCUUCAGUUGGUAGAUUGAGAGAUGGGAUAGAAAGUCUUCCAUCUUGAUUUGCCUAAUAUGAUUUUCUUCUUUACCUGCUGGCAAAGAAAGGGGAAAAGUUUCUUGAUCUUCCUUAUGUUGUAAAAUGGAUGAAUGUCUCUUUUAGCGGGAUAUUGAGCUAUAUUGAAGCAACUGCUGCGGAGAAGCUCAACAAUAAUGAGUGCACUCCUGCAGAUUUGUGCUAUUCCCUGCAGGUUAGUUGCAUUUUUCAUCCUUCAAUCCAUUGGAACAGCACGAGCCAUAGCUUUAAAGACUGCAAUUAUAUGUUGCCAUUUCUUCAUGGAUCGUUAUAUGAAUCGUGUGUUAACGUAAUUGGAAAUUUACAUUUUGCUUGAUGAUAUGCGUUAUAGGAAACUCUUUUUGCAAUGCUUGUGGAGAUCACGGAACGGGCAAUGUCACAUUGUGCCAAAAAGGAUGUUCUUAUUGUAGGCGGUGUGGGUUGUACGAGCGCUUGCAAGAGAUGAUGAGAACAAUGUGCUCUGAGCGGGGUGGAAGGCUGUUUGCAACGGAUGACCGCUAUUGCGUUGACAACGGAGCAAUGAUUGCGUACACCGGUCUGCUUGCUUUUGCUCAUGGCUCAUCAACUCCAUUAGAGGAAUCAACCUUUACCCAGCGAUUCAGGACCGACGAAGUGCAUGCAGUCUGGAGAGAAAAGAAGAUUCAGCUUGCAAGAAUGGUGUCAUUAAGGAAACUAGCUAAAUCGGAUGGUAGAUUUAGAGGUAGAAUCAUUCUGGCAGUGCCAGCAGUAAUUUAGUACUUAGCUCGCGAAUGAAUUUUGAUUAAAGAUGUUGUAAAUUUAAAGUAGGAAGCAAAUUAUUUUGUUUUCGUAUGAAUUUAGUACUUAGCUUGCAAGAAUGAAUUUUGCUCUUAGUAAUGUACAUCCACGAUUUUGCCAGUCGAAGCUUUAGAAUUUACAUUAUUGAAGAAAAUUCUAGGGAUGAGUUAUAUAAAGUACUCUUAAUUAUAACGAGUGAUGGUGUAGUGGACGAUGUUAUUUAUGUUUUCGUAUUAUCAUGAACAUACGUUGGUUAAUUUACAACUUCAACUUGUGCCGAUUGAAAGAAGUUGUUCGCCAAAUCGUAAAUCCGAAAAAAUAUUUUAUGGGCUAAUGGGCUUGCUUAGUUGAGAUGAGAUGGAGAAUGAAGGGGGGUUUUUAAUUAAAUAUUCUUUAAUAGUUGUAAAAUUAUUUAAAUACUUCUUUUUUUUUUUCAUAAAUACCCUAACAAAUACGUGUGAAGUCUAAAAUGCCCUUAAUGAAUGCAUGUAAUCCACUCUUUUUCACUAUCUUCUUAGUUCUUACACUCAAAUCUCUUCUUACCAAAAUUCUUUCAAAAUUAUAACCUCUUAUGCAAAUACAACUAUGUAUUCACUUCUUCUUUUUUUAAUAAUUUUUGUUGACAUUUUUUGCAUAGCAACAAAUAUAAAUUCUUAACACAAAUUAAGUCUUUAAAGAACUUAAUUAUUCUAAUGAAUAAUGAAAAAAGUCGUGUAAUACAUGAAGCCGUGUAAUACAUGAAGGUCUUGUAAUAGUCGUGUAAUACAUGAAUGUCAUGUAAUAAACAACUAAAGGUCGUGAAAGUCCUGUAAUACAUGAUUCAAGAUUGCGUAAUAAUAUAAAAAGUCACGUCAUAUACAACUAAGGGUCAUGUAUUACACGACCUUGAAUCCCAUGUUACGUGAUCUUACACGACUAAAUCGUACGUUACGUGACUUUACACAACUGAAUUAUAAUUGGCACAAUCCAUCAAUUUUUCACCAUUUACAUGGAGCAAACGGUUGGAAAUUUGUAUGUUAUAAGAGACCCACAACUAAUUUAAUCUAUUUUUACAAUAUAAGAUCCUUUUUUUCCUUAAAUAUAAAAAAGAAAACUAAUUACAAGGAAUUAUUUUCCUUAAGUAGUUAGAUUCCGACAAUUUUACAACAAAGAAUUAGCUUUCACUGACAAUUGUACAACAACGAACCAAGCUUCUCUUUCUCAGUUGCAGCAAUUUCCUCUUCUCAGGCUCGGUUUGCUCAUGUGUUGAUGUCUGGUUCAAUAUAUAUGAGUGUUUAUUUGAGUCAUGCCAUGUUUGAGUUGUGUAAGUGUUUUAAGAUAAGAGUAGUUUAGUAAUUUUAUGUGAGUUUUUAGAGAGUAUUGAUGAAAAUUUUGGCAAAUUCUAUUUUUAGAGUAUUGAGAUAAUUUUGAAUGUAUCAAGGUGUAUCUAGGGCUGAGUAAAAUAACCGAUCCGACUCAAAAAAUAUUGGGUUUGAAUCAGAUCGUAUUGUUAACAAAAUCCGAUCGGGUGUAACUUUGCCAACCUGAUCGGAUCGUGAUAGGAUUGGAGGAAACCUAAUCCGAUCCGAUCCGAAAACCCGAUCUGGUUGGCUUCACAAAAAAAAAAAAAAAAACUAAUGAAACAAACUAACAAAGUGGCAAACAAAACAAAAUCGGAUUCACACUUCACACAAAGCAAAUAUUAGAUCUAAAUUAAAAAAAUCUGUAAGCACACACAGACACUCACACCAUACACAGUCACACACAAAUAGAGGUUGGGCCUCGGAGAUCGGAGAUGUCAAGAUACCAAAUAGUGAAGCAGCAGCGAGCAGAUCGGAGAUGCAACCGCGAGAAGCAGCAGCCAGUAGAUCGGAGAUGCAACCUCGUGAAGCCGUGAACCAGCAGCCAGUAGUCGCUGAAGCGAUCGUGCGAAGCCAAGCCAUCAGAGAUCGGAGAUGUCAGCGAAGCAGCGGCGAGCAGAUUGGAGACGCAACCGCAAGAAGCAAUAGCCAACAGAUCGGAGAUGCAACCGCGCGAACCAGCAGUCAACAGUCACCGACGCGAUCGUGCGAAGCCAAGCCAUCGCUGCAACCGUGACAUGCCGAUGGAAUCUGCAGCACCUCGACUGCUACCGCUUGCUGCCGCUGGCUUCACCGAUUACCACAACCGCUGCAACUUAAUUCACCUCCACAUUUACUGUCACCAAGUUUUUCAUGGUAUUGACUAUAUUGUUUUAAAAAUUUUAAUUUAAAAAGCUUACAACAAAAUUUAUCUUGAGAUAAGGUUGAUUGUUUUGCUUGAUUGUUUCUGAAAUUAACCCAUAGAUAUAGAAUGGAUGUAUAACCCGAAUGCUUUUAAAUCUGAAUCCGAUCCGAAUUAAUCCGAAUUUUUUAUCUGAUCGGACCGGAUCGGAUCGGAUCGGAUGGGAUUGAUAAUUUGGGUUGAGUUCGGAUGAUUUUUUUCCCAAUCUGAGUGACCUGAAAUCCGAUCGGAUCAAUCCGAACCUGAUCCGAAUCCGAUUUUGCAACCCCUAGGUGUAUCUGCUGCAAUUACCUCAAAUGAAGGCCAGGCCCAAUCAAGCCCAAAGAUACACAACGCAGCGAACUAAACCAAAAGGGCACGAUCAAUUUCGCAGUUUCCAUAUUCCACCACACGACUGACAGAAGAAGAAGAAGAAGAAGCAUCGAUCGAAAGGGUUAGCGAUCGUUGACAAAACAAGUGAAAGGAUGGGGCACACAGGCGAGUUCUUCAGGCGAAGAGAUGGGUGGAGAAAGCAUCCACUGCUGACGAGUAAUCUGCGUCAAGCCACUCCAGGCCUUGGCAUCGCUCUCGUCGCUUUUGGAAUCUAUCUUGUUGGCGAACAAGUCUACAAUAGCGUCAUCGCUCCUUCUCCUUCUCAUUCUCACCACACCCACCACCAGCACUCCGCUGCUUCCUCUUCUCACUGAAUCUCUUCAGCUCUCCUGCUUCUCUCGGGUCUGUUGUUGAAUUGAAUUGCCCCCACAUUUGACUGCAAAAAUCUCUCUCUCUCUCCUUUUUUUUUUUUUCUCUUAUGGCUUAUGUUCUUUUCAUAACUUUUUGUUAGGUUUUGUUUGUUGUGUGAUUUUUAGAGAUGGGUAUGUGUAAAUUUUUAGGUUUUUCUUAGUUUAGAUUAGCAAUCUAGUCAGAUUCAUCCAUCGUGCUGCAGCUUCUGACCUGCAUAUUUGAAAAUAAAUUUAUUUUCUUGCCUGUUUUUGAAGAAUUAGCAUUGGUCUGUCUUUUUUAAAAAAAAAAAAUUAUGACAUGUUUGUUAACCAUGCGAGUCUGUGUAAAAUUUUGGAUUUUAUGGGUUUUUUUGUGAAAUGAAUGUCUGAAAUUUAUGUUUUUAUUGAUAUUAAAAUCUAGUCGGGUUCACCUGCUCUCUGGCCAGCUGGGUAGUUCGCUUGAUUUCUUUCGCUUUUUAGGUGUUAUGCUUAUUUUCUUGCUAUUGGUGCUAGAUUUAGGAUUUUCUGGUACUUUAUGACAUGUUUGUAUAUAGUUUAGGUUUUUAUUUGUAUUAUGACCACAUUGGUUUCAUUGCUCUCAUGAUUUCUGGUUGCUAAAUCAUACUCUUUUGACGUGCAUCAUAUGGUUAUUGUCUUUUUUUAUUCACAUGAUCUUUAGUUGAGCUGAACAUGUAGAGUUGUUACUGUUCAACAGGGGUUUCUAUUUAGUAAUUGCUCCAUGCGAAGCAUUCCCACUUUUUCCUUCUACAAUGUGGCUGCUAUUUCAUUCAAUUUGACUAUGAUUUUGUUGUUGUGGCUAAUUGAUCAUCUUUGAUGGAGGAAUGUUAGGAAAUUAAGUUGUAUUAAAUACUAAAUAAAGACAAUUUGGUCAGGCAUAAGACGAAUGAAAAACGUUUGUUCUUAGAUGCAGGGCAGUAAGUUAUUUACUUACACCGAUGAAGUUACAACUAACACUAGUUUCAUAUGGUUGAGUGAUUUACUUAUAUGUUUAUUUUAUCCGUUGGGAAUGCAGUUGUGGGGAUUAGCUAGUUCAACCAGCAAGUUCUUUUUCACUUUUAUGGGGUUAAGAAUGAAUGACAUUCAAACUGGGGAUUUGAUGCCAGGGGCUUUUUAACUCUAUGGAGGGCAGGGGAUAAGGGUCGAAAAGAGCACCUUGUAGAUUGUCAUUUCUAGGAUGAGCAAUAAUGCCCUUCUGAAAAUUCAUUGGUUUGUCAGUGGUUGAUUUUUGACCAUCCAAUUUUUUAUCCUACAAUUUUUUGGGCUAAUUGAGAAAUCAUAUGGUGUUAAAUACUGUAUCUUACUUGGUAGUAUUUUACGAAAUAAUAUUUGCUUAUGAUUGACUUAGCAAAACAAUAUCCGGUGUGCUUGUAUUAACCCUGCUGUGUUUUCGGAAGGCUUGCAAGUAAUUUCACAGCACAGAGGGCUGCUUUGUUAUUCUGUUUAGUUGGUUAUUGAUGUAGAACAGGCCGUAACUUGGACAGUUUUAAGUUUUUCUUUAUUUGUUCUUUAUUUUAAGUUUUUCUAAAAUUCUGUCUCUAGAACUUUAAUGUGUUGAAAUAAUUUGAAUUUACGCAGUUUGGUAAAUUCACGUUAUUUAGGGUUUUAGUAUAAAGGGAGCUGAACCCUAUUUGUUUUGGUUGGUUGAUUCGUGAUAUAUAUAUAUCUUUUUGAGAAGAUUCGUUCUCUCUUUCGGUUAUCCCCAUUAAAGUUUACAAUUCCCCUUUAUUAUUCUUUGAUGAGGAGUGUUUGUGAAUCUGUGAUUUAAGCUGACAGAAUUGUUGCAUGCAAAUUUAAUAUGAUCAGACAGAUCCUCUAUCUAGUCCUCUAAGUACUAUCUAUCUUGAUUUUUUUUUUGUUCUUAAUUGGUUGCUGAAGAUGGUGGUGACAUGUUGGAAGAGAAUUGAAGUUUGGACUUAUUUUCAUUUCCCAUUUUGUUGUUUGAGUUAAUAAGAUCAACUUUGCCAUGUUUAGUGUUACUUUGUUGUGUAUUAAGUUUAGAGUGUGAGACUUGAUCUGUUAUGUAGAUCUUUAAUCUUUUGCUUUUGAUAUGGUUAUGCAUUCAAUGGCUCUACAUUUGGUGCCUGAAAUGUUUCGAAUAAAGAAGUUUCUUGUUAUAAAUAUAUUGUCUUAUUUAUUUAAUUUUUUUUGGUCAAGUUCUCAAUUUUUAUGCAUAACGUUUUUAUGUUUCGUUUCCUGAUCUUAAAUUUUUUGUACCAUUCAUUGAAAAAAGAAAUGUAACUUAAAAUGAUGACUUAAAUUUUGAUCCGUUACAUUUCAUUCGAUCUAAAGGUGUAUAUGUUAUACCUUACUUUAAAGAACCUAAGGAUUUUUAUAUUUGAAAAUUACUCCGUGUGUGUGAGUUGAAAACAUAUUAUCCCUUAUUUUAAUAACUUAAGAGAUUUUUUUUAAAAUUUUAUAUUUAUCUCUCUCUCUCUAUAUAUAUAUAUAGCCCUUCUAAUAAGAGAAUUCCCUAAUUUUAUUCCAAGUAAAGGACAAUUCAAAAGAAAAAAAAUACGUAUUUCAAUAUACUAAAAAAUAAAAUAUACUGUUUCGGAGUGUGUUUUUCAACCUUUUAAUUUGUCUUUUGCUUGGAUUAAAAUAAGUGAUUCCUUAUUGUAAAAUCACUUCAUAUAAUCAAUAUAAUACAUUAUAUUAGUGUGUAUUUUACUUCUCUUUUAGUUUAUCCCUUAAUUAUUCAACAGUUUGCUUACUAGAUAAUGACUCAUAUAUUUUAUUUUGACUCAAAUUUUUGACAUAAAUAUUGAGUUAUUGGUUUCGUACAAUUUAAUGGUAAAUAAAUUGGUAUCAUUAGUGGUCUUUGUGUGUGUGUAUCUUCAUUUUUUUUUAUGGAGAUAUUUUUAAACCAUGAGAUUUUGAAAGAGUUAGUGUACGCAUUAUGAAAACAAAAAGAUAUAAGCGCCCGCACUUGAUAACAAUUAUUUAAAGGAGUAUGCGUCGGGUGGAAGGAACAAUUAUCAUAUCUUGAUUGAACAAACCACUAGGUCAACUCGGUUCUUAUCUAAGGACACGAAAUAAUUAAUUAAUUAUGUUUCAUUUUUACUAUGAUAAUUCCCAGUUUAUAAUCAUGCCGUUAAUUAAGAAAUAUACAGUUUACGACUGGGCCUCAUAAAAAAAAAACUUUAUUUUAACUAGUGAAAAAGAACAAUAUAUUUAAAUUGGUCUUGGAGAAUGGUAGGCGAAUGAUGCCAAAUUAAAUUUGCAUGAAAAAUCCAAAAGCAUGUGAGACUUGCUCAAUUAUUGUGUUAUGUGUCCUACGCUAUAAUUAAAGCAAAUGAAAUCCGUGACAAUAUAUAUGUAAUCAAGUAGCUGGUCAAGGCGCCAACAAAAAAAAAAGUAACUGGUCCGAGGGCGAGGACGGAUUAGACCUUUUAAUUGCGACAGACAUUAAUUUUUUUUAAAAAAAUAAAAUUAUUUGGUUUAUUUUAUAAUUAUAAAAUUAUUUUAAUAAGUAAAUAUAUUAAGAAUAUAUUAUUAAAAGAAUGAAAUAAAUAAGAGUAUUUUAAAAAUUUAUUUAAAAAAAAAUCUACAGCCUCAAAGCCUAAAAACUCAAACUUUUGUUAAUAAAAGUAAAAUAAUUUAUUUAAUUUCUAAAAACUUCAUUCGAAAAACAACUAAAUAAUAACAAAAAUUUUAAAAAGAAUUUUAAAAACGAAAUAAAUGCUUUUAAGCAUUAGACAAGUUAUAUUAAACAUGCAUUUAUUACAUCUAUAAAUAUAUUAUAAUUUAAUAUCUACUCCCAUAAUUAUUAGGGUUAAAUCUUGUCUUAUAGUAGGAACAUUACCCAACCCCUGGGGACUUAGAACUCAUAUCCUAAUGUUGAGGGCAUGGGUUCUCACCUAUACCCCUAGUGGGAAGUCAUUUAUCUAUAACAGUUUCUUUGCCAUAAAUAUCUGUUUACGGAAGAGCAUUAUUCACCAUACAAAACUUCUAGUUGGAUAAGUCCUCUCCUUUUAACUUUUUUAUUUUUUUGAAGGGUAAAUGUUUAUUUAGUUAUUAUAUUUUAAGAUUAGUGUCUAUUUAGUUUUUAUAUUUUUAAAAAUACUUUGAAAUAUCCCUGCUGUUAAAGUAUUGAUACCCCUACCGUUACUUUUUAUUUCUUUUGGUUUACUUUUACAAUAUUACCCUUUUAUAAUAAUUUUUUUAGACAUUAAUAAAAAUUAAAUUAUUAAAUUAUUAAUUUAACCCUAAAAAUAAAAAAAAUAUAUAUAUAUAUAUUAAUUUUUUUGCAAGCACCAUUUGCACACUUGGUAGUUUUCAUACAAUUGUUGACAAUUUAAUUUUUGACAAUUAAAAAUUAAUAUAAAUUUUUUAGGGUUAAAUUGAUAAUUUAAUUAUUUUCUCGUUAUUAAUGUCCAAACAAAAAAAUAUUAUAAAAUGAUAAUAUUAUAAAAGUAAGACAAAAGAAAUAAAAAAUAACGAUAGAGGUAUCAAUACUUUAACGGCAGAGAGAUUUCGAGAUAUUUUUAAAAAUAUAAAAAUUAAAUAAAUACUAAUCUUAAAAUACGGAAGUAAAUGAGCUUUUACCCUUUUUUGAAUACACACACAGAUCAUAAUUGAAGCGCUAUAAAUAUAAUUAGAACAACUUGCAAGAAGCUGCUGGCAUCUCCCGAGCAAGCUCGAGAAAGUAGUCAGUAAGAGUUGUACACAGGAAAAAAGCAUGGGAAAUAAUAAUGUGAUGGGAUUGGGAGGCGGUGUCUUGGCAGCGAUCAUAGUUAUGACGAUACUCUUCUUCACCGCAAAUCAAUCUUGUGCUGCAGGCAACGGCACCGACAUUACUAAUUUCCAUAUUGAUCCUGAUGUGUUGUUCUUUCAUGGUGAUCCGGAAAUGGAGUCGGCUGCUGCUGCUGCAGGAAAAGGCGUGGUGAAUUUGAAACCCCUGAUCCGCCCUCCAACAUUCGAUUGCGACAGAGUCGUUUAUCGGCCAUGUGUACCUAAUCCCCAGAAUUCCAAAAAGGGUGAACAUUGCGCACCUGGUCCUGGCGGCACGUAUGCCCCAAAUCGAGGGUGCUAGUAGCAAAUGAUACAUCUUUAGUCUCCAAUCUUCAUCUUCAUCUUCAUCCUCAACUAUGUCAUGAUGUGGGCUUAUUUUGCGUGUUGUAUUUAAUUUAUAAGUAGCUAAAAUUAAUUAAUAAUCUCUCUUUCCCUUCCCUUCUUAAUUCUCUCUAUCUGUAUAUUAUUAAUUAUUAAGCUUUAAGUUUGUGCUGCUGCAUCCAUGCAUAUGUCCUAAUAAAUUAAUUAAGAUUCCUAAUUUAAUUAGUAUUAAUUGAUUUGUUGUUAAAUUAGCCAGGUUCCUCCAUCUUUUCAUAUUCUCUUUUUUCAAUUAUACCAUAACCUUCCUGAGUUUAUUGCUUUUCCAUGUGCGUACGUAUUAAAAGCCUGGAAAUUAAAAGUAAUUAUGGCAUUUUAUAUUGACCGGUACCUACUCUUAGUUACCAGCCUCUUGAGGGGAAACCGGCUGCGAUAUAAAUCAAAUGCUUUUGUAAAUAACAUUCAUUGAUUUAUCUGCUCCCUCCGACCCGCCUUAAUUGAUUGUUACGACAACAUCAUCCCAAAUGUUGUAAUUACAAUUAUAUAUGUUAGCCUUUUUUUUUUAAAUAAAUAAUUGCACAGAGACACAGAUGCAAUUUUUUAUCACAAAGUAGACCUUUCAUUGCUCGCAACACAUCAAAUACAUUUUGCACUUCAGUUGGUAUUGAAUCAAGCCAAAUAGCACCUGAUUUUUGGGAACAUACUGAAAAAUAAUUUUAUGAAGCUCCUUACUUUGUUUUUGGAUCUCUGAAAUUACCCAGAAAAUUUCUAUUCUGCUACCCUUAGUCUUGUUAACUAACUCGACUACCUCCACACAGUCCGACUCUAUAAUGCAUGAGGUUAUGCCUGCUUUUCUCGCCACUUGGAUGCCCCACUGGACAGCUUCAGCCUUUGCAAAACUUACACUUCCUUUAAAUUGAGACUGAUAAAAACUAGCUGCAACCACCUUGCCAACCGAGUUUCUUACCAAAGCUCCCAGACCUACCCUGUGAUCCUUGCUACUUAUGGCUGCGUCAACAUUGAUCUUAGACAUGUUUUCAGGAGGGGCGACCAGUUUUGUAGCUUCUCUCUUCUAGAAAUGUCAAGAUGCGAUGCAUUAGGAUUCCUUACUCUUUACACCCAGUCGAGAUUGUUACAUCUUUAAUCUGCAAUCUUCAUCUUUAUCCUCAACUAUGCCAUGAUGUGGGUUUAUUCUACAUGCUUGUUGUAUUUAAUUUAUAAGUAUAGCUAUAAUUAAUUACUAAUCUCUCUUUCCCUUCCCUUCUUAUUUCUAUCUAUCUAUCUAUAUAUUAUUAAUUAUUAAGCUUUAAGUUUGUACUGCUGCAUCCAUGCGUAUGCAUUAAUAAACUGAUUAAUUAAAAUUUCUAAUUUGAUUAGAACUAAUUAAUUCGUUGUUAAAUGAGCUAGGUUAAUUACUCCAUCUUGAUGAUACCGUUCAUAUUCACUCAUUUCAAUUCUACUAUACCCUUCCUGAGUUUAUUACUCUUCCAUGUGCGUACGUAUUAACAGCCUGGAGAUGUAAUUAAUUAAUUGAUUAACCAUUGAUACUUAGCUUUCACAGUCAACAAGCUUAGUCAGUUUUUAUCAGCUCCCACCAUUCUUCAUUGGCAAGCUUGCAAGAGGGUGUUACGGUAUCUUCAAAGUACAGCUGAUUAUGGUCUUCAGUUUUUCAGUUCUGGUUCUUUAAAGUUAACUGCCUACUCUGAUGCUGAUUGGGGAGCAGAUCCUGAUGAUCGCAGAUCUGUUGGAGGUUAUUGUGUGUUUUUAGGUUCCAAUCUCAUCUCUUGGUCCUCUAAGAAGUAGCCCAUUGUGUCCAGAUCAUCAGCUGAGUCAGAGUAUAGAGCUCUUGCUAUGGCUACCUCUGAAGUUCUCUGGAUUACAUACUUAUUUCAAGAGCUUAACAUAUCUUUUGAUCAGAUUCCUCUUCUGCAUUGUGAUAACAAGAGUGCUGAAGCUUUGGCCAGUAAUCCUAAAUAUCAUGCUCGUACUAAACAUAUUGAGCUUGAUCUUCAUUUUCUCAGAGAGCAUAUUGCUCAACAGCAGCUUUCAGUCACUUAUGUUCCCAGUUCAGAUCAAUUAGCAGAUGUUCUUACUAAGCCCCUCUGUUUUGAUCAGUUUGCUUAUUUGCGCAGCAAGCUUGAGGGGGGAUGUUAGAGUUAUAAAUAUAAAGAAUAUUUUUGUAAUGAUUCUGCUGAUGUGGCCGCUGAGUAAGCAAGGCUGUUAUUGUUAGUUUGUAAGUUUGUUAUAGAGCUGAGAAGUUUGUUAAUCACAGCUCACUCUCAACACGUGUGUGAGCAAUACAGAAGGUUCUGGAUCUUAGUAUAUAAGGUCAACCUCUGUAUUCAUAAUUCAUUGAAUAAGAUUCGAUCUAUUUCUCUUAUAGUUUCUCUUAUUACUCAUUGAAUUUUCCUUCAUUUUCUCUGCAACCAAACAAGCAUAAAUAGCUUGCUGGACCUACUCUUAAUUACCGGCCUCUUGAAGGGAAACCCGCUACGAUAUAAAUCAAACAACUGAACGUACAACUUCAUUAGAUUUCCUGCAAUAAUGCCUAACAUUCAAUGAUUUAUCUGCUCCCUCCGACCCGCCUUAAUUAAUCGUUACCACAACAUCAUCCCGAAUGUUGUAAUUACGUACAAUUAUAUAUGUUUUUUAAUAAAUAAUUUUACAGAGACAGAUACAAUUAGUGUGGCAUAUGGAAGGAUGUUAGUUGAAACUUGGAAGCGAUAUCACUUAAUCCAUCGUGCUUUUGCCCAACUUCUAUAUUCAAGAUUAUGAAAUUUAGGAGAAGUCUAUGUUACAGAUUCCGUGACAUACAUCCCCCACUCCAUGCACUCCACGUGUCCCUGCAUGUGGAAACAAAGCAAGCAAAUGACAAUCUUGGGGAGCUGGCUAACCUGGUCUGUCUGUUAACGAAACUGUACCGUAGCCUGCUCCUGAAAUCUAUUGUUUCUUUUCCCUUCACUUCUUGCGAUAUAUUGUCCGCCCUACGUGUUAGCCUUUAAUUAUGCCAUCUUGCAACCUAAGCCCAUCUUGCAACCUAAUCAUUAAUUAUCAGUUAAAGGGGACAGUUGAGAACCUAAUCAUUAAUUAUCAGUUAAAGGGGCAGUUGAGACUUGAACCAUGAACUUUGAAGGUCAUGUGGGUGUUGUUGUAUACAUCAAGCAAACUUAAGUGAUUAUUAGUUGGGUGAAAAUGAAAGCAAAGUGCAUAUUUAUGACCAACUGUAGAAGAAAGCGAAAGCGCCGAACGAUCGGAUAUAGGGAGCUUUUGAUGACUUGGCUCAAAUAAAGCCAGUUAUAUAUUUAUACAUGGAGAAAUUAUGGAGAAAUUAUGAAAGUACAAGUUGUUUUUUGUCAUUUUGAUUUUUUCCCGAGGUGUAGUCAAAUGUUUUUCAAAUAAUUUUAUUUAAGUGGUCAUCCAAGUUCAAAUCCAUAGGGAGAUUAGUUAUCAGAAAACAAAUUUAGGUUUUACCCACCCCUUAUUUUUUUAGGAAAAAAAAUGAAAUUAUAAUGUGACUAAGUAUGUUAAAACUUAUCGGAGAGAACAAAUUCGGAAUAUUCUAAAGAAUGAAAAUUACAAUUAAGAGUACAAAUAAUUAUGAAACUCUCUCUGCAAGUGUAGAUAUCUUUUGAAACAUGGAUCUCAAUCAAAUGAGAAUGCAUCUUCUACUAGGGGUGGGCAUGGGUUGGAUUGGAUAGGGUUUGUAAAAACCCAACCCAAUCCAUUAUUAAAUGGGUUGAGAUAAAUUCAACCCAACGUAAUUAAAUAAACAUGUUCAACCCAAUCCAACCCAACCCUUAAAUUAUUAGGUUGGGUUGAUUAGGUUAAAAAUUUAAAGUCAAAUUAAAAUUAAAAUUAAAUUAAAAAAAAGAUACGAGAGUUGAAAUAAAACUUAUUGAAAUCAAAUAUAAAAAUAUUAUAUUAUGAAAAUUCUAUUCACUAUCUAGUAUUUGAUAAAGAAAACUAAAAGAAUAUAUAAUGAAUAAAUCAGAAAAGUACCUUAGUUGAUUGAAAAUUGAGAUUUAAGAGAGUGAUUUUAGUUUUGGAAUUAGAAUCUAGAGUAGUAGACAUAAGAACUAGAUAAUCUCUUUUAUAAAAGAAUAAAAAGAGGAUAAAAAAUAGAUUAGCCGUUUCGAUUUUUAGGAUUUUACAAUUGAAAAUUAUCUUCUUCUUCUUCUUAUUAUUAUUUAUGUGGGUUGGGUUGGGUUAUAUGAGUUCAUCAUAAUUAAUCCAAGUCAACCCAUAAUAACUCACUCAACCCGUUAAAAUUAAAUUAGGUUAAAUUGAGUUGGGUUGGGUCAAUCGAGUUGGAAUAGAUUUGCCCACCCUUACCUUCUACUCCUCUCCUGACUCCUAUAAGAUAUUUGCAACCCGAGAGAACACACCCACUGCUUGAAUUAUCAUAACGGUGUCGUCACCCAAGGCAAAUAGGUUAUGAUUUUUUUAAUUAAAAAAAAAAUCAAGCCUUACCUAAAAGCAAUUGGUAGUAAAAGUUUAGUGGAGAAUCUAAAGAAUAACAUUACUGGCUAGCUACAACUCCUUUGUCAUGCAUAUAUGCAUCCAAUAAUAUUACUAGCUAGCUAUAUAUGGUCCAUAUCCGUCAUUUUCUUAUGAUUUCUGUGAGGACUACUUAAUUUAUUAUCAUUUAUUAAUGUCUUAGUUAAGGUUUUUAAUUUUUUUUUUUACUGCUUGACUAAUUUAUAAAUUAAGACGUCGUUUUUAAGAAGGAAAUAAUUUCUCUUUAUUUUUUUACGGCUUGAUUGGAAAUCGGGGAUUGAAAAAAUGAAAGGAUUGAUGUUGAAGGAAAGAAUUGGGUAUGGAAAUAAAGUUGUGUGCCUUUAAAAUAAACUCAUAAAAAAUAAAAUUGAAUGAAUUUAAUUAUUAAUAAUUAGGUUACAAUAUAAAAUGAAAUCUUAACCUUUCAAUUUUUUUCUGGAUAUUAAAUUAUAAUUGGAUUAUUGAGAGCUAAAGAAAAAUUAGGAGGGGGAAAACUGGUGGGGAAUCCAAAUCCUAUCCUUAUUAAUUAACUAGAAAAUACAACCGCACUUCGUGCGGCUUUAAAAAAAGAAUUUAGUAUUAUUUUUUUUAUUAUUUUGUAUUUGAUGAAAUUGAUAAAAAAUAUGAAUUUUUUUUAAAGAUGACGCAGCCUUAUAAAACUAAUAUUAUUUAUGAAAGUUAAUUAUUUUUUAUUAACAUUAAAAAUAUAUAUUAAUGUGUAUAGUUAAGUGUACACAACCUUUUCAUCGAUAAAAAUUAUGUUCACACUAAUCAACUCUCUAUUUUUCUUGGUAUUAACAGACUCUCACAUCUUACAAAGCCUAACCCUUAUCAUCCAACUAUCUUUAUCAUUGUUUAACUCAUGAAGAAAAGAGUACUCCAUGAAGCACACAAUAUUAAAAUUUAAAUAAGUUAAAAAAUAAAAACACAAGAACAUUUCUAGAGAGGAUGUUGGUUAAAUAAUAAAAAAAAUCCAAACAUUACAAAUCUUAAAUGCUUAAUAUUUAUGAGUUUGAAGAAGCCAAAAGACACUAAAUAAAAGGUUGCAUAAUUAAAUAUGGGAUUAUGACAUUAAAAUUAAGUCAUAGUGGCAUUGGUGAGGGAAGAUGAAGGAACCUUCCUUCCUAUAUUAAUUAGUUGAUUAAUUUUAAACUACUAAAGUUUAGUUGUUGGCUUAAUAAAAUAAAUGAAUGUUUCAAAACUUAUAAUUAAUUUAUUAUUAAUGGUUACAUAUUGUUGAAUUUAAAUAGAAAGAGGAAGAGACAUGUAAUCUUUUGUAAUCUUUUAAUUAUUUUCUAUUUUUAAUAUUUUGUAAUGUAAUUAUUUUUUAAUCUCAACCAAUAUAUUAGAUAAUAGAGAAUAUAAAAAGAUGAGAAAUAAUAAUGCCACAAAUCUUAACUACUUAAUAUUUAUAGAGUUUGAAGAAGCCAAAAGGCACUAAACAAAAGGUUGCAUAAUUAAAUAUGAUAUUAUAGCAUUAAAAUUAGACCCUAAUGACAUUGUUGAGGGAAGAUGAAGGAACAUUCCUUCCUAUAUUAAUUAAUUGAUAUAUUUAAGCCACUAAAGUUUAAUUGUUGGCAUAAUAAAAUAAAUAAAUGUUUCAAAAUUUAUAAUUAAUUAUUAUUAAUGGUUACAUAUUAUUGAAUUUAAAUAGAAAGAGGAAGAGACAUGUAAUAUUUUAUAAUCUAAUAAUUAUUUUUUAUUUUUAAUAUUUUGUAAUGUAAUUAUUUUUUUAAUAUCAACUAAUUUAUUGGAUAAUAGAAAAUACAAGAAGAGGAGAAAUAGUGAUGCCACAUCACCUCCUCAAGUCCCAACUUUAUAUAUAUACUAGUAAAUAGAACCGCACUUCGUGCGGCUUUAAAAAAAAAGUAUUAUCUUUUUUUUAUUACUUUGCACUUGAUGAAAUUGAUAAAAAAUAUGAAUUGAUUUUUUUUUUAAAGAUGACGCAGCCUUAUAAAACUAAUGUUAUUUAUGAAAGUUAAUUAUUUUGUUGUUAACUUUAAAAAUAUAUAUUAAUGUGUAUAGUUAAGUGUACACAACCUUUUCAUCGAUAAAAAUUAUGUUCACACUAAUCAACUCUCUAUUAUUUUUGGUAUUAACAGACUCUCACAUCUUACAAAGUCUAACACUUAUCAUCCAACUAUCUUUAUCAUUGUUUAACUCAUGAAGAAAAGAAUACUCCAUGAAGCACACAAUACAAAAAUUUAAAUAAGUCAAAAAAUAAAAACACAAGAACAUUUCUAAAGAAGAUGUUGGUUAAAUAAUAAAAAAAAUCCAAACAUAACAAAUCUUAAAUACUUAAUAUUUAUAGAGUUUGAAGAAGCCAAAAGACACUAAAUAAAAGGUUGCAUAAUUAAAUAUGAGAUUAUGGCAUUAAAAUUAGGUCCUAGUGGCAUUGGUGAGGGAAGAUGAAGGAAUCCUCCUUCCUAUAUUAAUUAGUUGAUGUAUUUUAAACCACUAAAGUUUAGUUGUUGGCUUAAUAAAAUAAAUGAAUGUUUCAAAACUAUAAUUAAUUUAUUAUUAACGGUUACAUAUUGUUAAAUUUAAAUAAAAAGAAGAAGAGACAUGUAAUAUUUUAUAAUCUACUAAUUAUUUUCUAUUUUUAAUAUUUUGUAAUGUAAUUAUUUUUUAAUCUCAACCAAUAUAUUAGAUAAUAGAGAAUAUAAAAAGAUGAGAAAUAAUAAUGCCACAAAUCUUAACUACUUAAUAUUUAUAGAAUUUGAAGAAGCCAAAAGGCACUAAACAAAAGGUUGCAUAAUUAAAUAUGAUAUUAUAGCAUUAAAAUUAGAUCCUAAUGGCAUUGUUGAGGGAAGAUGAAGGAAUAUUCCUUCCUAUAUUAAUUAAUUGAUAGAGUAAUGAUAUAGCCACAAACUCUUGUACAAAUUUAUUUUGUACAAAUUGAUAUGACAUGAUAAGAUUGGUUGAAUUAAAUUUCAUUUGGCCCACAUGAUUUGUUUUUAUUAUUUUAUAUUUUCAUUCAACCAAUGAAUUAAUGCCACGUCUGUUUGUACAAAAUAAGUGUGUACAAGAGUUUGUAGCUGUAUCAUUACUCUAAUUGAUAUAUUUAAGCCACUAAAGUUUAAUUGCUAGCAUAAUAAAAUAAAUUAAUGUUUGAAGACUUAUAAUUAAUUAUUAUUAAUGGUUACAUAUUAUUGAAUUUAAAUAGAAAGAGAAAGAGACAUGUAAUCUUUUAUAAUCUAAUAAUUAUUUUUUAUUUUUAAUAUUUUGUAAUGUAAUUAUUUUUUAAUGAUAAUAGAGAAUACAAGAAGAUGAGAAAUAGUGAUGCCACAUCACCUCUUCUAGUCCCAACUUUAUAUAUAUAUCUUAAUAUUUUGUAAUGUAAUUAUUUUUUAAUCUCAACCAAUAUAUUAGAUAAUAGAGAAUAUAAAAAGAUGAGAACUAAUGAUGCCACAAAUCUUAAAUAUUUAAUGUUUAUGGAGUUUGAAGAAGCCAAAAGGCACUAAACAAAAGAUUGAAUAAUUAAAUAUGAGAUUAUGACAUUAAAAUUAGGCUCUAAUGGCAUUGUUGAGGAAAGAUGAAGGAACCUUCAUUCCUAUAUUAAUUAAUUGAUGUAUUUUAAGCCACUAAAAUUUAAUUGUUGGCAUAAUAAAAUAAAUGAAUGUUUCAAGACUUAUAAUUAAUUAUUAUUAAUGGUUACAUAUUGUUACUCAGAUUAAAAGAUUGGUUUUCUAAAUAUGAUUUUUCGGUUAAGCAUAUAAAGGGGUUCCAGAAUCUCAUCCCUGAUAUGCUCUCCAGACUCUCCAAACCAGAAAACCCUCUCAUCCUGUUUUCCACCACCUACCAUUUUCCGAUUAUCUCCAUGGCUACCUUCUUACCCCCAGAAGCUCUCACCAAGAAAACUUUUCCCUUCAAAGAGGAAAAGACAUGUAAUCAUUUAUAAUAUAAUAAUUAUUUUCUAUUUUAAUAUUUUGUAAUGUAAUUAUUUUUUAAUUUCAACCAAUUUAUUAGAUAAUAAAGAAUAUAAGAUGAUGAGAAAUAAUGAUGCCACAUCACCUCUUCAAGUCCCAGAUUUAUAUAUAUAUAUAUAUAGAUAUAGAUAGAUAGAUAGAUAUAUAGAUAUAUAGAUAUAGAUAGAUAGAUAGAUAUAGAUUUUUAAUAUUUUGUAAUGUAAUUAUUUUUUAAUCUCAACCAAUAUAUUAGAUAAUAAAGAAUAAAAAAAGAUGAGAAAUAAUGAUGCCACAAAUUUUAAAUAUUUAAUGUUUAUAGAGUUUGAAGAAGCCAAAAGGCACUAAACAAAAGAUUGAAUAAUUAAAUAUGGAAUUAUGACAUUAAAAUUAGGCUCUAAUGGCAUUGUUGAGAGAAGAUGAAGGAACCUUCCUUCCUAUAUUAAUUAAUUGAUGUAUUUUAAACCACUAAAAUUUAAUUGUUGGCAUAAUAAAAUAAAUGAAUCUUUCAAGACUUAUAAUUAAUUAUUAUUAAUGGUUACAUAUUGUUGAAUUUAAAUAGAAAGAGGAAAAGACAUGUAAUCAUUUAUAAUCUAAUAAUUAUUUUCUAUUUUAAUAUUUUGUAAUGUAAUUAUUUUUUUAAUUUCAACUAAUUUAUUAGAUAAUAGAGAAUAUGAAAUGAUGAGAAAUUGUGAUGUCACAUCACCUCUUGUAGUCCCAACUUUAUAUAUAUAUAUAUAGAUAGAUAGAUAGAUAGAUAGAUUAUAAUCUCUACCUUUUUUAAUCAAGUCCAAAAUUUUUCCCUUUUUUUUUUCUUUUCAACUACGCAAAACUAAAAAACAGGGCAUACACUCUGUUCAUAUUUCUAUGAAAUCGUUGUUCAUUAAGCAAAUUUCUUCCUCUAAGUUCAGAAAAUUUCAUGAUUUGUCACUGACUGCACCCAAUAAAAAGAAAAAGAAUCAAAAGGACAUCUUUUAUGUGUAAAUACACGGGUCAGGCUACAGUGCAACUGUGGUACCGUGCCACAGUUGCACCAGCCGUUGGAUCCACUCAAAUGAGUGGGGUCCACUUAAAUAAGUGGGAAUCCAACGGUUGGGUGCAACUGUGGCACGGUACCACAGUUGCACCACAUAUUUAUCCGUAAAUACACAUCAAAUCUCUUUUAUUAAUCAAAUUUUUUUGACUAUUAAUAAAAUAGGCUACAUAGCAUAUUCUAUUUUCUCCCUCAGCUAAGAUACUAAUAUAUUAGUAUUAAAAAAAAAGAUACUAAUAGAUUACCAAAUUAAUUCGUAAACCGGAAAUUAAGAAAGUUAGAUCUCCAGUGAUUGUCCGUGCAAUCUCUGACUUGGCGGCACUGGAUUUUAUCAAUGCUUCAUUGUUAAAAUUUCCCGUGAAGGACGUAUAAAUUGCUGCCAUGGUGACCUUUGCAAAGGAUGUGACCAUUGCUGCGCUGGAUAAUACUGCUGGGGAUGUGAACAUUGCUGUGCUGGGUGUAAAAUGCAAGGGAUAUGAAUGUAAUUGGAGAUCGUUUUCAUUUUUGUUUGUCGUUUUCGCUUUUUCAAGGUUGGUAAAUGGAGAGUGAAGAAACAGCAGAUCACCGAGGAUUCACUAACUUUCGUGAAUUUAGGGGUUUUUUUGAGAUUAUGUGCCUGUUUGGUACAACUUAUUUAAUAAUCACAAGUGUUUAUUUAAUUUUAUUAGCUCUUAUUUUAAUUUUUAUUAUUGUUUGGUUUUUUUUAAUGGAAUUUUUGAAAUUUAAAUAAGAUAUUUUGUCUUUUCUAACAAAAUCUCAAAUUUUGUUGGGCACAGGACGAAUGAAAAACAUUUGUUUUUAAACACCUUUUCCUAGUUUCAAAUAGAAGUGAGAGAGAGUUGAUGUUAAAAAGACCGCCAGACUUAUAUUUUUCCAUGAGAAUUAUGUGUUAUGUGGAACUAAUUUUAAUUUACUUUCGUGAUCUUGUUACAAUGUUAGCUCUUUGCUCAUGAAUUGAUUAAUACGUGUAUUUUUUUACUCAAAAGUCUUCAUCUUAUUAAGUUGGAUCAUAAUUUUCCUCUGUUUUUUCUCGGCGUUAUCUUCUAUUACCUAGUAUCUCUCUCCUCUAGGAUGAGCAAUAAUACCCAUUUGAAAAUUCAUUGAUGUGUCAGUGUUUGAUUUAUGACAAGUGGAUUUCUCAUCCUACAAUUUUUUUUGGGACAAAUGAGAAAUAGGAGAUUGUUAUAUUCUAUAAUCAUUAUCAUACAUAAUUAUAUAGCAGCCGUUAAAUUUUCAUCAAACGGUUAUGUAAAUAUAAAAUAAUAAAAUCAUGUCAUUUUCACAACCGUUAAAUGAAAAUCUAACGACUGUUACAUAAUAUGUUACAUGAUUAUGUAACGUAACAAAAGCCUGAUAAAUAAUAUGAUAUUAACUACUGUAUCUUGACUGGUAGUAUUUUAAGAAGUAGCAUUUGCUCAUGAUUUGACUUAACAAAAUAAUAUCCAAUGCGCUUGUAUUAACCCUUCUGUGUUUUUUCACAAUAUCCGUUUCUAUUCUUUGUUGAGGGCUUUUGUGAAUCAGUGAUAUAAUCAGACAGAACCGUUGCAUCCAAAUUUUAUAUGAGAAAACAAGAUCCUCUCGCUAGUCCGCUCGCUUAACACGGAUCGAAUAUUAAUAAUAAGAAUGAUUUUACUUUUUAAGCUUUUAUGUCAAAUUACGCAUGCAAAAUAAUAAGAAAUUUUGUUUUUCCCAUAUGUACGUAUUUUGAGGAGACACGUCCACGAGUUCAUCUCUAAAAUUGAAAUCGGGUAUGGAAAGUGUAUACAAGUAUUUGCCCAUAGCACAGCCACAGAAACGGCGCAGCCUCAUUCUAUCAUUUUUGUGCCCCCUUCUCAAUUUUUUUUUAUAAUAAUUUUUUAUAUCACUCUUUAUUUCACCAUACUCUAUUUUAAUUAAUUCGAUUUAUUUCUCAAAUUGCUUCUAUUGAAAAUAUUUUAUCUCUAUUGUUUCUCACUUGCCGUUCUCAAUGUAUUUUAACACUAAUGAUAUGUUUACUUACCAGCAAUCAAAAUGGGAAUUCUGGAAUAGGAAUCAAUAAUGCAUUUACCUGCAAAAUUAAGGCUUGAAACCAGAAUCGAAAUAGUGUCAGACCCACAAAUUUGAGAAUCACUACCAUAGUUCUGAUUCCCAAGCGAGAAGUUGGAAUCAGAAUCCGAUUUCUAUAAAUAUUCAUUUUACUCUCAUUAAAUUUUCAUAAUCUCUAAAUUGCUCUCAAUUAUAUUCUGUUAUUUUUUCUUUUUGGUUCCCAUAGAUUUAUCAAAAAACUCAAAAUUUUAAAUUAUUUGCAAAUAGGUCCUUUAUUGUUUAUUAUAAUAAUAAUAAUAUUAUUAUUUUUUUUAAAUUUAUUUAUUUUAUUAUUUUAAUUAUUAUUAUUGUCAUUAUUUUCUUCAUCAUCAUCAUCAUUAUUAUUAAAUUUUUUAUUUAUUUUUUUUAGGAAAACAUGGUACACAUAAAUUGCUAGACAAAGAGAAUCUCUUGUAUAUAUCAAGAGAUCUUACAAGUUACUAAAUCAAACUGAGACUCUCAUACAAUUGACAGGAAAUAACAGUACCCAUCCUUUUAUUUAAUUAAACAUAACAUAAGAGACAAACAUGGCAUGCACUUAACCAGUGUAGUCAGGAUUUCUUCCAUAUUGAGGGACCACAAGAAAAUCAAGAUUGUUGUUACUUUCAUCGACCGUAAUAAUUAAACCCCACAAGGGGUCCGGAAACCCCUCCGACCAAUCGUUAUGACCUGAAAAAAUCAUAUUAUAAAACUUAAUCACAGUUGCACAUAUUAAAAUAAGAAUUAUAAACGAUAUUUAAUUGAAAAUGCAUGGCCUAUAUUUAUACCCGCGCAAGGAGUUCCCAUAAUCUUCAAAUCAGGAAGGCAAAAGAUUUAUGCUGGCUUGGACUGAACCGUAUUCAAAACUCAAAAGAAAAGAAGUUGUGCUUGAGCGAGUUCUUAUUUCAGAUUGAUAUGAUAUAUAUAGAUCAAGUAGCCGACACUACGGUGCCAACGUGGCAAAGAAACAAGUUUUGCAUGGUAAAGAUAAUGGAUCAACGAUUCUAAUUUAAUGGUACAAUAAGUAGGUAAGGUCAACUCUAUAUGGUUAAAUUAGUGCAUGUGCGAUCAGAGGCGGAUUCACCAUAGACCACUGGGGGCUCAAGCCCCCACUAGAAAAAAAAUCUCUAUUUCAUAAAAAAAAAGUUAACAUAUUUCUAAAUAGUUUUGUCAAAUUAUUAGAUAGUCCCAUCCUUUAAAAUUUAAAUUAUUAUUUUAUUAAUUACAAAAUUUAUACUUUGACUUAAAAAUCAAAGCCUACACCCCAAAAUAUUUAUAAUUCUUAAUUAUUGAAUUGUAGGUGCUACAUUUUAACUAGAGAUUGCGGUAAAUAAAAAAAAUUAUAUUCAAGUUUUCAGUUUUUAUGUCUAAUUAUUAUUUAAUUUAACCCCCAGUAAAUUAUUUGUCUACAUCCGCCACUGUGUGUGAUACAUGGUUCAAAAAAUUAAUAAUUCUAAAUACGAAGGACGAGCAAAUUAAGUAAUAAAUGCCAUUACCAAAUAAUAGUGCGUGCUAUACUAUAGAUAACGGAUCAACGAUUCAGAUUUCAUCCUACAAUAGUAGGUAAGAUUAGUGGCUAGUGUUAAAAAUCAUUGCAUGUGCGAAACAUGGUCUACAAAAUAAAUAGUAGUAAACAAGAAAGACAAACAAUGUAAUCAAAUACCAUGUCAUCAGAUAAAAAGAAAAAAAAAAGAAAGGUAUAAAUACCAUUACCAAACAAUUGCUUGGUAAAGAUAACAGAUUUACCGCUGAAGUCUGAUAAUUGUAAGAUUAACCGCUGUAUAUGGCUCAACUGCGUGUGUAAAUAAAGUAUGAAUCAAUGGGUCCACGAAAUAAAUAAGAAGACCACAAGCAUAGUGGUCCAAAAAAUAAAUAAGAACCGAACUGACGAUACAUAUAGAUCAAGUAGCCGACACUACAGUGCCAACGUAUCAAAUAAACGAGUCAUGCAUGGUAAAGAUAAUGGAUCAACGGUCCAAGUUUAAUCGUACAAUAAGUCAAAAUAAAUAGUAGUAAAUAAGAAAGACGAACAAAGUUUUCAAAUACCAUCUCAUCAAAAAAUAAAUAAAAUAAAUAAGUAAAUAAAAUAAAGUAUAAAUGCCAUUACCAAACAAGUGAUUGGUAAAGAUAACAAAGUUUCAUAAUUGUAAGAUUAACGGCUAUAUUUGGUUCAACUGCAUAUGUAAAUAAAUGCAUGUGGGAGUAUGAAUCAAUGGGUCCACGAACUAAACAAGAAGACCACAAGCAUAGUGAGUCCCAUGAAUUUCUUUAUAAAAAUAAAACAGUGAGUCCCGUUAUGCAUAUUAUUAAUUUUUCUUUUCUCUCUUCAUUUUAAAUAUCUUUCCCGUUUAGUUAUCACAAUUAAACUCGUCUUUAGCAUUUAAUAGAAGUACUUCUAUGAGCAUGGAUUUAGAGAGAGAGUGCGGCGGUGCGAAAAUUAAGUUUGUAUAGGAAUUUGUUAUAUUUAAUAUUAUUGUUUUAGGAUUAGUAUUGUGUAAUUUGUGGGAGUAGGAAUUUUUUGAUGGAUGAGAUUUGAUUUGCUUUGGAAUGAUGAUUUUGAAAGAGAGUAAAAAUGUAAACGACUGAAAGGAUGGGUGAAAUUUAAUUUUAUUUUUUUAUUGCUAUUGAAAGAGAGCAUCUAAAAGCGGUCCAAAAACUAAAUAAUUGUAGAUAAGAAGACGAACUGACAAUCAAAGCAAUAAUACCAACCAGGCAAUAAUGCAUGGUGAGGAUAAGAUAACAUGUCUACGACUGAAGUUUGAUUGUGAAAUUAUGGGCUAUAUAUAUUUCAAUUGAUGGGUCCACGAAAUACAUAAUUGUACAUAAUAAGUCAAGCAAAGUAAAUAUUCUUUCCAUAUCAUCUGGUAAAAUUUUAUAUUACUAAAAUACUAUUUAGGACAUUAAUAUAUUUUCAGAAAAUUUUAGCACCCUUAAAACUCACUAUCGUAGAAGAAUUAAAUCUCAAUUUUUUUCCCGUCAUCAUCUAACUUAGGGUCUGUUUGGAAUUACUUUUGGAAGGCCCAAAAGUGAUUUUAAAAAAACUAAAGCUAUUUUUUAUGUUUGAUUUUUUUUUUUUUUUUGAGAAAUCACUUUUGGUAAAAUCACCGCCUCUUACUGCUAAUUUUGAAAAGUAGGGAAUGAGUAGUUUUUCAAAAUAUGAUUUUGAGAAUUAGUUUUAUAGUUAAUACAAUUCCAUAUGUAUCCUUACACAUAUUAUAAAAAUCUAAAUUAUCCUUAUUAAUUAUGAAAUAAAAUCAUUAACUCUAAAUAGAUUAUUAUUAUUACCAAUUAUAUUGAGAAAACAAAAUCUAAAAAGUAAAAUUAAUAAUAUAAAGUAUUUAUUUUUGUAAUUAUUAUAUAUACACAAUAAAAAAAAAAUUUGUAUACGUAUUUAUAAAUGUCUAAAUAAAUUUAUUAAACAUUAUGUCUAAUUUAGUCAUUCACAUUCUAAUAGCAAGUCAACAAUAAGAUUUACCAAACACAAUGACUGUUUUUAAAACUCAUAGUAAUUUGAAAAUAAAUUUUACUAAACAUUUAAUCGAUUCUCUUCACAACUAAUUAUUUAUACCGUACAGUUAGCAACAAUUAUUUUAAAAGCUAUAACAUUAAUGAAUUGGGCCUUAAUCCAUUGUAAAAACUGUUAGGAUUUCGUUGGCUUCAUUUGACUAAUUGAGAGAGAUUGUUUCCUUAUAUGUGGCUGAUUUGUAAUCCCUUUGAAUAUGGGAUCAUUAUUUGCUUUCGUUUGAUUUAGCUCAUAAUGUGUGAAUAUUUGCUCUUGUAAACUUGCAUAUAAAUUCUCUCUAAUCCUACUAUAAGUGCCUGUUUGGUAUGGCUUAUUUAAGAGCCAUAAGUGCUUAUUUAAUCGCAUAAGCACUUUUUAAAAUUUUUUAUGGUGUUUGGUUAUUUUUUUAGUAGAGUUUUUUUAGCUUAAAUAAGCUAAUUUGCCUCUACUAGCAAAAGCCCAAAAUUUAAGCUUUUGGGAGUAGAGGUUAGAGAGCUUUUCCAAAAAAUAUAUAAUAUAAAAAAUAUCACACAGUUUAAUGGUUCAAAAGUAUUUUUUUUAUUGACAACCAAACACCCAAUGAUUUUUUGUCCAAAAGCUCUAUUGGUAUAAGCUCUACUGUUAUAAGCUCUAUUUAAUAAGCUGUACCAAACGGAGCCUAAGAAACAUAGAAGAAUAAAAUCAGAGUGCUUGUCAAACUUCAUUUUUUCAUGGUAUCAGAGUCAUGGUUUUGAUUUGGUAAAACACUUUUGCUUCCUUUUUUUUAUGGAUGAUAUUGAUAGACAUAGUGAUAGCAGUCACAAUCAUUCACCAAAGCAUAUAUCUUCUCAAACCUCUCAUCACACUAUGUCUAUGUCUACGGUUGAUUCCUUGGACCCUCUUUUUCUUCAUGCUUCUAAUCAUCCUAGCAUGAUUCUUGUUCCAAAAGUCUUAGAUGGAACAAAUUAUGCUAUGUGGAAGAGAUCUAUGCUAGUGAGUCUCAGUGCCAAAAACAAAUUGGGAUUCAUCAAAGGAACCAUUCAGACGCCAGAUGAAGAUGAUCUAAAACAUUCUUUAUGGUAGCGCUACAACGAUAUGGUGCUUUCUUGGAUCCUUAAUUCUCUAAGUCAAGAGCUUGCAAAUAGUGUACUCUAUUUAGAGACACCCUUAGAGAUUUGGAUAGACCUUCAAGAACGUUUCUCUCAAGGUGAUUUUUCCCACCAUUAUCAAACUCAACAAUCUAUUGUUGAAUUAAAAAAAAAUCAAGAUUCAAUUUUUUCUUAUUACACAAAGAUGAAAAUGUUGAGGGAUGAGCUAACUACUUGUAGUCCUUCAAUCACGUGCGCUUGCGGAGGACAAAAAGAAUUGAAAGAAAAAGAAGAAAAGAUUAGGUUGGGACAAUUCCUCAUGGGAUUGAAUAAAACAUACUCAGCUUUGCGAGGACAAAUCAUAUUAAUGUGUCCUCUACCAACUGUCAAAAAGGCAUAUUCUCUUCUCCGUGAGGAAGAAAAGCAGCAAGGACUUACUGAAGCCAAAGGCAUUGAUCUUAUUCAUGCCAUGAGUAUCAAAACUUGUGACAAUUCUCGAGGAUCACAAUUUGAAGCUCAACAGCAAACCAGACAGGGACCAUCCUCUAAUCCCAAGCCACAAGGAACUAAGAAAUCUUUCUUUUGUACUUACUAUGAGGGCACAACUCAUACAGUAGAUCAUUUUUACUACUUGAAUGGAUUCAUAGUUGGUCAUAAGCUUCAUGACAAAGACGUUCAGCCUCCAAAUCGAAGCAGAAAACCUAUAGCGCAUCAAACUAGUGCUGAAAUAAAUCAGAACUUAGCAAAGACAUCUACUGAACAAACUCCCCAAUUUACCUCUAAAGAGCUUGCCCAAAUAAAACUUUUCUUUAGAAAUGGUAACAAUCCUGCUCGAGCAAACUACACAGGUAUCCAUAUGCCUUUCUGUUCAUCUUUCAAUACGCAAAAGACAUACUUGAGUCAGUGGAUUAUUGAUAACGGUGCACAAAAUCACAUAGCAACUUUAAUAACUAUUAAAACUUCUGUCUUCUCAAGUAACCUUGCCCAAUGGGGCCUAUUCUAAGAUAAUUGGAAUUGGCUUAACACAAUUCUCAAACCACCUACAUGUUAAUAAUGUAUUAUGUGCACUUCCUUUCAUGUUAAUUUACUUUCAGUGAGUCAACUUACUGCUGCCAUGAAUUGUUCAAUCCAUUUUUUCCCACUUUUUGUAUAUUGCAGGACCUAGCUUCGAAGAAGCUGAUUGGCUUGGGGAAGCAGCUUAAUGGCUUGUACUACUUUGUUCCUCAAGUGAAGUCUGCACCAACUUCACUUUCAAUCACCCAUCAUGCUGAUUUUACUACACAUAUUACUUGGCACAAGCGGUUAAGACAUCCCUUGAAAGCACCUUUACAAUUUUUAAGCAAUAUUAUUCCUUCUUUUGUAUUUGAUUCUCAACAUUCCUGUAAAACUUGCCCUUUGGCAAAGCAAACUCGUUUACCAUUUUCUUCAAGUUAUAUUCAAACUUUGCAUUCAUUUGAUCUUAUUCAUUGUGAUAUUUGGGGACCUUUUCGUACAACAACUUACACAGGGGCACAUUAUUUUCUCACUAUAGUUGAUGAUUACACUCAUUUCACUUGGAUUUUUUAAAAUGAAAUUUAAGUUCAAAACCCAAGGAUUAAUAAAAAUGUUUAUUUCUUUUGUGAACGCUCAGUUUAAUUGUCAAGUUAAAUGUCUUAGAAGUGAUAAUGGCUCAUAAUUUCUUUCCAUGAAACCUUAUUUAUCCAACCUGGGUAUUUUAUUUCAAAGCUUAUUUCCAUCUACACCUCAACAAAAUGGUGUAGUUGAACGAAAACACCAUCAUCUCUUAAAUGUUAGUCCAGCUUUGAGAAUUAAUGCCAAUCUUCUUUUAAAAUUUUGGGGGCAGAGCUUACUUAUUGCAACCUAUCUUAUAAAUCGUCUUCCCACUCCCUUGUUGAAAUACAAAUCUCCAUAUGAGUUGUUGUAUAAUAAGCCACCUAACUACACUCACUUACGAGUUUUUGGAUGUCUAUGUUAUGCAACAAAUCUACAACUGUUUAAUAAGUUUGAUUCUCGGGCUCGACAAUGCAUCUUUGUUGGUUAUCAUAUAGGCCAAAAAGCCUAUUGAUUACAUUUUCUCAACACUCACCAAUUCUUUUCCAGCCGUGAUGUCAUUUUUCAUGAGUCUAUUUUUCCUUUUCUAUGUAUCAAAAAAUCAUUAGAUAGCACUCUUCCUCCGCCUGAGAUAUUAGAUUAUGUCAAUGAUCCAUCUCCUCCUAAAUCUCAUCCUAUCCCUCCAGCAUCUGAGACCAUCAUUCCCUCUCUUAAUCCUUUAUUGUCAUCAACUUCUUCCCCUUCUUCCUCUAUAUCUUCUCAUGCCCCUUCUAUUCAUAAAAGUGAAUGUGUCAGGCAACCAUUUGUUCUCCUUCGUGAUUUUCAUUGUGGACAUAUUAGUACAACACCAUCAACUGCAACUUUAAGUCAGUCAUUUUCAACUAAAUCAGGUACUUAAUAUCCUUUAGGUAAAUACAUUUCCUAUGAUUCUUUGUCUUUUACUCAUUAACACUUUGUUAACACCAUUUCAAGUGUCCUAGAACCAACCUCUUAUGCUCAGGCUGUAUUGGAUCCGAAAUGAAAAGAGGCUAUGCAAUGUGAACUUGAUGCUCUCAAUUCACAAGAGAUGUGGUCCUUGGUCCCUUUACCUGUUGGUCAUCACCCCAUUGGCAACAAAUGGGUUUAUCGUGUCAAAUACAAUUCUAAUGGUACGAUUGAACGUUAUAAAGCCUAAUUAGUAGCUAAAUGAUUUUCUCAACAAGAAGGCAUGGAUUACAUUGAGACAUUUGCUCUUGUGGCUAAAUUGACAACUAUUCGUUGUUUACUUGCUGUGGCCACUACAAGACAUUGGCUAUUGUAUCAAAUGGAUGUGACCAAUGCUUUUCUGCAUGGAGAUUUAGAGGAAGAAGUAUAUAUGACUCCACCGCCGAGACUUUGUCGAUAGGGGGAGAAUCUUGUUUGUCGACUUCAUAAGUCCCUUUAUGGGCUUAAACAAGCUCCUCGCAAUUGGUUUAUGAAAUUUUCUCAUGCUGUUAAGAAAGCUGGUUUUAUUCAAUCACAUUCAGAUUACUCGUUGUUUGUGAAGACAAAAGCCAUAUUUAUAACUAUGGUUCUUAUUUAUGUAGAUGAUAUGGUGAUAACCAGAAAUGAUGCAGUUCCUAUACACAAUCUUAAACAAUUUCUUCACCAGCAAUUUUAUAUCAAAGCUCUUGGUCUUCUUAAAUAUUUUCUUGGGUUGGAAGUUGCUAGGUCCAAAACAGGUAUUGUUAUCUCCGAACGAAAAUAUACCUUAGAAAUCAUAGAUGAUAUUGGAUACUUGGGUGCUCAACUGGUAAAUUUCCUUAUGGAGAUGAAUUUGCAGCUCACAAAUCAUUAAGGUGAUUUGCUGCAUAAUCCAUCUCGCUACAGGAGAUUAGUUGGCCGACUAAUAUAUCUCACAAUUACAAGACUAGCCUCACUAAGAUGCUGCUCUUCGUAUUGUUAAAUAUUUGAAAGGUAGCCCUAGUUUAGGAUUAUUGUUCUCAAACAAUUCGUCUACUUUAAAGGCUUACUGUGAUGCUAAUUGGGCAAACUGUCCUAUAACAAGAAGAUCAACAACAGGUUAUUGUGUGUUCUUAGGGGAUUCGUUAAUUUCUUGGUAAGCAAAGAAGCAUAAAACAGUCUCAAGAUCAUCAUCAGAAGUUGAGUACAGUUCCAUGGUAGUAGCAACUUGUGGGCUCACUUGGCUUAGAUUUUUAUUCAAUGAUAUGCAAAUUUUCUAUAGGACCAGCAAGGCUAUUAUGUGAUAACCAAGCUGCUCUUCACAUAGCAGCAAAUCUGGUAUAUCACGAACGUACCAAACACAUAGACCUUGACUGUCAUGAGGUAAGGGAGAAAAUACAAGAUGGUCAGAUCAUCACCAAAUUUGUUCCAUCUCAUUCACAGUUGGCGGACAUUUUUACAAAAGCUCUUAGAGGAACAGUGUUUAAGAGGCUAACAACCAAGUUGAACAUGCUGGAUAUACAUGCUCCAACUUGAGGGGGAGUGUUACGAUUUCGUUGGCUUCAUUUGACUAAUUGAGAGAGAUUGUUUCCUUAUAUGUGGCUGAUUUGUAAUCCCUUUGAAUAUGGGAUCGUUAUUUGCUUUCCUUUGAUUUAGCUCAUAAUGUGUGAAUAUUUGCUCUUGUAAACUUGCUAAUAAAUUCUCUCUAAUUCUACUAUAAGAAACAUAGAAGAAUAAAAUCAGAGUUCUUUUCAAACUUCAUUUUUUUCAAAAACAAAAUACUUAGUUCUACAUGAUCAAGUCAUCAAGUGGCUGCACAGUCUUUACUUCAAUGUAACAAAAUAAUGAAAAAAACCUAAAGAAAUGAAGUUUCAUAUGGGAAGAACAAAUUUCAAUACGAUUAACAAAUCGCAACAUUUAUAUAGAGGGACAUCAAAUGCAAAGAAAAGUUGAGUCAAUCGAUUAUAGCAUUCUUGAGCAUUAUGAGUUAUGACUUAGAGAAUGAUGAGAUGAGAUAUUUUAUAGGCAUAAAAAGAAAUCAAUAAUUGUUAGAGCGAGUUUAAUAAAGGACUAGUUUGGUGUUUGAAAGAGUGUGCGAGUAAAACUUAUUUUAAAAAUUUUUUCAAUAAGUGUGCAGAGUAAGAAAGUAUUCAAAAUAAAUUUUAAAUAGCAAAUAGUCCAUCCUUAAAAAGCUAAAGUUAUAUAUGCAGUGCUUUACACGUUCAAUGCACAUUUUAGUGAGAUCAUUCAAUCUUCAAUGAAAUCAUACUUGUUAAAAACCGUCAUGAUUGGUUAAUUCAAAAUUGAAUAUAUUUAUGGAAAGAUUUUAUUACUUUUACAGUUACACAAAUGAUGUGAUAGAUAUGCUCCAUUUUGCACACCAUACAGCCAGUGGAAUAUGAGCCUCCCUUCUUCAGUGCCGCCUAUAAGGAUGCAAGCUUACAAUCGAUGGACGAAAUAUCCUUUAGAAAUAGGGAUAGGGAAUGUGAAAUUCAAGCAUUUUGAAGUAGUUGUUAAGGGGAUGUAAGCUAUUUUGUUAAGUUAAAUUAAAAUAUGAUGAUGAGUUAAUACUUAUAAGAAUGACUGAGGAACCAAAGCCUGAUAAAAGAUUAAUAAAAACACAUUCAAAAUUAUGUCAUUUUGAUUAUGUUUUUGUAGACUUUAGUUUAAAUGUCAGCACUCUAAUACCUAAUUAAUAUUUUUGUUCCAAAAAUUUAAUUCAUCUCUAUUUCUUUUUAAUUUUAUUUUAUGGUGAUCAUUUAUAGAUAUAAAAAUAGGUGUUAUAUUUGUGAAGAGAAAAAUGGCAAUUGAAAAAUGACAAUAUUGAUAUCAGUACAUCUACCAAAAAGAAAACAAGUAGCAGGGCAAUUAACUAGUUAAGCUCCUUGUAGUGAUGGAUAAAUUUAUAUGAGGUUGAGUACUGUACAAAUGAGGGUACAACAAUGCAAAACAGGAGUAGAAGAUUUCUUCAUUUGGUCCACUAGGCUUGCUUUUUUGACAAUCAUUUCAUUUUUGGGCUAAUUGUGAAAUCAUGCAUAUGGUGUUAAAUACUGUAUCUUGCUUGGUAGUGUUUUAUGAAACAAAUUUUGCUUAUGAUUGACUUAACAAAACAAUAUCCAGCGUGCUUGUAUUAACCCCGCUGUAUUUUCGGAAGGCUUGAAAGUAAUUUCACAAUACAGAGGCGCCGCUUUUUUUAUUUUGUUUAGUUGGUUAUCCCCAUUAAGGUAUUCAAUUCCCCUUUAUUAUCCUUUGAGGAUGAGCUUCCGUGAAUCUGUGAUUUAUGCUGACAGAAUUGUUGAAUGGAAAUUAGAUCCGCUAUCUAGUCCUCUAGUUAUGUAUCUAUCUUGAUUUUUUUCUCAAUAAGGUGGCUGAAGAUGAUGGUGACAUGUUGGAAGAGGAUUGAAGUUUGGACUUGUUUUCAUUUCCCAUUUUGUUAUUUGAUUUAAUAAGAUCAACUUUGCCGUGUUUAGUGUUACUUUGUUGUGUAUUAAAUUUUGAGUGUGAGACUUGAUCUGUUAUGUAGAUGUUUAAUCUUUUGCUUUUAAUAUUGUCAUGCAUUCAAUGGCUUUACAUUUGGUACCUGAAAUGUAAGUUUCCUCAUAUUAAUAUAUUGUCUUAUGUAUUUAAUUUUUUUGGGGUCAAGUUUUCGAUUUUCAUGCACCACGUUUUUAGCGCUUGUUUCCGUAAUUUAAAUUCCCUGUAACAUUCAUUGAAAAAAGAAAUGUAACUUGAAAUGAUGACUUAAAUUUUCAUCCGCUUCAUUUCAUUCAAUCUAAAGGUGUAUAUUUUAGUCAAAAAGCCGCAAUGAUCAUUUUCACAUCUCCAUUGUUCUCACUUCUUAAUUGCCCAAAGGUAAUUAUCUCACUUCUUCGUUGUUCGAUCUCUUAAUUUUGCAGUCGAUUUCUUUAUUUUUUUCAAAUUAAUUUAAGGUUAGAUUGAAGUUAGUUUUGGAUUAGUUUAUGAUUUCCAUCAGUUGAUAAUUUUAGGGUUCCAAUCAGAGAUCUCUUCACCUUGCUCAACAGACACAUCGAACAAUCCGACUUCGAACAGGCUAUUAAAAUCGAAUAUCAAGGUCCAUUUUUCAUAUUUCAAUACUCUUUAAUUUUAUUAUCAUAAUAUUGAACAUUUAGCUCUCUUCUUUAAAUCAUCAGUAAGUUACCUUAUGAUCCUGAUGCAACUUUAAUUAGCUACUCAAUUUGAGCAACUUUAAAUAACGAACCCGAGCCUAGGAUAUUCCAAUAUUAGCUGACUUCAAUUAGAUUAAUAAAGCCUAGCUCACUGAUUUAAAAUUAUUAUUUAGCUCAACUGAUGGUUAAAACACAUUAAUGGAAAAAAAUAUAAGGUCUCCUUUAUCUGAUUUCAAAUGCAUCAAUCUACUCUUUUUGAGUCUAUUACUGAUUUCAAUGGAUUCUUCAAGCUAUUUGUUGAAAUGCCUGACAGAAAAAAUGAAUGCUAUUUAAAUAUUGCUGGGGCUUAGUCAGUGGAUGGUAAACUAUCAGGUUCAUGGAGACUAUAAUUCUAGUGUAUAAUUACAACUUAGCAGCAUCAUUUUUGCAUUUUUGUAAUUUUCUUUUUUCAGAAAGAAUAUUGAUUCUUCCAUUUAGUUGAUCAAGAAUCAUGUGAAUUAAUUAUCAAUGCAUGCGUGUUUAUCAGCACAUGUUAUUAAUUAAUAGAAUGGCAUAAUGAAAGCAAAAAGGAUAAGAUAUAGCAUAAGUCUAAUUAAGAUGACUCAAAAAAUCAGAAGCAGCAGCACAUGCUUGAUUUUCAAAAGCUAAUUAAGAAUCAAAUCCAGUAGGGAAGAAUAAGAGAAUAACAACCAAAAGAAAAAAAUAUUGAAUCAGAGAGGCCUGGCUACAACUCCCUUUUUAGUUUGUAUUUUGCUAGUUACUGAAUUUAAUUUUACAGAGCAUGUGCCGCCACUGUUUAUUUGCUUUCAUGGUAACAUCUAUAUGUAAUAAGUCAAAACCUUUGAAAAACUUUCCGCGGCUAUACAAGGACUACGGACUUUGAAGCUUUGUCCAAUUUUUGUUUUCCUUAUUGAAUUUCUUAGUUGAUAUAUGGGGACUGCGGACUCUGCUAUCAAAUUGAAGAGUAAAGUAGCACAUGCUGCAACUGCAAGAGAAUUUAAUAACAAUGUUCAUUAUCUGAGAGUGCACAACGAGGUCGAAACUAAGGUAACUAACAUAUAACUACUUAAAUCUCGAACUAGUUUUCUUUUAUUUUCUGUUUGGAUUCUAUUUACUGCAUAUUAUUUGAGUCUACAUUCAAAGCCAUGCAUGCUGAGUAUUGGAUCAUUACGAAAAUAAUACUACUAUGUUUAAACUAUAUUUUCUCUUUUUUUUUUUGGUUAAUUUGUAUGCACAUAUAAUUUGACAGUUGAUGAGUUUUCAGUUGAGCUAGCUGAAGGGCUUGCUUUUGUUGCUGUUUCUGAUGAUGAAUCCAAACUCUUCAUAGUAGUUUUACUCUCUUUCAAGGUUUGUGAACAAUUUAUAAUUGGCGAUGGUUGAUACUUCAAGUAGCAAUUAUUUCAUGCUCAUUGUUUGGCAUUCUUCAUUGUAUUAUAGUUUUUGGUUAAGGAAGUGAAGGAAUUGAAAAGAAUAGUGAAGCUCGUUCUUGGAAACUCAAUUGCUAAUUUUCAUUUACUUUCAAGCCUUUUUUUUCAAUUUGUUUUUCACUUUCUAAUGUAUAGAAACUAACCAUAACAGGGUUUUGUAACUGAUAGACUAGAUUAUCGCAAGCACAUAGAUCUUUUAAUGGCAGUGUUGCAUUUUUCGACCUCUCUAAACUUGUAUACGGACUAAUGUCCAAAUUUAUAGGUUAGUAAAUACUUGCUAAAUUUAGAAUCCAACUCUUGCUGUUGACUCCAAAUAUUAGCAUACUUGCUUAUUGUUACAAAAUAUUGCUCUAAUGAUUAUUAUCCAUUGCUCCAGUAUCAUAUUUUGUUAGGCUUCUUAACCAUAUUUUGGUUAUAAUACUUAUGCUUAGCUUUAUACAAAGUGAUUGUUCGAAUAUAGCAUAUUAUUAUACUAGUUACUGAUUUGAUAAUUUACUGAUUAAUAUUUCUUCAUUCAUCUAGGAUAUUAUUUGGUCUACUAAUGAUGAUGUGGGGAUGGAGCAGAUUAAUAUUUCUUGAUUUAUAUAGGAUGGAUAUUAUUUGGUCGAAUGAAGAUGAUGAUGGGAAUUGAGAAGAUGAGGUAGAAGCGAACGCAAGUCUCAAGAGACUGAAGAAGACGUGUUGGAGGAUGAUUGAAAUAAUUCAAGCUAUGAGUAUGAGAUCAUACUGCAUAUACAUUUGGGAUUUUUUUUUUCAAAAUAUACUAUUGAAAUUGAUUGUGUUGUAUUGGCAUUACAAAUACUUAAAAAAAAUAAAAACAAAAAGCGUAAGAAAUAAUAAUAUUAAAUAAAUUAAAUGGGUCACUAAAUAAAAAAGAAGCACAUUUCCAAUGUGUUUCUUGCAUUUUCGAGGGCAAAUUACUGUUAGAAUAGUAAUCAUUUAUGUUAUCCAAUCUCAUUUCCAAGGGCAGUUGAUGCCAUUUUCAAGGGCAAAUGCAAUUGGAAAUAUGUAAUUUUUGGUUUUAUAGGGAUUAUUCCCGAGGGCAUUUGAUGUCAUUUCUUAUGGCAUUGUUGUUGAAAAUAAUUUUUUUCGCCGACGACCCAUCGAAAAUUGUGCUUUUUCGAUGCGACUUAAUACGAUGACAGUUGAUGGCAUGACUUCAUUGGAAAUGAGUUUUUCCGAGGGCAUUUGUAUAUUUUCGAGAGUAUUUGCCCUAGGAAAUAACCAUUAUUCUUGUAGUGAAUGUUAGAAGUUAAGGAGCCCUCCAAAUUACAGAAGAAACUCAAUAAUCUUGAUAAGACUAAUGUUGAAAAUAUGUUAUCACUUACUUUAAUAAUUGAAUUAUUCUUAUAUCAAAAAAUUACUAUAUAUGUAUAGAGACUCGAUAAAAGUACUGCUGAAAAUAUGUUAUCCCUUACUUUAAUAAAUUAAGAGAUCUUUUGUUAGAAAAUUUCUUUAAUUUAAUACAAAUUAACGGAUAAUUUACAAAAAAAAAAAACACAUAUUUUAAUAUACUAUAAGACAAAAUAUAUAAUAUCAGAGCGUGUGUUUUUCUUAUCUUCUAGCUUGACCCUAAAUCAUUUUUUAUAUAUAAAUAUAUAAUACACCAUUAGAGUGUGUGUUUUGCUUGCCUUUAGGUUAUCCCUUACUAGAUAAUGACUCGUAUACUUUAUUUUAACUUAAAUUUUUUAUAUAAAUUUUGAGUUAAUGAUUUAGUGCAUCUAAUUGUAGAUAUCAAAAGUCAAAUUAGCAUUUAAUGAUGCCAAUUCAUCCACUAUUCAAUUGCAUGAGAUUAAUGACUCAAAAUUUAUGUAAAAAACUUAAGUCAAAAUUUCAAGUUGAAAUAUUGCUCCUUAUAUUAUACAUAUAUAUAGCGAGUGCAUUCUCACUUUGUUAAAGUGACAAUGCCAAAAACAAAUUACAUAUAAUUUCAAUAUAUUAACAAAUAAAAAGAUAUAGUUUUCAAUGUAUUGACAUUUUGUUUUUGUAUUUUAGUGAAAUUCUUAUUUUAUAUAUGUGUAUGUGUGCGCGCACGCGUGUAUGUAUGUUUUUGUUGCCAAAAGAGUACAUGUCGAAUGAAAAUGUACAAUUAUAUUGAACAAACCACUAGACUAGAUCGAUUCUUUCUACUAACACUAAAUAAUUAUUUAAUAAUGUUUCAAUAUUUUUAUUAUGACAAUUCCUGGUCUGUAAUCAUGCCCUUAAUUAAGAAAUAUACAGUAUUAAAAAAAAACUUUAUUUUAACUAGUGGAAAAGAACAAUAUUAUUUGAAUUGGUCUGGAGAAUGGUAGGUGAAUGAUGCCAAAUUAAAUUUGCGCGAAUAAUCCAAAAACAUGUGAGACUUGCUCAAUUAUAGCAUUACGUGUCCUACACUAUAUAUAUAUAAUUAAAGCAAAUGAAAUCCGUGACAAUAUAUAUGUAAUCAAGUGGCCAGUCCAAGGCCAAUUUGUCAACUAUUCGAACCAAAAAAAUUGGAUUUUGACAAGACAUUACAUAUAAUACAAGAAGCUGCUGGCAUCUCCCAAACAAGCUCGAAAAAGUAGUCAGUAAGACUUGUACACAGGAAAAAAGCAUGGGAAAUAAUAAUGUGAUGGGAUUGGGAGGCGGUGUCUCGGCAUCGAUCAUAGCUAUGAUGAUACUCUUCUUCACCGCAAAUCAAUCUUGUGCUGCAGGCAACGGCACCAACAUUAAUAAUUUCCAUAUUGAUCCUGAUGUGUUGUUUUUUCAUGAUGAUCCGGAAUUAAAGUUAGCUGCUGCUGCAACAAACGUAUUGAAUCCCUCCAGUCUACCGUUCGGUUGCGGAAGAGGCGUAAACUAUCGCUCUUGUACCCCUAAUUCCCAGAAUUCCAAAAAGGGUGAACAUUGCACGCCUGCCCCUGGCAGCACGUAUCCCCCAGCCAAUCGAUUGUGCUAGCUAGCUUAUGAUACAUCUUUAAUCUCCAAUCUUCAUCUUGAUCUUCAACUAUGCCAUGACGUGGGUUAAUUCUGCAUGCAUGUUGUAUUUAAUUUAUAAGUAGCUAUAAUCUCUCUUUCCCUUCCUUUCUCAAUUUUCUCUCUCUAUAUUUAAUUAGUUAUUAAGCCUUAUGUUUGUACUGCUGCGUCAAUGCAUUUGUAUUAAUAAAUUAAUUAAGAUUUCUAAUUUAAUUCGUAUUGAUUAAUUUGUUGUUAAAUUAGCUAGGUUCCACCAUCUUCAUGAUAUCAUUCAUAUUCACUCGUUUCAAUUAUACCAUACCCUUCCACAGUUUGUUUCUUUUCCAUGUGCGUAGGUAUUAAAAGCCCGGAGAAGUAAUUAAGUAAUUAACUAUUAAUGGCAUUUCAUAUCGAGCUGGACCUACUCUUAAUUACCAGCCUCUUGAAGGGAAACCGGCCACAAUAUAAAUCAAACAACUGAACGUACACCUUCAUUAGAUUUCCUACUUAAACAUAUACAUUUAUGCUAGCCUUUGUACGUAACAUCAUUGAUUUAUCUGCUCCUUCCUACCCGCCUUAAUUGAUUGUUACGACAACAUCAUCCCAAAUAUUGUAAUUACAAUUAUAUAUGUUAGCCUUUUUUUUUUCCUUAAAUAAAUAAUUACACAGAGACACAGAUACAAUUAAUGUGGCGUAUGGGAGGAUAUUGGUUGAAACUUGGAAGUAAUAUCAGUUAAUCCAUACCACCAUGUUUUUAUCCAACCUCUAUCUUCAGUUCUUCACGAAUAUGAAAUCUAUUGCUUCCUUUCAUUCACUUUGUGUGAUAUAAUGUCUCGCAACCUUAGCCCAUUGUUUGAGAAGUUAUCUCAGUUAAAGUAGCAGUUGAGACUUGAACCGGGAACUUUGAAGUUCAUGCAAGUGUUGUUCAUGACUUCAUGUACCAAAUAUACAUCAAGCAAACUUUUGACCAACGGAGCUACAUCUAAGUAAGAGAGCACAUAGAGCACUAGGGAGCUUUUGAUGACUUGGCUCCAAUAACGCCAGUUAUUUAUACAUGGAGAAAUUAUACAUGUACAAGAUAUAAUGGGAAAUUUUCGGUCAUUUUGAUUUUUACCCCGGUGGUUUCUCCAUAAUUUACAAUUUAUUAUUAAAUUAACGGUAUAUAAGUUAUUUUACUUGAUUUAUAUUCUCAAAAUAUUUAUAUUUAUAAAAAAAAACUAAUGUCCUAGUUAAGCUUUUUAUUUAUUCUUUCUGCUUGACAAAUUUAUAAAGACGUCAUUUUUAAGAAGGAAACAAUUUCUCUUCAUCUUUUUACUGCUUGAUCGGAACUCGGGGAUUGAAAAAAAGGAGAGGAUUGAUGUUGACGGAAAGAAUUGGGUAUAGAAAUAAAAUUGUGCGCUUUUAUAAAGUUAUUAAAGUCAAACUUAAUGAAUUUAAUUGCUAAUAAUUAGGUUACAAUAUACAAUGAAAUCUUAAGCUUUCAAUUUUUUUUGCCCUAGAAAUUAACUUUAUAACUACAUUAUUGAAAGCUCAAGAAAAAUUAGAAGAGGGAAAACUAGAAGAGACUCCAAACCCUACUCUUAUUAAUUAAUUAUAAUAUCUUUUUUUAAUGAAAUCCAAAAUGUUCCUCUUUUUUCCCCUUUUUAAAUAUGCAAAACUUAAAAACAGGGCAUACUCUGUAUAUAUUUCUGUGAAAUCGUCGUUCAUUAAGCAAAUUUCUUCAUCUAAUUAAGGUAAUUUUAGGGUUUGUUACACACUGCAACCAAUAAAAAGAAAAAGAAUCAAAAGGACAUCUUUUAUUUGUAAACACACAUCAAAUCUCUUUUAUCAAUCAAUUUUUUUUUUUAUUAAUACAAGAGGCUACAUAGCAUAUUCCAUUUUCUCCCUCAGCUAAAAUACUGAUAUGUUAUCAAGUUAAUUUGUAAAUCUAAAUCCUGUUAGAAAUUGUUUUACUUAUUAACAACCGGAAAUUAAGAAAGUUAGAUCUCCAGGCUCCGCUGGAUUUUAUCAAUGCUGCAUUACUAAAAAUUCCUGCAAAGGACGCAUAAAUUGCUGCAAUGGAGAUCUUUGCAAAGGAUGUGAACAUUGCUGUGUUGGAUAUAAAAUGCAAGGGAUAUGAAUGUAAAUGGCGAUCGUUUUCAUUUCUGUUUAGCGUUUCUGCUUUUCCAAGGUUGGUAAAUGGAGAGUAAAGAAACAGCAGAUCACCGAACAGGAUUCACUAACGUUGGUUAAUUUAGGGGUUUCCUCGAGAUUACACCUUUUGUUGAGCUGAAUGUGUGAGGCAGUCCGACUUUUUCCUUCUGCAAUGUGAUUGCUGCUUCAUUCCAUUUGAGUUGUUCGGGUGGGACUAAUUGCUCAACUUCAAUGGAGGAAUAUCAGGCAUAUCGGCAAUUAAGCUGUAUUAAAUACUGAAGAUAGAACGUCUUGUACUCUUGUUGGGCAUACGACGAAUGAUGCUAAAAAGGCUGCCAAACUUAUAUUUUUCUACGAGAAUUAUGUUUCAUGUGGAACCAAUUUUUGUUUCGUGAUCUUGUUACAUUCUUACCUCUUUGUUCAUGGAUUGAUUGGUACAUGUGUAUUACUAUUAUCAUCUUUGUCCUCUUCUUUCUCUCCUCGUUGUCUUUUAUUACCUAGUAUCUCUCCUCUAGGAUGAGCAAUAAUGAAGUUCGUUGAUUUGUCAGUGUUUGAUUUAUGAUAAGCGGAUUUUAACCAAAGUUAGUUGGUGUUAGUGGUUCGGCACUCUCACUCCUUAAGAGAGGUCAGGGGUUCAAGCCCCGCUCUCGUAUGCAGUCACCACUUUGGCCAGCACUUUACCCCUUAUGGGCCGACCCGGUGCGAACGGGGAUUAGUCUGAGUUGUGGUACGGGCUUAAAGGUGCCUCCCACAAUUGGGGCCCACUCAGGACCACCUCGUGGUUCAGACCAAAAAAAAAAAAAGCGGAUUUCUCAUCCUACAAUUUUUUUGGGCCAAAUUUGGUAUUAAAUACUGUAUCUUCACUGGUAGUACUUCGAGAAAUAGCAUUUGCUCAUGAUUUGACUUAACAAAACAACAUCCAGUCCGCUUAUAUUAAUCCCUGCUGUGUUUUUUUUUUCACAAUAUCUGUUUCUAUUCUUUGUUGAGGACUUUUGUGAAUCUGUGAUACAAGCUGACAGAAUGGUUGCAUCCAAAUUUAAUAUGAGAAAACAGAUCCUCGAGCCUGUCCGCCUAACACGGAUAGAAUAUUAAUAAAAAGAAUGAUUUUCCUUUUUAAGCAUCUUUUUUCCAUAUGCAUGUAUUUUGGAGGAGGCACGUCCACGAGUUCACCAUACUCUAAUUUUUAAUUAAUUCUAUUUAUUUCUCAAAUUACUUUGGUUAAAAUUAAUUUAUCUCCAUUGUUUCUCAUUUCCUCUUCUCAAUCUAUUUGACCACUAAUGGUGUGUUUUUUUAGCAGCAAUCGGAAUGAAAAUUUGGAAAUUGGAAUCAAUGAUGCAUUUAUUUACAAAAAUUUAGGCUUGGAAUCAAAAUAAAAAAUAGUGUCGGGCCUAUAGAUUUUGGCAAUCAUUACCAUUGUUUUGAUUCCUAAGGGAGGGGCUGGGAAUUAGAAUCUGAUUUCUAGAAUUACUCAUUUUACUUCCAAUACAUUUUCAUAAUCUCUAAAUUGAUCCCAAUUAAAAUUUGACAUUUUUGCAUUUUAAUUCCUAUAGAAUUUAUGAAAUACCCAAAUUUUUUGUAUUAUUUGCAAAUAGGUCCUUCGUUGGUAGUAAUAAUAAUAAUAAUAACAACAACAAAAAUAAUAUUAGUAUUUUUAUCGUCAUUAUUAUUAUUUAUUAACAUCAUUAUUAUCAUUUAAAUUUAUUAAUUUAAUUAUUUUAAUUGUUAUAAUUUAUUAUUAUUAAUUAUAUUAUUUAUUUUUAAUAAUAUGAUUAAUGUCAUUAAUUUAUUAUUAUUAUAAUCAAAAUUUAUUUAUUUUAUUUUUUAAUUAUUAUUAUUGUCAUUAAUUUCCUUAUUAUUAUUAUCAUUAAAAAAAAUUUACAAUACAAAGAUUAUCCAAUCAAUAAAUAAUUACUAUUGAAGGCAUUUAAUAAUGUCACGCAUACACAUUGUAUAUCCCGAAUAUCUUCUUAAGUAUAAAUUACUAGUCAUCGGUAACGUAUAAAUAGAAAAACUAGAAUUAAAAGCUUUUAGAGUUGUAAGAAGCUAGAUUUCAUUAAAAAUUUCAAAAAUUAAGGGUCUUCACUAAAAUUUAACCUAUAUAUCUAUGUGACAUUUGCGUUUCGGCUCUUGGCUCCUUGGGUUUGAACAAAACAAAUUAAAAAUGAGUAUCUGCAAAUUGAAAAAAUAGUGCAUUCACCUUUUAAAUAGAUUUUAAGCAUAGUCGAUCUGUCUAAUAAUUAGUACCUACUCUAGCUUGUAUUAAUCAUGGCUUGGUUUCCACCCAAAAAAAUCCUACUCAAACAAUAAAACCAAUAAAUUACAAAAGAAAAAAAUAACCCGUAUUGUUUGUUGUUUGUUUUAUCGUGGCUUUGGUUCUCUGCAACGUUAUUUGAGUUCUUUGCAAGAAGUAGCUCACCACUAUGUGGAGCUUGUUUAAGAAAAAUAUUGAAGAAGAGACAGCAUAAUUAAGUUAACAGUAGAUAUAUGGCUAGACAAACUUAAUCGAUAUUAAAAUAUUGAUACACAACAAUUUUAUUUAUUUAUUUUCCUUCUAGGAAAACAUGGUACAUGUGAACAACUAGACAAAGAAAAUCUCUUGUAUAUAUCAAGAGAUCUUACAAGCUAAAUUAAUUAAAACAAACUAAGACACUCAUACAAUUGACGGAUAAUAACAGUACCCAUCAUUUUAUUUCCUUAAACAUAGCAUAAGAGAGUAACACGGCAUGUACUUAACCAGUGUGGUAAGGGUUUCUUCCAUAUUGCGGGACCACAAGAAAAUCAAUAUUUCCAUUAAUUUCAUCAUUAGCAAUAAGUGACCAUAAUGGCAUUUCUCUAGAGCCCUCCGACCAAUCGUUAUAACCUAAAAAAUUCAUGUUAUAAAACUUAAUCACAAGUACACAUAUUAAAAUAAGAAUUAUAAAUGAUAUUUAAUUGAAAAUGCAUGGCCUAUAUAUAUACCCGCGCAAAGGAGUUUUCAUAAUCUUCAAAUCAGAAAGGCAAAAGAUUUCUGUUGGCUUCGAGUGAACUGUAUUCACAACUCAAAAGGUAAGUAGUUGUGCUCGACUGAGUUCUUAUUUCUGGUUUGAUCUGAUAUAUAUAUAGAUCAACUGGUCGACACAACAGUGAGAACGUAGCAAAUAAACAAGUGAUGCACGGUAAAGA